UGAUCUACUCGACGUCACGGACGUCGACAUAUUUUUAAAAUAAUUUUAUUUUUAUUUUUUAUUUUUUACUGUAGCACCUUCUUCUUCCUUGGGUCGCCGGACUGGUUUUUCCGGCGGCCGUUUUCUGGGCAGUUUUUCAAAUUGCCAUAACUUUGUCAUUUCUCAACGAAAUCAAGUGAUUCAAAAACGAAAGUUGUAGCCCUUGAAGAGACAAAGAGAAUGGUACCUUGCACAACACCUAGUUAGCCGUUGUUUGGCCGGAAACUGCCUCGAAAGCCUCGGAGGUCGCCGGAAACUGGGUAUUUUUCAAAUGAGUAUAACUUCUUCAAUACUCAACGAAAUUGAGUGAAACAAAAAUGAAAGUUGUAGUACUUGACGAGACGAAGAGAUUGAUACCUACCUCGACUCCUAACUCGCCGGGGAUUCGCCGGAAAAACGCCUCGAAAGCUCCGGCCAAACUUUGAACUUGUCGAUCUCCGUGUUCUUACGUCCAAAAACUUCCAACGAAGCACUCCGAGCUUCCUUGGGACAUCCUAAAGCUCACUAUGAGCUUGGUUUGGCCUAAAACACAACCAAUUCAAAGCUCAUGAACAGUACAACAUUCACGGCAACUUUAGAAACUAGGGUUUUCGAAGUGAAACUUACUUGAAAUGGGUAUCAUCGUGAUCGUAUGGUCUUCAGGAGUACGAUGGCACUCUUAAAUCCGUCGUUGGUGGAAGUUUAGGGUGUUUUUGUGGUGGUCUUGGUGGUUGCCGUGUGUUCGAGAGGGUGAGAGAGAGAGAUCUGAAAUGGAAGAAGAAGAGAGAAAAGGAAAGGUUACGGAAAAUGGGGAGGAAAUUAGGGUAUAGGACCCUACCUAAAGUCCAACACAACAAUAGCUUAGAAAUUUUAGGUAAAACAAACACCAAAAUUACGCACCUUAAUCCCGUUUAAGGGCGUUUUUGUAAUUUCACGUCCUCGGAAUUAAAAAUUCCGGGACGGGCUGUGACAAUCUCCCCUCCUUAUAGAAUUUCGUCCCCGAAAUUCCAGCCACCAACCAAACUCUCAAUACUAAAAAAAUAGCCUCGGAUACAUAUCUCUCAUCCGUUCUUUUGUCUCCCAAGUAGCUUCUUCUGCUGAAUGGUUCAUCCACAAUACUUUUACCAAGCUCACGAUCUUAUUCCUCAGAGUCUUAUCUUUCCAAUCCAGUAUAGUCACUGGUUCCUCAUCAAGUCGAAUCCGGAUUAAUCUCCAAAGGUUGAACCAGAAUCUUAUGCGACAAAUCUGCCACCUAGUGACAACGCAUCGAACACAAAAUACAUUAUGUGCCUUAGCCAAUUCUGAAGGCAUCACAAACUUGUAUGCAACUUCAUCGAUUCCUUUAGUGAUCAAAAACGAUCUGAUGUGUCUAAGACUUAUCUUGUCUUCCUUUCCAAAUCUUGCUAUUUCUUUUCAUGGUGAAAUUUCCAAAAAUAUCAAACCAUUUACCUUACACACUCGAUUAGUGGCAUAUCCAUCUGUUGAUCUCUUUUGCCAUUCAUGGUUACUUCAGGUUAACUUAAUCACCUUAAUACUUUGAGGAGACUCAUCCAUAGUCUCAGGGUCUACUAAAACUCUUUCUUGAUCGAAUCUUUCUCUACCCAGAAACGUUCCAUUCACAAGUCAUCAAAAACCGACUCACAUGACACAUUUCAUGGUCCUUAUGGCGUUACUUCGGAAACUGCACAACCAACAUACUUAAGAAACUUAGCAGUUCCGUAAUCUAAUUCUCUUUUCCAUAAAACAAAUAAGUAGUGUUGCACUGUCUGGGAAAGGUUGUUACUCAACACUGGAGUAAAUGUACUAACUUGUUACUUAACAAGUAUAACUUCUUCUCGAUCUUCCAUUCUUAAUUUUUCUUCCGUUGGUUUUCAAUCCACAAGAUGAUACUCUUGGCAACGUGCCAGAUAUUAAUCUUACUGUAGUCUUCUCACCAAGUGCUUCAACUAGAACAAACUUUACGAUCACCCUGAUCGUACAAUCAUGUUCAUUAAGCAAUACAAUUCACUUUCGCUGCCUCAUAUCAAAAUCCUUCCAAGUAAUGGAUAUUGAAGACUUUUUGGAUUCGUAAAAAAAAUCUUGCAUUCCUACUAAAAUAUAAUGUCUCCAUAACUUCACAGCAAGAAUGGUAAUCGUGACUUCCAAAUCACCAGUAGGGUAAUUCAUCUUAUGAGAUUCCAUUCAUCGUGGAACGUAUGCAAUCACCCUAACAUUUGCAUCAACAUGCCUCCAAUACCAUUCAAGAAACAUCACUAAAAAUUUAUGAUUACCACUAUUCUCUGGGAAUACCAAAAAUACGUGCAUGAGUGAGGAAAAUACUUCAGUUGUUUGAAUCCUUUGCUCACAAUUUCCUUCCCACUCAUACAUGACCUCUUUUCUCAACAGUCUCGGUCAAUGACAAAGCAAUGACUGAAAAAUCUUUCACAACCAUCCAAGAUAGCCUGGUAAGCUAAGAAAUUCCAAAUCUCAAUUACGACUCGUGGUUGUUCCAAAUUCUCAAUUUCUGCUAUCUUUUAAGGAUUCACUUGAAUACCUUAAGAAUAUAUAACAAAUCUCAGAAUGCCACCUGAUUCAUCUAACUUUAGCAUUUGCUACUUAGCAUACAACCGACAUUCUUCCAAUCUUUGUUCCACCGACUUAAUACGUUUACAUGCUCUGCUCUGGCUCAGAAUAUGCCAGAAUAUCUUCAAUGAAAAUGAUAUCUAUUUAUCAAGGCAUUAUUGGAAUACUUCAUCCAAUAACUCAUAAAAUAGCAUGAGUAUCCAUAUAGCAUCACCAAACUUCAUAAAGACUAUAACGAGUCCAGAAAACCAUCUUAUGAUCAACGUCACUUAUAAUAUUCAAUUGGUAGUAACCAGAUCUCAAUUCAAUCUUUGAAUCUUCGCAAUUACUUCUGAGCUGGUUAAAUAAACAUCAGUACAUUACCAUGGAUAACGGUUCUUAAUCGUUACCCCGACUCCAUUGUCUAUAAUCAAUGAACAAUCUCUAAGUCCAUUUUCUUUCUCACCAACAAACUGGUGCUCCUCAAAAGUGUUGUACUAGGUUGAAUGAAACUUUUAUCAACCAAUUCUUUCAACUGAAUUUCCAAUUCCCUUAACUCAUCCUGAACCAAUCUUUAACAUAGAUUUAUACCUGGCAACAAUUCAAUAGUGAACCUCAUAUCUCUGCCCGAAGGCAAUCCAGGUAUACUUUCAGGGAAGACAUCAAGAAAGUCUAACCCCUUUUGACAUUAUUCACACUACUCCAAACAACAUCAUUUAGCACCACAUGAGCUAAUAUUUUUGACAGCCUUUCAAAAACAAUCUCUUUGCUCUCACAGCGUAAAUAACGGCCUGACUCAAUCCACUUUGCAUACUUACAAAAGUAAUCUCUGGUCAUCCAGAUCGAUGGAAAGUGACUGGUUUCCCGUAACAAUCCAUUUAGUCACAAUUAUAACCAACCAAUCUAAUGGAAAUAAUUUAACCGACACAAUAUAUAUUCUAUUAUUAUUAAGCAUUCUAAAUAAGUACAAUACUAACAUAAAAUAAUCUACCAGGUUGCUUGCUUAACGAAUCCACGAAUGAGUUAUUAAUAUUACGGUCUGCAGCCCGCAAUACUGAUAAAUCAUCGUUGUCUCGAUAAGUAGGCAACCACUCUCAAAGAUAUAACAUUACUAUUUUGUUACUCAAUGCAAAAUACAUACACUCGUCUCAACUACAUUUAUUUACUACUUUCUAGGUAAUAACAUACAUAAUAAGAAAUAUAUCAGCCGAAGUCAACUAGAAUGACCAAUACGGUUGAUUCAACUCUUAUCUUAAUAAUACGUCGGCCGGAUCCACUUCGCGUGGUCGGUACGGCCGAGCCUAUAACUCACUAAUUUCUCAUGGUCUGUACAGCUGAACAUAUAACUCAUCAAAUCUCUCUGUACUCACGGUCAAUCCGACCAAACUACUAAGUCCAUAACUCUGCUGAAUCGACACUAUGAUAUCAUGGAAAAUUAUUGAGUACAACUGAUUCUAGGGACGAUUCACAAUUCUGUGUCCCCUCUGUUCACAUAAACACAUUCAUUAAUUUCACACUUCCCAAAGUGUUAAUUUUUGUACCUGCUGCACAAAGUACAUUUCCUUUACUCGAGACACCUUGUCUCAAAUAUCUGGGAUUACCAGUAUAUCCAUCACUUUUACUCUGACCAGCGACAUUAAAACCUCAACUGGAAAAAUUAACUCUAGCUUCACUUCUUUUGAAGCUCUGAGUCUUUCGAUAUUCUUGAUAUGACGAAUCAUUAACUUUAUCGUUCUUUCAUCUAAUUCCCAUUCUUUUCUUAUUCAUCUUUACUCUCGCUGAUCAUAUUCUCAGAGUCCUCAAGGCUCAACAACAUCUCAUAUACUCCUGGUAAGAAAUACCAUGGAUAGGGGUCACCCAAAAAUACCACUUCCUUUUGUCACCCAGCCUAAAACAACAUAACACCUCCACCAAAUUCACAACAAUAUCUGGAUGGAACGAGGCAAGUCUGAAAACUUUCUAUAAUAUCCCUCGAUCAUCACCUUCCUUGUCUCAUAUUUGUAAACUCUUGUUUACUACCAUCAAUAAAUGCCAGAGGGAUAAACUUUUCCUUAAACAAUUUUAAAUCGGUUGUUCCUCCGAUGACAACAAAUCAUACUCCUGUUUCCACCAGGAUACACAAAUUCAUACCCAAAACCAGGUAGUCGUCUCGACCCCCUGUCAGAAGGAAGAUUCCUUUGACUUGCAUAAUCUCUGAAACAUCUUUUCCAAAUGGUUAAAACCGUUACUUCGCUCCCUCAGGUUCAUCAUUUCAUAAGGUGAUUCAAAUUCGACUCAUAACCCGUCUUAAAAUGUCCCUUUUUAUAAUAGACUGAAUCACCAUAAUAAUAGUUUUCCCUAAACCACUAUAUUAGGGAGACUAAAUUCCUCUAACUAAGUGGCUUGCUACAAGACAGUGUAGUUCUGACAGAAUUCACUAGAACUUCUCAAAAUGUCCAAGAUUGCAACCAUGCUCUGAUACCAACUGACACACCCCGUCCCGAAGGAGGGCAUGCUGGCCGUCACGUGAGAGUGACGUAACCAUUUGCACAGUACGGAAGCUUUAAGAUACAAUUUAUAAGUUGAUACACCCGAAGGUGAGUCCUAAUUUUGUCCAAUCUGUCAGAACCCCGCUGUAUUCCUCGUAGUCACCACACCUUUGUGAUUCCUGAACCUGGAGGGGCGCAAAACCAAAAUUCAGUGGGUCAGUAAAACAAUUCUUUUCCAAAUCCAAACAUUUUUCAAAAACGUUGUAACCCCUCUCUCUGUAAAACCUGUAUAUUUUCCCAGAAAUGUAAAAUAUAAAUAUACAUAUAUAUUCUCAAUACUUUAAUUCAUUAACUCAACAUUUUUUUCUUUAUCAAUCAUGCCAUGCCAUGUCUAAUUCAAACAGUUAAGUAUGGAUGCAUCAACAAUAAUCAUAUCAGGUGCAAGAAAGUAAUCAACCGGAGGCCCUCUAAUAGCCCUGUACGGUUGAACCUAGAGCUCAAAAUCUAUCACUAUCACUCUACCGGAGUCACCUCUGUGACCCGUCCGGCCUUCUGCACACAAGUUACGCUCUAGUGCUUCUCAUAAAUCAUCUGUGCACAUAAUCUAAGGUCACCCACCAGUCGGAAUCUCACUAACACUCUCGCGACUGGCCUGUCGUACCCACUCCGCGUGGACUGUACGACUAGCAUCUACUUGGAUCCAAGGCGAGCGUGCGAUGCGGUGAAUACUAUAAGCACUAAACCAUGGUGCAGGAUUUGAGCUCAAUAUAUAUCAUCAUCAUCAUAACAGUAAUUAAAUACUCACCUGUGCGUCCACCGCACCAUUUCAUACAUAUGCAUCAUAAAUCAAUUCUUACCUGUGCGUCCACCGCACCAAUUCAUACAUAUGCAUCAUAAAUCAAUUCUUACAUGUGCGUCCACCGCACCAAUUCAUACAUAUGCAUCAUAUAUUAAUUCAUGCAUGGCAUUUCAACUCACAUUUCUAUAUACUUUUUCAUAUACUUUUAUGCAUUUUCAUUUAAAGCAUAAUUUCAUGCAUUUUCAAUUUCUGGGAAACGUCAAGUAUAUAUAUAUAUAUACGGAAAACAAAACUGCCCACUCACCUGGAGUUCGCCCUACAACUCCCUAGCACAAUACGCCAAGGCGUCAUGACGAUCGGCGCCUAAAACAAUAAUCAAUUCCAACCUCAGAAUUCAUAUCGAUAGAAUAUAUAACUUAUAUAAAAUACGUCACUACGUAGAUUGAUCCGGAAGAUCCACCCACUCAGAUUUUAAUCCAUAACUUCCAGAGGUCCACAUUAUACCUCUAGGACAACAUCCUAAAAUUUCAUUACCAUCCAACGGUCGGAUCUCCGUCAAUUUCCAAAACUAAGUGACGGUUAACAUUUUUUAUAUUAUGGACUUACAAUUCCAAUUCCGGAAGAUCCGUAACUCGGAUUCCCAAUCCGUAAGUUCCAAUAAUCCUCAAAUAUUACGUAUUACAACGUAUCAAAGUUUGGUGACGAUCCAACGGUCGGAUCGUCAAUUCACAUUUUCACCUAAAUGUGAAAAUUAUAAAACGUUAUUUGAACACCUAACCAACAAUCCUCAAUAACUUUCUCAUACGGUGUUCAAUUUAGGUAUAUGAAUAUACCAUAGUGAUCUACUCGACGUCACGGACGUCGACAUAUUUUUAAAAUAAUUUUAUUUUAUUUUUUUAUUUUUACUGUAGCACCUUCUUCUUCCUUGGGUCGCCGGACUGGUUUUUCCGGCGGCCGUUUUCUGGGCAGUUUUUUCAAAUUGCCAUUAACUUUGUCAUUUCUCAACGAAAUCAAGUGAUUCAAAAACGAAAGUUGUAGCCCUUGAAGAGACAAAGAGAAUGGUACCUUGCACAACACCUAUUUAGCCGUGGUUUGGCCGGAAACUGCCUCGAAAGCCUCGGAGGUCGCCGGAAACUGGGUAUUUUUCAAAUGAGUAUAAACUUCUUCAAUACUCAACGAAAUUGAGUGAAACAAAAAUGAAAGUUGUAGUACUUGACGAGACGAAGAGAUUGAUACCUACCUCGACUCCUAACUCGCCGGGGAUUCGCCGGAAAACGCCUCGAAAGCUCCGGCCAAACUUUGAACUUGUCGAUCUCCGUGUUCUUACGUCCAAAAACUUCCAACGAAGCACUCCGAGCUUCCUUGGGACAUCCUAAAGCUCACUAUGAGCUUGGUUUUGGCCUAAAACACAACCAAUUCAAAGCUCAUGAACAGUACACAUUCACGGCAACUUUAGAAACUAGGGUUUUCGAAGUGAAACUUACUUGAAAUGGGUAUCAUCGUGAUCGUAUGGUCUUCAGGAGUACGAUGACACUCUUAAAUCCGUCGUUGGUGGAAGUUUAGGGUGUUUUUGUGGUGGUCUUGGUGGUUGCCGUGUGUUCGAGAGGGUGAGAGAGAGAGAUCUGAAAUGGAAGAAGAAGAGAGAAAAGGAAAGGUUACGGAAAAUGGGGAGGAAAUUAGGGUAUAGGACCCUACCUAAAGUCCAACACAACAAUAGCUUAGAAAUUUUAGGUAAAACAAACACCAAAAUUACGCACCUUAAUCCCGUUUAAGGGCGUUUUUGUAAUUUCACGUCCUCGGAAUUAAAAAUUCCGGGACGGGCUGUGACAGGCACGAUAACAUUGGAUAAAAAUCUUAUCGAAAUCCAUCGCUAAAUAAUUGUUUUUUUUUAUAAAAUGACACGUGGCGCAACGAGAACGAUUUAAAAAAUUUUAUCCGAAAUUACAAAUAAUUUUAUUUUGUAUUAUUUAAACAAACAAAAAAAACUAAUAUUUUAUUGUCUAUUGCCAGGGGGGAGGGCUCCAAGGGUGGAGAUGCAAAUGGCAAUUACUGUUCAUUAAUGGCAGUUACUAUUCAUUAAAGGCAGUUACUGUUUAAAAAGGUGAAUUCAAUAGUGGAUUGCCAGGGGGAAAGACUCUAUGGGUGGAGUUGCUCUUACCUGUGUCUAUCUCCCUCCCCCACCUCCGGGUCCCAGUCUCUGGGUGUUCUUUUUGUCACUGUUCUCUCUCGUUCUCAUUUAUCACCAGCACUAUCAACCUUCUGUUCAUAUACACGGUUGCCAUCACGGUUCACGUGUCAUAUGUCAAGGGUGGUGCAUUUCCUCUCAAAAUAUAAAAAAAUUAAUUAAACUUAAAGUUUCAAACAAUACUGGCACUAUUUGGAAAUGGAGACCACUUCGGUAAAAUAUAUGGUUUCAAGAAAUGUUGACCACCAUUUCUAGAAAUAGAGACCAUUGAGCCAUUGUUGCUAGAAAUAAUAUCACUGUCUAUAAAUGGUAAUAGUAACCACUAUUUUCUAGAAAUAGUGAUACUGUUUCUAGAAGUAGUUUUGAGAAUGAAUUCCACAUUGAUGGGAGAAGGGACAUUGCAUGUGCUUAUAAAUAAUUGGACUACUUCUUAUAUUGCCAUUUAGUUUUAUAGUGGAACCCAACUUCUUCAUGUUAUUAGAGCAGGUUAUCAUCCCACAUGUGAAGCCCAAUGGGCAAAUGUGCUUCACGUCACCCGAGUUGUGUUGUUCACGUGUUACACUUGAAAAUUCGCCACACGUGAGAUGAGUGUUGAGAAUGAAUCCCGUAUUGAUGAGUGUUGUUCACGUGUUACACUUGAAAAUUCGCCACACGUGAGAUAAGUGUUGAGAAUGAAUCCCACAUCGAUGAAAAGAGGGACUGUGCAUGUGCUUAUAAGUAGUUGAACUACUCUCCAUAUUGCCAAUUGGUUUUAUGGUGGAAUCUCAACUUUUUUCAAAUAGUAUCUCUUGAUUUGUUCUAAAUGAGGCAUAGUUGUAUUAUUUAAAUCAGAUGAAUUAGGAUUUGGAAGGGUUUUAAAAGAUUUUUGUAAAUGAUAGAUUUGAUAGGAUUUGUUAAAUCUUCAGGAUUUUUAUAUGGAUUUUGGAAGAGUAGUGUGGACUUUAUCUAUAUAUUUUGAUGGAUUAUUAUUAUUAUUUUUUUAACAAAUGAUGUUAUCUACACUAAGAGGGAGGGGAUGGGUUUAGCCUUACAAUGAGCUAGCAAUAAUGUGGUUCAAACUUGCCUUUGGCGAGAAUCGAACCUAAAACUUUUCACUUACAAGUGAAGAGGAACAUCACUAAACCGUAGUAAUAAGUGAUUAUAUUUUGAUGAAUUUGGAUAGCCUUUCUUUUCAUUUAUAUAGGUAAUUUUUUUUAAUACAAAACAUAAAUGAAUUUUUUUUUCUCUUCCCCUUCCCCUUGGGGCCUUUGUACCCCAAAACAUGAUUCCACAGACUUCAAGAAAAAAUUUCAACCUACAAAAUGCUGUAGCAGAGAUUCGAUUUCCCAAUGAAAUAAAUUUUCAUUUUUGAUGAUUGAAUAAUAAAGUUUCAAUUUGCCAUCAACUAAUUAGGUUUUAGAAGAAAUUUGAAUUUGCUUAAUCAGUAAUAAAAACCAAAACAUGAGGGCGCGAGGCAAAGUCUCGAUUUGGAGACCAUAUCUACUGGAUGAAUUUCGUUUAUCAAGUUCUGCAGAAAGUUUUCAAAAAUUGAAGGCCAAAGUCUUCAAUUCAAUCAACACAAAUGUAUUCCCGCUUGUUGAGUUUCAAACCUCGCACGUACAAUUUAUCACUUUUAGUAUCGCAGAAGAUAAAAAAUACAAAGGGAAAAGAAAAAUAUUAACAAAAAAACAUUCCAAAACAGAAGAUUUCAGACAGUGUGAUGCCUAGUGGUGAUGAAGACGAACUGGAAGCCCUUUCUUCGGUGUUGGCAUCAAAGCAUUCACAAGUGAAACAUGCAAAGCCAUAAAACUGAAAGUAAUUGUUGGAUUUGAAAUCCUAGGGGGUAAGGUGCCAAUUUUUUCUUCUUGGUUAUAUAUACUUGUUGCUCCCGAAUUCAUUAAAAUCCUAGCAAAUCUUUAGAAUUUUCAUUACACCUAGACUUGUGUGAACUUUUUUAAAAUCAUAAUCGACUACCUCUUGAUUUGAAUGUAUUCUUUAAAGUUCUUUAAAAUCCUAAUUUGACUACACUAUGAUUUCAAAAUCUUUAUUUAAAAUCCUAAUUGACUACAACCGAAUUUUAAAUUAUAUUAAAAUCUUAUCAAUUCCUAGUUUGACUAAACCCCCACUGUUUUUAAAACUCAAAAAUAAAAGUUUUUCUUCAUUUUUUUAUUGUAAUAUUAUUACUUAGCUUGUCCUAAAGGAUGCAAGGUUGUAUUAUAACUCAGAUGACAGACAGAAACACAAAAAAAUUUGCCCAAACUAAACUGUUGUUUCCAAAUUAAAGUGAGCUCCGUUUAUAAAAUUACUGUUUUCAAAUUAAGGUUUGUUCUAAAUGAUGAAUAAUUGUAUUAUUUAAUUAUUAUUUUUUAAAUGUCUGUUGAUAACAACUUUGUUAUAUUUUAGUAUGUGAUUAAUAAAUCAUGUUAUUAUGUCGUGGAAAAAAUGUGAUAACACACCAAAUUAAAUACUACGUAGAAUAAAAAACUAAUAAUAAAAAGGUCAGUGGAAAUGGUAAGGUUUUUUUUUUUUUUUAAUACAUCGAUAUUUUUACAUUAAGAAGAGGGGAAAUUCGGCUAAGUUAUACAAUGAACAACCUAAUUUGGUAUCGAAUUCUCUAUCCACGAGAUUCGAACCUAACAUCUCUCACUUCCAAAUAAAAUUGAAUACCACCAGACCGUAGUAUUGAGUAACGAAAAUGGUAAGGUUUAGUUUUUGCUUUUUUCUUAUUUAAUCAUACUAUGGCCCUAUGAGAAUUUGUGCCUGGGAACAAAAUUACUUGUCAAGUGAAAAUGACGGUGUGGACAGGCGAGAGUGAGGAGAGGAAAGGACAAGGAACUUCCAGAUAUUUUUGUGGGGAUCUGAGGAUUAAUCAAUUGUGUUCAUUCAUUGUACAUCAUGCAAUCAGUUUUUGUUACAUAUUAAUUUAUAUUCAAAUUAAAAUUUAAAAUUUAAAAUAAUUUUUAACUGCACGAUAUAAGAUAAAUAGAGAUAAUUAAUUAAUCUUCUGGAUCCUCACAAAAAGGAUCCGGAGAGGAUCCUAUUCCAAGAGGAAAGAUACAAAAAAAAAAAAGAAAAAAAAAAGGGAAAUAAACAGGAAAGAGAGAAGAGGAAAUGACGCGUAUGAAUUAUUGUCCUGUGGGUUGUAAGACUUUAGCUUUAUUUGUGUAUAUUUGUAAUUUUAUUUAAAAUUUAAGUUUUUUUUUCAUUAAAAUUCAAGUGUUUUUUUAUUAAAUAAAGUUAUUAGUUGGUUUUUAGUUAAGAAAAAAUUUGGAGAAGCCUCCAUUUUUAUUUGAAGAGGAUUAGUAGGGGGUUAGACAUAAAAAGCCCAAUGAAACUACAACGACUCAUACGGUACAAGGACUAUUUGUGUUAUUUGGCCUAAAUUUUAUAUACAAACAAGUAAUCAAAUAAUAUUUAUUGUUCAAAUUUGAUGUCUGUAGCGUUACUAAAUAAGUGUAUCAAUUGUAAAUCAACAUAUUGAGCUCUAACCUUGCAAGAGGUGAUAUGUCAUUACUUGCAUUCUAUUCGAAUAGUGGAGAGAGAUCCAAACGUGUGCAUUUGAGCGCAAGCACGUAUGGGAAUUCCACACCAAACUCCUAUAUAAGCUUACCUUACGCACUCUUCUCAAGUGCAACUCAACUCAUCAACAUCCACUCCAACUCUUCCAAUUUCCAAAUGGGUAGCCUCAUUUCACAAGAAAACAAUUCUCCCAACGUACCCACAAACCCUCUAGAUCCUGAGGAGUUCAGGAGGCAAGGCCACUUGGUCAUAGACUUCAUUGCAGAUUAUUACAAAUCUAUAGAGAAACACCCAGUUCUAAGCCAAGUCCAACCAGGCUACCUCAAAAAACGCUUGCCGGAUACCGCCCCAUACAACCCUGAACCCCUUGAAACCAUCCUCCAAGAUGUUCAGGACCAUAUUGUCCCUGGCAUAACACAUUGGCAAAGCCCUAACUACUUUGCCUACUUCCCUUCCAGUGGUAGCGUCGCGGGGUUCCUUGGAGAAAUGCUUAGCUCGGGAUUCAAUGUUGUGGGGUUCAACUGGAUGUCGUCGCCAGCUGCAACUGAGCUUGAAAGCACAGUCAGGGAUUGGUUUGGAAAUAUGCUCAAACUUCCCAAGUCUUUCCUUUUCUCCGGCAAUGGUGGUGAUGUGAUACAAGGGACUACUUGUGAGGCCCUUGUUUGUGCAAUGGUAGCUGCCAGGGAUCAAAAGCUAAGCAAAUUUGGUAGACACAACAUUGGGAAGCUAGUUGUGUAUGGAUCCGAUCAAACACAUAGCGCACUUCAAAAAGCUUCCCAAAUUGUUGGAAUUCACCCCGAGAAUUUUCGUUCCAUAGAGACAACAAGAUCUACAUCAUUUGCACUUUCACCCGAGUCCCUAAAAGUGAUUAUAUAUUCAGACAUAGAAGCUGGUCUUGUCCCAUUAUUUCUAUGUGCCACAGUGGGAACAACCGCGAUUGCUACUGUUGAUCCAUUGGGGCCACUCUGCGGCGUAGCGGGAGAUUAUGGCAUGUGGGUUCAUGUGGACGCAGCAUAUGCUGGGAGUGCUUGCAUUUGUCCCGAGUUUCGACAUUUCUUUGAUGGCGUCGAGGGUGCAGAUUCAUUCAGUCUCAACGCGCACAAAUGGUUCUUCACCACUCUCGACUGUUGUUGCCUUUGGGUUAAGAAUCCCAACACGUUGGUAAGUUCACUCUCAACGUAUCCUGAGUAUUUAAGGAACAAGGCCACAGAAUUGAAACAGGUGGUGGACUACAAAGACUGGCAAAUAGCCUUGAGCCGGAGGUUUCGGUCCAUGAAGCUAUGGCUUGUGCUUAGAAGCUAUGGGGUGGCUAACCUUAGAAACUUUCUUAGAAGCCACGUAAAAAUGGCCAAGAUUUUUGAAGGGCUUGUGGCGAUGGACAAAAGGUUUGAGAUUGUGGCUCCUAGGAAUUUCUCUUUGGUCUGUUUUAGGGUUUCGCCAUCCUCGAUUAGCAACAAGGCUUCAAGUGAUCAGAAUGGCAAGACGGAUUAUUGCUGUGAUGCUAAUGGUGAUGAAAAUAGUGUAAUUAUCAACGAGGUGAAUCGCAAGUUGUUGGAGUCCAUCAAUGUGUCCGGUCAUGUGUACAUGACUCAUGGUGUGGUUGGAGGUUUGUACAUGUUACGUUUUGCAGUUGGUGCAACUUUGACUGAGGAACACCACAUUGCCUUGGCUUGGAAGGUGGUGCAAGAGCAUGCAGAUCAAAUCUUGACCAAGUAUUGAGUCGAUUGAUGGAAAUUAAUUAGAGAUAUCAUAUUUUUGUACUACUCUAGUAUAUCAUUUUAUGCGUAUAAACGUCGCAUCAAUUAAUAAUGUGGUAUGAAAAUAUGUUCAGUAUAUCCUAUAUUAAUAUAUUUGGCUUGGAAUGUGUAACAUGCGAGAACUGUGAUCAGUUCGAAUGGGUUGUUGUAACUUGUCUAUGUUUCAUUCUCCAUGCAUGUCUGGAAUUUUAGGGUUUUAUAUUAAUUAAUAAAAAUAAAAUUAUCCAAUUUAUGAGAAUUAAACAUUACUUGUCAAGACCAGUUGCAGUGACUACUAAAAAUGUUUGCCAAUUAGUAAUGGCUUGGGGUGACCAUUUCAACCAUUGCGCAUUUACUCGUUAGUUGGGAAGCCAAUGGAGGGAUUAAGAUCCUCUGUCGGUUGUUUUAUUGUGCAAAUUCACUUGAAAUUAAUUUGUUGAUUAUUGAAAUUAUUGUACUUAAUUGACAAUUCCUGUAAUUAUUUGUAAAAAUCAAUGAAAUACCAUUAUAUUAUUUCUUAUAAAAAAAAAAUUUCAUCACCAAAUCUUUUUAUCCGGAGUCUUGGAAUCCUAAAAUCAUAACCGUUUAAUCGAAUUGUGUGGCCAGGAAUGCGCAAUCUUUCCCUCUUCACUCCACCCCCUUUUUAAAUAAUAACACACCACCCAAAAAGGGAAGAAAAAGAAAAAGAACCCAUCCUUUUUCUUCUCACUUUCCCACUGAUUUCCAUGUUUAUUCCCUGCCUGCCUCCUGUUUUCAUCACAAAAAGGGAAGAAAAAGAACCCAUCCUUUUUUAUUCCACCUUUUAUUCACUGUUAUAUUUCUCACCGAUUCUGCUCUAAUUUCCCAGACAAAAAUGGGAUUUUUUUUGGAAAAUCUCAACCGAGGAAUCACAUAGACUUCGGUUCUGAGCUAAUGGAGUCUGAGAUCAAGUCUUUCAACAAAGAGAAAAAAAUGAGGCCUAAGGAAUUUUACCUUGAAAAUUGAAAGAUUGAGUCACGACCGUUGGAUCAUUAGUGAACGGUCAUAUCAAUUGAUUCCUAGGGUCCUCACAUCAAUUAUCAUUAUCUCAAAAAAAAAAAAAGGUAAAAUAGGAAAAAUAGGGAUAUAAUCGUCAUUUUGUCAAAAGGUACAAAAUUACUAUUUUGCCCUCCUUUUGUCAAUAGUAUGUAUCAAAAGUAAGGGCAAAAUAGGAAAUAAAAUUGACAAUGAGGGUUUUCUUAAUAAUAGUAUAGAUUUUGUAAGUACUGCAUAUAUACAUAUAUAUCACAUGUCUUUUAUUAAAUUUUGCAAGAUCUCGGGUUUCCUUGAUCAUGGACCUAAAAUAAACUCUUAUGAAAAAUGUACGAGACCUAAAAUAUGUAUUGCAUGAUACACAUUUUGUUUAUGUUGUAAUAUUAUUCUGUAUUUCAAGAUUGUCCCUGAAUCAAGUGUCAAUUUUUGAGUCAUGUGUUCCAUGACUUAAGUCACUGCAGCCAAGAGAAUCUGCAAAUCAUAUUCGACAAAGAUUACCUCGAACGAAAAAAAAAAGUCCAAUGCGGUUUCUUUUAUAGGAUACUUUUGCAAAAUCAUGUACCAACUCCCACUACGUGAAACUAAAAUGAAACGAAGAAUAGUACUGCAAGCAAAUGCAAUAAUGCAUGCAUUAUUGAAAGAGCGUACUAAAAUGGAACCAUCCUUUGUGUUUAUACCCAGUUUUCAUUGUUGUCGGACCAAUAUCUGGAAAGCUUUCCAUUCUGCUUUCUUAUCACUCAACCAAGCUUUCUUAUCACUCAACAUACAAUAACUCAGGUAAUAGUAUUACGUACAGUCAAUCACAUACGUGCAUGCAUGCAUGAAAGGAUUUAGCCGCUAAUGUAUUGAUGAGUUUGGUGGAUCUAACGAAUUAUUGAGCUACAAGUACAAUAAUACUGAACCAAACUGAAUUAUAUAAUGAAAAAAAAAAAAGGUUUUCAUUCCUAUUUUUCCUAUUACAUUGAUUAAAACCUUAUUCAUUUUUAAUUUUUUUUAUCAAGGUCCUUAGAUUUUAAUAAACGUAAUUAAUUAUUUCAAUAAUAUUUUUUUAUUUCUAAAUAUAUUCAUUUAGUGUUAGAAACAUUACAUUUGGUAUAUUUAUGUUUAUGGCUAAAUUUUUUAUCAUACAUUUUUAUUUUUGUUGUAGGCAUAAUUUACUGAACAAUUAUGGAGGGCAAUUGAGAGAGGAAGAGAGUGUGGCAAAAACCCAAGGUGGGAGAAAAACCCAUAGACUAAGGAGAAAAAUGAGAAGUUGCAUUAAGUCAAAACUAUACUUCUUUUGGAUGUAAGUAGAAGAGCUCACAAGGGUAUGAUCAGCCCAGGAUGGGUGUCUCGUUAAAACCUAGUUAGGUAGCGAAAACCCAGUAGGAAAAAAUGCUCCUAAUCCUAGGGAAAAAAAGUACAUUAAGAUAAAGUGAGUAUACUUCUGGAUACUCCCCUUGAGUUUGACAUAACUUCCAAAUGAGAACUACAAGCAUUGCAUAUGAAUAGUUAGGCAUACCAAUUCCUCGAACAAGCUUCUGCAAUGUUGACUUCGGCAGUGACCUCGUGUAGAGGUCGGCAAGGUUGUUUGGGAUUGGGUUGCAUGACUUUAAUCUCCUGAUGCUUUGUUGAUGUAGAUAUGGACGCAAUAUGUCUUGGCGUUGACUUCGUAGAUGUAUCAUGGCUUGGUCGGGUUAAUACAUGCGGCAUAAUCUUCAUGGAUCGUCGUCGGGACUCAACGAUGGAUGAAAACACAGCAAGUACUUCAAAAUAUGCUCAACAAGAACUUCUAACCAUGUCUCACUUGUGGCGUAGUGAAGUGAGGUGAGUCUUGGAACGAUUCGAAGGUUUCGCAACUAAGGUCAUAUUAUGGACCUCCAAGAUAUUAUGAUAUCCUUAAUGGUAAAGACAUAACCAUUUGGGGAUUUUGCCUUGUGCGGGUUUGAUAAGUAACUAGCGUCAGCAUAACAAACAAGGCAAGCAUCAUUUCAUGGAUCAGGGGGUUGGAUUCGCUCGAGAUGCAUCGGGAUUUGAUUUGCCUAAAUUCGUAGUACCUUUAGGGUACGUCUUUAAUACCAAUUCAGUGGUUGCGUGUAGGCGCGGUACUGCAUCUUUACCAAUAUAUCAACAAUGAAGGAGAUGUCCUGUCUAAAUACAAUGAGCUAAGUACAAUAAAGCGCAAAGUUAAACUUAGAUAUGGAAUUUCAGAUUCCAUAACCUCUUCAAAGGGUCUCAUUUGUAUAUAACCUAUGGACGAUCAAAGGUAUACUCAAAGGUGACACCUUCGGAGUGUAGUUCGACUGGUAGACCAAGGUACCGCCAAAACAACGCUUGAACUUCGGGUCAAGGCAUAAACGAGUUUUCCUAAGAUCAUUCAUCUCAAAUUCCAUCUUCAAGUGCGAGGCAGUUUUCUCAAGCUCUUCCGGAGUCUUAGUGAGAUGUAUGUCAACGACAUAAACUGUAACUCUAGCAAUUUGGAAUAAGACUUCAUAGUUUAACACGCAAUGACAUAAUUCAUAUCCCUGACUGAUUAAAUAAUCACUUAGACGGGUAUACCACAUUCGUCUGAUUGUAAGUGAACACCUCAAACAAGUUAAGAAUGUGUUCCAUGGUUUGGAACUAUUUGAACCAGUCCAUGUAAUUUUUCAGAAACUUACAUGUAAAUCUCCGUAUCAAUAUCCCUAUGGAGAAAACAUUAACCACAUUUCAUAAUACUGCUAUCAAUCACAAGACGUUUGAGAGAAACCUUGCGUUAUAAGGCGUGCAUCAUAUCGCACUAUUUCAUUCAUCUCAUAACGCUUCCUUUUUCACUUGUAACAUAACAAGGUUACCUUGGGCAGUGUAGGAACGACAGGUCCAAUACACACUUUGGUAAGGAAUUUGACUUGGAUUGUAACUUCAGUUGUCCAAUCAGUUAUACGUUAUCACUUAAUCAAUGGAACACGGUUCGAUAUCGUCACUUUUCAUUUAUGUUGGUAGCUACCAUAUAACUGAAAACAUCAUCGAUGGUAAUCUCAUUUCAAUUCCAUUUAGCUCACCCAAACUAGUAUAUUGAACCAAGAACUUCAUGUCUCGAGAGUAAUCCAGAUUAAUCACAUAAGAUGAAAAUGAUUUUAAACAACUAUCAAGUUUAGAUUCAUUGUUGUGUCGUGUCUUUCUCUUCUAGGGAAGUGAAUCUUACGAACUAAGUGAUCUGUCGUGCUCUAAGCCAAGACAGAUUGAUUGGUUAUCCACCGGUGUACUGGAUCGUCCAACAGGGACGUCCAAACCGUCCAAUAGGGAUGACACACCCUUCGAGGAUGUUGACUUGACGUCCGUUAAGUAUGUCUAUCCUUGCAUGCAUGUUUGCAGCUAGUAUAUGAUCUUGUCACUUUAGCUAGAUCAGAUGAAUGCAUAUGGAGCAACAUUCUGAAAGCUAGAAUUUCAUCGCACUUAUUUAUUAUACAUGUGCGGUACGGGAAUUAAGAUGAGACAUAGUGGGUAACGUCCACGCAAAUUCGUGCAGAUCUAUAGGAAAGUUGACAUUCUUAUCUCCCCCUAACAGCGAGAAGACUGUUUCAUUAAAGUGACAACUCGCAAAUAAACGGUAAAGAGAUCGCAUGCAAGGGUUCUAAGAUAGCUAAUGUGAAGGAGAAUCAUGAUCGAUAAAGAUUCACAUCCUUUUUUGAGGAUCCAUGUUGGUAUGUUGUGGCAAUGCGACUUAGCACAUGGAAUGCACACUCAAAUGGGUAAAUACGAAAAUCGUCAGGUUCAUACCCAGUAACCAACUGUAAUGUCAAGUAGGUUGGGUGGCAACAUAGUUUCGUACAAGAUUGCAUAGCCCUAGGCAAAAAUAAAAAACUUGGUACGUUCACCAAAAUCCGGGCGAUCAUUUAAAUUUGCGCUUUAUGAUCACUAGGCGAGGCUAUUUGAGGUGAACAUGAGAAUUCGAUGUUCAAUUAUAAACCCAAAAUACAUGCAAUACUUUAUCGAAAACUGUCGAUAUAAACUCUCUGGCAUUAUCCAGUCUCUCAGACCUUAAAGGAUAAGUAGGGUGGUGAGCCCUUAAUCGGCCAUGAAGUUUACCAGCAAUGUGUGUAGACAAACAUACGACCAGUUUAUCGAUUGAUCAACCAAAACCAUAAGUAUUUAUAUGGUCCGCAUUUUGAUUGGAUUAGUCCACAUAUAUUCCCUUGAAUCCACUAUGAAAAAAUGGUGAUUUCGUAUCUUUGCAAGAAAUGAUAUAAAAAUCAAUUUUCCUAAUGAUCAGGCUUGGCAAAGUGUGCUUGUAGGCACAAGAUCCUUAGUUCGGGUAAGAAGAUGCGUAGUAGCAUCAUUGUUUGAUCUAAGUGUCCCAAAAGGUCGUGCCAAAACAAGUAAACUGCUCAAUCACUAGGCUCUAGGUCAGCCACAUGUUGUGUGUUUCUAGUUGGGAGACAACCUACUAGCCCCAAUCAAAGUUUCAGGCUCAUUUUUGGAGGUGGUGCAAAGAUUUUUCACUCUAUUUUCUUCAAUGGUUUCAUUGAUGAUCAUUGUCAUCUCGAAUAUCCUUAAAAACUCAACGACGGGGAGAAUUUAAGGUCCCUUAAAUGGUAAUUUAGUACCAUUUAUACAACGAGGAGCGUGCCAAAUGCUCUUAAUCAGGUUGGAUGGACCUGAAGUCAUUGUUAGAGAUGUGAUUUAGGUGUAAAGUUAGUAAGCGUAGUACGCAUUCAUCCAGACAACUAACUUUUCCACAAUCCUACCUAAUCAUGUGUUUAAUUGAAUCGGUCACAUGUAUUAAGAAACAUGAUUCAAUUAACUCAUAUUCGAGGACAAUAUCAAUAAGAUUAUCCAUAACUAAAACAUAGGCCAAACUUGAAUCCAAGAACAUGGAAAAGUGUUCACAAAGUAAACCAAAGUUACUAGGGUGGAUUCGGCCAACAAGGUCAUUCAUGUCAAAAUUCUACUCUUCCAACGGUGUUCAAUAGAGCAAAAUUGAUCUCACAUAUUGACUAUGAGAAUGGUACUCCUCAACAACAUUGGUACAGGCACGAACAGGUGCAUAACCAAUGAUCUAUUCCAUCUAGACAGAAAUAGAUUCUGCAAGGUUAAGGUUUCAGAACAACAUCCCUUAUUCUUGAAGUUUUAGGUCUUAGGUGCCAAGAAUCACGCUUUGGGCAUGAUGCCACACCUUGGCAGGCCCUGAUUCUACCAUAUGUUUAUGGUAGUAAUUAGAUCCGAGAAUUUGGUAAACUUCCACUUUCUACACUUGUUGCUUCAGGAGCAAGUUAGAAGCAAGGACGAGAAAAUUAUUCUCUAGUAAAAAAUCGAUCGGAUUUAUAAACUUCAGAAUUGUACUCAUUCAUGGACGUAGUCAUGGUGUGCUUCGGGCAAUAUCUUUCAUGAUUAGACGGUCCAUGGGAGCAAGCCAAAGAGCUAUGGAAUCCUCGUUUAGGAUGUAUUUCCAUUUGUAAUACUUUGGGCAUAAGUCUUCGAAUGAAGAUUAUGACGGAGGCUUAUUCAGCUCUUAUAUGCCAUUAUUGGCUUCAAUGGUUUCUCAGCUUCUUGAUAGUCAAGUGGAGAUUCACGUCUUGUACCCACAUAUAUCUAACGACAUCAGGUGAGACGUUUUCGGAGGACGAGCGCAGCUAAACGAGACUUGGGGGUUACGACCCAACUAUGUACCUGUGAGUAACCUUUUGGUUUUAUAAAUAUACGUAUAUAUAUGUUCUACGUUUUCCAGAAACUAUUUAAAAUGGAAUUUCGUUAAAAUGCCAUGUCAUAUUUGCUUAUGUUUGUACCAUAUUUAAGGUCUCCGUAUUUAUACCUCGUAUAAAUACUUGGGGAAUUCAAAUGUAAUUAUGUAAUAAAUGAAGGGGCAAAUAUGUAAUAAGUGAGGAGCCCUUAUUCUAUAAAAUGACUCCUUACUCUCCUCAUUAGGGGAGGUCAAGGCUUAGGCCAUGAGAAGAGAGAAAAUAGGCUAGAGAGCACACUGCCUCUAGCUUUCUUGUAUAUUCAUCAUUCAGAGUGAAACAAUAUCAACAUCAAUGUGGACGUAGCCCAAACAUUGGGGUGAACCACGAUACAUCUUGUGUUCUUUACUUUCUUUCAGAUUCACGGUCGGGUUUACGUUAGUCUAAGACCCAUUCGGUUUUGUGCAUCAACAUUUGGCGCCGUCUGUGGGAAACGACACGAAAAGCUAUAUUGGUUCUCUUUCAUUUUUUUUACCUCCGUCGUGGAUCUGCAAAAUCCGCACAGAGACACAGACACAUAUAUCUCUCUAUCUGAAACUUCCAAUUUAUAGAGCUGUUUCAUCUUCCACUGUUUCCAUCUCCCAAAAUCUCUCUUCCAUCGACACACUUCGUCUAAAAAAUUCUCUCUCUUGCGUUACUAGUCAAAGCAAAACCCUAGUAAGCAUGGUCGGACCCUCGCCUGACCUCACCAAGGUCAUCAACAUCAAGUUACUCUGCAGCUAUUGCAGCAAAAUCCUCCCCUGUUACCCCGACAGCAAGCUCCGUUACCUCAACGGGGAAACCCGUGUCCUUGCCGUUCCCCGCUUUAUUUCCUUUUCUAAACUGUCUUCCAAGAUGACUGAGUUGUAUGGGCCAUCCAUAACGGCCUUCAGUCUGCACUGUCAAUUGCCCACCGAGGAUCUCGACGCCCUCGUAUCCAUCAAGUCCGAUGAGGAUCUCGUUAAUCUCAUUGAAGAAUACGACAGAGCAGCCUCUUCCUCUAAUCUGAAGAUCAGAGCCUUCCUCUUACUCAUCCCCAUUAGCAGGACACCUAAAAGCAUUUCAUCCCCUUCUUCCAUUUUGGCCUACAGAUGCCUCCACAACCAGCACUACUUUCGCAAGGUCUUCAAGGCCUGCAUGCGCCUGUGGAAGUACCAACAGGAGAACCGCUCUAAGCUCGUCGUUGCCGGCUUGAACCGUUGGGAAAUCGAUGAGAUCGCCAGCCGGAUCGGCCAGCUCUACUUCGGCUAGUUCAUGUGCACCAGCGAGGCCCGAUUCUUUCUCGAGGCCUACGUCUUUUACGAAGCCAUUUUCAGCCGCAGCUACUUCGACGGCUUCACCGGUUUCGAAGGUUUCAAGAAGAAGGAUAUCGGAGUCCGCUUCAAGGAGUUGAGAUUUUACUCCCGGUUUCUGCUAUUUUCCUCGAUUUUGAACCAGAUUGAGACGGUUCAUCUUCUUGCCGAGCUGUUCAAAUCGCUUGUUGAUGACUGCAAAGCCAAUUUUCAGGAAAUAUAGUGUUUUUGUGUUCUUGUGCAUACUCAGGCCCCAGACUCUCCUCGAACCAAAGCUCCACUCAAUUUCACCAUGUGAGGCAGGACAAGCAAUAAUUCAGAGAACUCAGUGACCCAUCCCCUACAUCUAGGGUGGUAACCAUGUAAAAUCAUUUUCUGAGAAAUCAAAAGUAGAAAGCAAAAGUAGAAAGCCAAUAAGCUGUAAAUGCAAGUGUGGGAGAUCAUUGCAAGCAUCCAAUGUAGUCUCCUCAAAUUCCUUGGGCAUCGACCACCAGUAAAGCCAAAGAAGAAAGCAAAAGUAGAAAGCAAAAGAAGAAAAAAAUAGAUCAGGAAAAAAAUAAGAAAGCCGAGAUAUGUUUUUCAAACAAAGAGUCAAGUUGGUAUACUUGAUGAUGGCUUUUGUCAACACAGAGAGACCAUACUUGCUGACCAAACCUGCUUCCCCGUGAAGUUUUCCUCCAACAGCUGGACCACUGAGGUUGAUGUGAAGGGAGAAAUCUCGCUGUUGCCAAGUCCCAGCAGUUUUUUUUUCUUCUUCUUUUGAAUGAUGUGAUUUACUUUUCUUAUCUUUUGGAGACAUCUGUAUAACCUCACAAGAGGGUAAUCAUAAAAAAAAUAAAUAAAUAAAAAGUCUGCAAGCCCAUAAUAGUGGGCUGGAAUGUAAUAGCGAAGGUCCAUAUGCCUAAAAGAACCAAGCCCUAUAGCUUCAAACUCCAACCUCCAUCCCUCACUUAAGGUUCACCAUCUAUUAUCACCAACUAGGUGAUCAAAAGUACGUCCAGUACUCCAAAAUUAUUCGGUAGCAUGCCGCUAUUAUCACCAACUAGGUGAUCAAAAAUACGUCCAGUUCUCCAAAAUUAUUCGGCAGUCCAAAAUUAUUCGGCAGCUUGCCGCUAUUAUCACCAACCAGGUGAUCAAAAGUACGUCCAGUACUCCAAAAUUAUUCGGCAGUCUGCCGCUAUUAUCACCAACUAGGUGAUCAAAAGUACGUCCAGUACUCUAAAAUUAUAUAUGAGCAUCACUCAUGUCAAUCAUACAUAAACAUUCAUAAGCAUCACUCAUGUCAAUCAACAUAAACAUUCAUGAGCAUCACUCAUGUCAAUCAUACAUAAACAUUCAUGAGCAUCACUCAUGUCAAUCAACAUAAACAUUCAUGAGCAUCACUCAUGUCAAUCAGCUUCGAAAGCUUCAUUUACAAGAGCUCCAGCUUUGAAAGCUUAAUUUACAAAGCUCCGACUUCAAAGCUUCAUUUACAAAAGCUCUAGCUUCAAAGCUUCACUUUCAAAGCCUCACCUAUAAAACUUCACUUUCAAAGCUUCACAUACAAAGCUUCAGUGCAUGGUAUACAAAGACCGUCUCCGAACAACUGCAACUUCGGCCCAUACAUGGAUUGAAUUUGAAGUCUCCAGCCAACAUACCCUAUUGACUGAAGACUUGAGGGACUACACUAUGUACAAUAUAUUGGGUUUCCGCAACUGGGCCUUAUGAAAAAUACUUGGGGGACUUAGCCCAUUAUUUAUGUACUGAGGAGCGAACCUUUAUUCUAUAAAAAUGACUCAUUCACUUUCAUUAGAGAGCACCCAUUAAUCAUAUAUUGAGGAGCAAACCCUUAUUUUAUAAAAUGAACUCAUUCUCAUUCACCUUCAUUAGAGAGAGACUUUUAGCCCAUCACUUAUGUAUUGAUGAGCGAACCCUUAUUCUAUAAAAGGGACUCCCUCAUCUUCAUUAGAGAGCAUUGCCGCCAGCUGAACAACCACCCCGUCGCGAGCAUCACUCCUAACCCAUCACUUAUGUAUUGAUGAGCGAUCCCUUAUUCUAUAAAAUGGACUCUUUCACCAUCAUUAGAGAGCAUCGCCGUCUGCUGAGCAACCGCCUCGCCGCGAACAUCAACUUUAGCCCAUCAUUUAUGUAUUAAGGAGUGAGCCAUUAUUCUAAAAGGGACCCCCUCACCUUCAACACCACAGGCUGAGCCAACCAAGGCAACAUAAGCCACAAGCCGAGCAGCCUCGCAACAUGUGCUACUUCUAGUUGAGCAUCAUUUCACAUUGAGCACCGCCUUAUAUUGAGUAUUCAAUUCUAGACGACAUCUAGUUACUUCGGCCCACACAUGAACUGAAUUUCAAGUCUCCAGCCAAAAGACUUUCUUGACUGAAGACUUGGGGGACUACUGUUUGUACCAUAUUUAGGGCCUCCAUAUUUAGACCUCGUAUAAAUACUCGGGGGACUCAAAUGUAAUUAUGUAAUAAAUGAAGGGGUAAAUAUGUAAUUAGUGAGGAGCCCUUAUUCUAUAAAAGGACUCCUCACUCUUCUCAUUAAGGGAUGUCAAGGCUUAGGUCAUGAGAAGAGAGAAAAUAGGCUAGAGAGCAUACUGCUUCUAGCCUUCUUGUAUAUUCACCAUUCAGAGUGAAACAAUAUCAACAUCAGUGUGAACGUAACCCAAAUAUUGGGGCGAACCACGAUACAUCUUGUGUUCUUUACUUUCUUUUAGAUUCACGGUCGGGUUUACGUUGGUCCAAGACCCUUCCAGUUUUGUGCAUCAACGGCUUACAUAUUAGCAUAUGCUUAAGUAUAGCUUUACAUAAUAUUGUAUGAUGUUGCAGAGGCCUAGGUAAGUUUAGGUGAGUACUUAUUGAUGGUAUGGUUGCAUAGUAGUUGGUUAUGAGUUGAUGCACUUAGAGAUUUAUGUCCUGCACCCUGGUGUUAGUGCUCCACUCGAGGCCUAGCCUUCACGUGAUCGUUCACCUCUCGCACCACAUGCUCACUUUAGAUCCAAUGCAUGUGCUAGCCCGUCAUACAUACCACAUUAGGUGAUUCCGACUCGUAGGUGACUUGCGAUAUUUCGCACAGCCUUCACAUGAUCGUAGCACUUUAACAUAUUUAUUUAUACCUAGACUGUCGUACAGACCACAUUAGGUAGUUCCGACUCGUGUGCAUGAUUCGAUUGUUGAGCUAUAGACUCAACCGUACAGGUCACGUUAGGUGACUACGGCUAUAAGGUCAUUUUAUAUUGAUUCAUUUUACCUGACUUACUUAUUUCAUUGCUAAGAUACUUGACAUGGCAUAUGCUUUGUUUUCACUACUCUUGAGUAGGAUUUCUAUAUGCAUACGUAUUAUUAUUUUCUAGGAAAAUUAUUUGGAUUUUACGGUGAGGGUUAUAUGUUUUGAAAGUGAAAUGGUUUUGAAAAGUUUUAUUUUUGCCUACUCACAUUUUCUGUUUUGUGCCCCUCUAGGUUCUAGUUAGAAGUUCAUGUUGGUGGCUCACAAGGACUAUACAGCGGUUCUGACAGAUAUCUAUCAAUGUAGGGUUUUCUUUCAUAUCCUGUACAAUUAGUAUUUAGCCCGUUGGAUUGCACUUUGGUACCUACGCUCUGAUUAUGUAUAUCUACACUCUAAUACUUCCACUCAUAUUUAUAUACUUACCUAGUGUAGAGUAGCUAGUUCGGUUUUUAUUUACCCACAUUAUCUUAUCACCUUUACUUCCGCACAACGCACAUGGCUACGACACCCUCACAUGACGUCCAUCAUGCCUUGAUUUAGGUCGGGGUGUGUCACAUAUCUAUUAGGAUUUACACAAUCACAUUCCUAAUCUAAUAGGACUGCAACACUCCCCAUUGAGUGUGUAAAUACUCAAGUAAAUGGCGCAUCAGGUCUUCAGUGAUGAAGUAAGUACAGUUGAUGAAGUUGUCGGCACAAUGAGUGAAUGCGAGUCUCAAAUCAAUGGAAGAAUGCAUAAAAAGUAAAACUCACAAAACUUCGCUAUGGUAAAACCCAAGGUGGGAGAAAAACUCAUAGACUAAAGAGAAAAGUGAGAAGUUGCAUUAAGUCAAAACUAUACAUCUUUUGGACGCAAGUAGAAUAGCUCACAAGGGUAUGAUCAGCCUAGGAUGGGUGUCUCAUUAAAACCUAGUUAGGUAGCAAAAACCUAUUGGGAAAAAUGCUUCUAAUCGUAAGGAAAAAGAGUUCAUUAAGAUCAAGUGAGUAUACUUCUGGAUACUCCUCUUGAGUUUGACAUAACUUCCAAAUGAGAACUACAAGCAUUGCAUAUGAAUAGUUAGGCAUACCAAUUCCUCGGACAAGCUUUUGGAAGGUUAACUUCGGCAGUGACAUCAUGUAGAGGUCGACAAGGUUGUCUGGGAUCGGUUUGCAUGACUUCAAUCUCCUGAUGCUUUGCUAAUGUAGAUGUGGAUGCAAUAUGUCUUGGUGUUGACUUCGUUGAUGUAUCAUGGCUUGGUCAAGUUGAUACAUGCGGCAUAAUCUUCAUGGAUUGUCAUUGGGACUCAACGAUGAAUGAAAACACAGCAAGUACUUCAAAUAUGCUCAACAAGAACUCAUAACCAUGUCUCACUUGUGGCGUAGUGAAGUAAGGUGAGUCUUGGAACAAUUCGAAGAUUUCGCAACUAAGGUCAUAUCAUGGACCUCCAAGAUAUUGCGAUAUCCCUAACGGUAAAGACAUAACCAUUUUGGGAUUUUACCUUGUGCGGGUUUGAUAAGUAACUUGCAUCAGCAUAACAAACAAGGCAAACAUCAUUUUGAGGAUUAGGGGGGUUGGAUCUGUUGAGAUGCAUUGGGAUUUGCCCUCGUAGUACCUUCAAGGUACGUCUUUAAUACCAAUUCAGUGGUUGCGUGUAGGCGCGAUGCUAUAUAUUUACCAAGAUCAACAGUGAAGAAGAUGUCUUGUCUAAAUACAAUGAGCUAAGUACAAUGGAGCCUGUUUGUACCAUAUUUAGGGCCUCCAUAUUUAGACCUCGUAUAAAUACUCGGGGGACUCAAAUGUAAUUAUGUAAUAAAUGAAGGGGCAAAUAUGUAAUAAGUGAGGAGCCCUUAUUCUAUAAAAUGAUUCCUCACUCUCCUCAUUAAGAGAGGUCAAGGUUUAGGCCAUGGGAAGAGAGAAAACAUCUUAGAGAGGGCAAACACAGAAAAUAAGCUAGAGAGCACAUUGCCUCUAGCCUUCUUGUAUAUUCACCAUUCAGAGUGAAACAAUAUCAACAUCAGUGUGGACGUAGCCCAAACAUUGGGGUGAACCAUGAUACAUCUUGUGUUCUUUACUUUCUUGCAGAUUCACGGUCGGAUUUAUGUUGUUCCAAGACCCCUCUGGUUUUGUUCAUUAACAAAUUCUGUUUUGGAAAAAAAAAAUUUGGUGAAUUUGUCUUACACCCAAAUUUGAAAAUGCUUCAUCGCACUAAGAUUUCUGCAUUCCCCAGCCCCACCUUGGAUCUGGAUCCGUCCACAACCGUACACCGCAAAAAAGAAAAGGCUGAUGUUGUAGGUUUGCACAGAAGGAAAAAAAGGAAGGAAGAAGGAAGGAAAAAAAGGGGGGGGAAGAAGAAAAAAAUGGUCGUUUUGGGGUUUUGGCCCACACGGGCAAAGGGAAAAAAAUGGUCAAGCUAGUUUUUGGAUCCACACAAGUUGUUAACCUGUUUGGAAUUGUUUGUGACUGUUACUCAAGUGCUUGGAUUUGUGAUCAUUAAAGUGAUAGUUGUUUUUUAAUUUUCGUCGUUUGUUGUUACAAUUGAGAUAUGGAAAUCUCGUCCGUUUAAUGACGGGUUUUCUCCAUACUCUCAACACUAGCCAGUUUGAACCAAAAUCAGUUUGCCAUCAAGAAUCAAGAAUCAGUUUGCCAAUUUGCAAUCAAGAAUCAAGUUAAGUCAAGUCAAGAAUCAAGUCAAGUCAAGUUUGCAUGUCUGCUAGUCCGCAUCAGCUUUUUUGCAAACCCAUGUCGUAUACCGUCAUGAGUUUGAUGGGGGGUAUUGGAAUAUAUUAGUAUUUUAGGUAUUAUAUUGUUUGGGUUUUCUUAUAAGUUUAGUUUGGGCCUAACCUGUUAGCAUUAGGGUUAGAGUUAGUUUAUUAUAAAUAGAGUGCUUUGUUAUCAUUAGAGAACAAGUUAUUCACAAUGUAGGGUUUUGUAGCCGUUCUGGUAUUCUUGUUUGUUUAAUAAUAUUCCUAUUAUUUUUGUUAGUCUUGUUCGUUACGCACUUUGAUAUUCAACUAUCUCUGUUGAGAGUUGUCCUCGUGUGAAGCCAAACGGUCACACGCGCUCAACGUCACCCUGUUGUGCUGUCCAUGUGUAUGCUUGAAAAUUGGCCACACGUGGGAGGGGGCGUGUUGAGAGUUGUCCCACAUCGGUGAAAGACAAAAUUUGCUAUGUGCUUAUAUGGUUUUAGACUACUUCCCAUAUUGCCAAUUGACUUUAUGAUGGAACCUCAAUUUCAUCAAAAUCCCUUUUUUCUGCUGGGUUCUUGCGAUGAGAGCAUAAACAAAAAUUCAGAGACCCAAAGAAGAUAUGAAGAUCCCAAGUCUCACCUUCGCCUUCCGCUACAAACGAAAUUUGGGAUAUGGGUUAUGUAACCCACUUUUGGAUUCAAAUAAAACGUUUCAGGAUUAGGAAGAAAACCCAUAUAGGAUUUCAAGACAACCCCAAGGCCACUCCAUCAAUUUGCCUUAAUAGGAAUUGGAAGGGGUUCAUACCGUACCGAACCAGGAUAGACGUAAAUACAUGCCUUUUAAUUGAUUUACCACAGCUGAACGAUGGGUAGUCACUUUUCAUGAAAAUGAAACCCUAAAAUUUGUUCUAAACUUUCAUAACAGCACUUUAGUUGAUGCUCCAUUAUAGCUUAUGUGUGAAAAUAUUGAAUUAAAUGAUGCUCAUUUAUAGGGUAAACGCAUCUAUAUAUGCAUCACAAGCCUUUAAAUUUAAAGACAAGGGUUCCUUUAACAAUAGAGUUGACGGUCUCAUCAUAAUCAAACUUAUGUUGUUGAUCAGUGGCGGAACCAGGAAUUUAAAACAUGGGGUAAAAAAAUAGCUUUAAAAAUUCCAUCAUACUUUCAUUUAUAAUUGUCCACGGUGUGUUCUCAUAUUUUAGAAACAUAGAAUCAGAACAUUUUUAUCAAUAGAACCAAAAACAUCUUUCUCAAUGUACACAACCAAACUAUCAUUCAACCCAUCUUAUUAAGAUGUGGAUUCUUCAUAAUUUUCAUCACCGAAAAAACUAUUUCAACUGAAGCAGUUGCAACAGUUAAAAUCAAUGUUAAUUUCACUAGCAAGUACACCAAGGGAUAUUGUCGGUCCCUCUUUGUCUCCGUCAACUUUUGUGCAAGGCUACUAAUCCCUUUCAACGCAGAAAACUCAUUAUGCAAACGACGUAGCUUUGUUAAAUUAGAAAGGUAUUAAUUUUUUUUUUAAGGGAUAAGUUUAGAAAAGGAUAAGUUUACAAGUAAAAGGUUAUUGGGAUAAGUUUACAAAGCAACGUGCUGCUGCAAAGCUGCUGUUGCAGGCUACUAUACGGGUUCAUAAAAUUUUCAAAGGGAUAACUUGACAAGGUUAUUGGGGUCAAAGGAUGCCAAUGCCCCCGCGUUGGCUCCGCUAGUGUUGUUGAUGACAACUUUUGGCAACAAGGCAAACUUCAUAGCAUUUAUUGGUGCCAAUGCCAUUUUAAUUGCGCUUGAUACGGAAUAGAGACUUGAAAACUCUCAUCACGUCCCUAAUCAAAUUUCGUGAACAGAAAGAGGAAUAUGGAAUGUCUUGUUAAGUUUAUUAUAAUCAAGUUUCAUAUGGUUAAUAUGGUACGUACUAUAUAUAUGUAUAUACCUUAUACAUUAUUUUGCCUAAGUAUUUUCUAUAUUAACAUGUGAACUCCCCAUAAGAAAUUUUUGGAAUGCUACUAACAACACCCAUUAACAAACAUAUAUAACAUAUAUAUAUAUAUACACACACACACACACACCAUAUAUAAAGAUUCUGCCAGUUAUAUUUCUUAUCAGUAGCAGAGGCCCCGGAGGAGAAAAAAUAACUAGUCUCUCGCCUCCCCUCUUCACUCUCUUAAACACUUCCCUCUUACUAAUUCAUCUCACUUCUUCUCAUCGAAAGACAGAAAGACGAGGAGGCAACAAAGGGAAUUCGAAAUUGUGGAGAUAUCGCUUCGCCUAUCUAUAUAAAAAAUUCUUCCUCGCUGCUUUCUUGAUUGUCUAGCUAGGGUUAGGGCUUUCUUUUUCUUUUCUUUUUUUUUUUUUUGUCAAAGGUUAGGGUUUUCUUUUUCCAAUAGACUCAAAAUUUAGCUAUAGAACUCUAAAAUUAUUCUCAUCGUGGGUUAAAGAAUAAGGAUCAUAAAUAAAUGUAUUAAAUUUAGGGUUGAUUAAUUAUGAACGAAUUAUUUUCCUUUUCUUAAUCCCAAAGGGUGUAUUCAAUUAGGAUUUUAAGGAUUUUAAUUCUUUUUAUGAAUAUUUAUCGUUCUCUGACCAUUAAUUUAUGCAAAUGAAAUGAUCACUGAUUCUUGUUCUUGUUAAUUCCUCUUUGCAGUUUGUUGUGAUAAAUCAAGUAAAACCUAAAAAAAAUGUCGUCAAACACUCAUUCACCGUGCGCUGCGUGCAAGUUUCAACGGCGAAAAUGCACGCAAGAAUGCGUGUUCGCCCCCUAUUUCCCACCAGACCAACCUCAAAAAUUCGCAAACGUUCACACGGUUUACGGUGCGAGCAACGUCGGCAAGAUCCUGAACGAACUCAAUGUUGCAUACCGUGAAGAUGCGGUGACGUCAUUGGCCUAUGAGGCAGAGGCUCGUCUUCGGGACCCGGUGUAUGGUUGUGUUGGUUUCAUCUCAUUUCUCCAGAACAGGCUUAAGCAAGUCCAGACUGAUCUCUACAAUGCCAAGAAAGAUCUGUAUGCCUAUGUUGGCCCUCAGGCAUUGAUGAUCCCUCUGUUGGGGGCUACCACUGGCCCUCCGCCCCAGCAGGGCUGCAGGGGAGGCCAGCUUUUGAUUCGCGACCAACAUCAGCAGCAAUUGUUCGAGGCUCAUCAGCAAGAGCUUGUCAGGUUCAAUAUCAAUGGGAUGGACGCCGCAGCGAGUUUGGUUAAUGGAAAUGGGUUUAGUCAGAUUCCCGCAGCUGCUGCUAGUACCGGUGUGGUGUCUGGUUCAUUGGGUUUGGGUGGAGCUUUUGAUAAUAACCAUUAUAACCAGAUCCAACAAGAAGCAGCUGCACAUCACCAGAAUUCCCUAGACCAUCAGCUUCAGGCUCGGCUGAUGCUCCAACCACACCCGGCCCAGGAAUCACAGCAGAAAUCAGAAGGCGAGGAGAGUUGAGAUUCUCCAUUGCAUGCCUGCCUUCUUCAAUAAACAAUUGCCCAUCCUUGGUAUGUACUAUGUACGUAGUACACUUUAUUAAUUCAUCCAUUGAUCGAUAGAGUAAAAUUGUACUAUAAAUUAUAAGAAAGUUGUUAUUAGCUCUCCAAAAUGAUUAUCCUGCACUUCAAUUUAUAAACAUACGAAUAAAAUUUGUAUAGAAAGAAGUGUGUGAUUCUUUUUGAAGUGUCAAUAACAGCUCCAACACCAAAAUAAAAAAAUUAAAAUUCUGGUUAUUUUUCCUGUUUGGUAGUUUUCUACUGUUUAUAUUUGCAUUAAGUGAUUGUGGUCUUAGGUUUAAGUUUGUGCCCAUGAAAGUGCUUCAGAAUUAGACGUAUGCUUUUCUUAAACGGGCAAAUGUUAUAUAAUGCUUUGACGUGCAAUUCGAAUUAAUGUUCCACGACUAAACUUGUAGCCAUAUCACCUUCUCAAUUCUGUAAGAUUUUUUUUGACGAUAAUUGGCAUUAUAUAUGGAUUCUUACUGGCAAAAUAUAUAAUCGGUGCCCUAUUAUAUGAUACAUAUUCUUCCGUCAGUAACACAUCAUUUGCAUGCCAAAGUGUGUGUGGGAACAAAACUGAUUAGAAAUAUGGACUUCUUACUUUAUUUUUCUAACAAAGGGUAGUUGAAGUACCAAUUGUUUGGUAUUUAAUUUGAAACCAAUUUAUAGUUUUAGAAAUGAUGAAUGAAAAUAUUGAAGCUAAUACUCCUUGAUUUCAAAAACAAAAAAAUAUAACCAAAAGGAUACGAAACAUGACCUAAACUUCGAUCGUAGAGGGCUUCUUAGGAUUCAUAAACAAUAUUUGAUCACCAGUGUACUCUUAGUAAGUUUGUUGCCCUUUAUCAUUUCUUCAAGGUCUACGUGUUUACGUAUUUGCUGUGCAAAAUCAGUUCUUUAAAUUUCUUUUCGAUUUCCCUUUUUGGAGAGAAGAGUGUCUUUCUUUGCUCAUUGUGGUGAGAAAGUUUGUUUCUGUGCUUUGAAUUUGUCCUGAAUUUUAAUAGAAGUUUGAAUUUGCCUUAGUCACUUGAGUUGCAAGCUCUUAGCCCAGUUUUGUGCAUGCUUUGUAUUUGUAAUUUAUCCUUUUUAUAUUGGAAAGGCUCACACAUAAACCACUCACAACCUAGAGCUCCAACUACACCAUUGUACUCUAUCAAAUUUCUCACACGUUCAUGAUGAGUAACAAUCUUUGGCUCUCAAGUUUCUCCUACAUUCAUUAAUUUGGUGUUUUCUUAAACCUUUGCACCCUUUUGUGUUGGGUUCUCCUGGCACAAUCACUUUCUCUUGACAGCAGCCGCCCCUUGACAGAGACACUCUCUCUUGCCCUUGAUACGGGACCUUCUUGUGUGCUCUGGAGUACUCGGUACUACCAGUGUUUUAACCGUUAGAUGUACUCAUGUACUUCUGUGCUUUAUCUUUUGUAUAUUGUAGUUUUCCUUCGGGUUUUAUCUUAUAUAAUUUUGUUGAUGAAUGCAAGACAUCAUGACAAAAACAUAGAAGGAUGCUAUAUGUAUCGAAGGAAAAUUUUGAAUUUGCUACAACAUAGAGGUUUAGAACUGUGGAAUGUCUUUCAGUACAUUGUAUAACUACUCCCGUGAUUUGUUAAUUAAAUGAUUAUUUCUUUACUUAUUUCCUCUAUUCCCCUCCAUUCUUUGCAGUUUAAUUUGUAAGUCCAGCACAGAGGUGAAGAUACAUACUGAAAGAUAACUCCAUUUAUGAGACUCCACUAAGAUGUGCAAGUGUAGCCAGACACUAUAAGUUGGUGAGGGAUUGGUUUCGAGCUUAAAGAAAAACUCUGAUUGGUGAUGUGAUUGAAUUGUAAAAUUAUGUUCUUGAGCAAAGACUUUCUUCCGAUGUGCAUUCUCCAUUGGUUUUCUAGUUAUUACUUAUGUUGUAGCAGUGGUUGGCUGGUUGGUUUUGACAUUUUGCAACGACAAUUGUUGUUAUUGGUAAUAAGCAGUAGUUAAUCGUUGUAGUAGUUCUUAGAUCCCACUUAAUGUGACAGUCGUACUAUGUGUUCUGGAGGUCCUAUAUAUGUUUUUAACAAAUAAGAGACUUUCAUCAUGUAUUAAGAUGAGUUGGGAACCACAAUUUGAAAAAAUUGUUACUGCAUACCUUUACAUUCAUUGUGAUUCUCGUUUAGUUAUGUAUGGAGUAUCUAAACAUCUUUUUAUUUCUUGUAUGCCAAUUUUACAUGUAUUAAUCAACUUUUUCAGAAACAUUUAAAGCUCUGGACCCUAAACCACUACUAGAAAUCUUGGCAUAGGGCACCUUUUUUGAAGUGUGGAUAUGGCAUGUUAGACAUCUGUUAAAGGUGCCCACUGAGCAUUAGGCACCAAGUGCGCACCGUACCAUCAAGAGUUCCCUAUAACAUAGUUUCUAAAGAUCAUUAGGCAACAAAACCAUCUUUGCGUAAGAAAGCCUUGCCCUAUGCCAACAUUUCUUGUAGUGAACCCUUAGCAAAUAAACUUUCAUGAUAACAAGAUUGGAAACUUUUCGGUUGGCACUUGUGAUAACACCUAUCAUGUUACAUUCCACUCAGCAAUAAAAUUUUCGAUUGUCACUUUAAAAAAAUUAUUGUGCAUCCCACUUUAUUUAUUUGUAUAAGAAAAAGUACAACUCAUCCCUGAUAUAAAGGGUUUAGUCGCUGUUGAAUUUCUACUAAUACAAAACACCCCUAGACAUAUCUAGCAAUACAUGCUGAGGAUGGCAUCUGCAUGCUCUUGCACCACCUUCCAAGCUAUGACUACGUGUUUUUCCUCCGUGAGAGUUGCACCAAUUGCACAACGUAACACAUACAUACCUCCCACCACAGCUGAGUCAUGUACACACGACCUGACCCAUUGAUGGCCUUCAGUAACCUGCAAUUUACCUCGUUAAUUACACCGUUUUCAUCACUUGGAAUUGGAGUAUUGUUGCUAAUUGCCGACGGUGAAACCCUGAAACAAACCAAAGAGAAAUUCCUCGGGACAACAACUUCAAACCUUUUUUCCAUCCCCACAAGCCCUUCAAAACGCUUGGCCAUUUUUACAUCACUUCUAAAUUCUAAUAAAGUUUCUAAGGUUUUCCACUCCAUAGUUUCUAAGCACAAGCCAUAGCUUCGUGGCCGGAAACCCUCGGGUUAAGGCUAUCUGCCAGUCUUUGUUGUCCACCAUUUGCUUUGAAUCUGUGGCCUUGUUCCUCAACCCCUCAAGAUUCACAGACAUUGAGUUUGUCAAUGCACUUGGAUUCUUAACCCAAAGGCAGCAACAAUUGAGAGUAGUGAAGAACCAUUUAUGCGCACUGAGACUGAACGAAUUUGCACACUCAAUUCCAUCAAUAAAAUGACGAAACUCAGGGCAAAUGCAAGCAUUCCCGGCAUAUGCAGCGUCCACAUGAACCCACAUGCCAUAAUCUUUUGCAACAUUGCAUAGUGGCCCCAAUGGAUCAACGGCAGCGGUUGCGGUUGUUCCUACUGUGGCACAUAAAUAAAAUGGAACCAACCCAGAUUUCACGUCUGAACAAAUCACCAAUUGUAGCAAUUCGGGUGAGAGUGCAAAUGAUGAUGAUCUUGUAGUCUCAAUGGCCCAAAAAAUUUUCGAGUGGAUUCCAACAAUUUGAGAAACUUUUUGGAGUGCACUAUGUGUUUGAUCUGAUCCAUACACCAAAUUUCCUAUAUUCUCUUUACCGAUUUGACUUAAGAUUUGAUCUCUUGCAGCUACCAUGGUGCAAACUACGGACUCAUGCGUACUCCCAUGUAACACACUGUUGUGCCUUGGUCCGUUCAUCAGUGCGGAAACGAGAUUCAGAUUACAACCUCACCAAAAUCACACUCAGUUGAACAGAAUAAAAUACAAGAAAUAAAGACACCGAGAAAUUUACGAGGUUCGGCAAAAAUCCUGCCUACGUCCCCGGAGAGAUAUUGCUCUUCACUAUGAGAAUAACAGUACAAGUACACAUGAGUUAAAUCAACAUAACCCAAUCCCAAAUCCCUUGCACACCCACUCAUAGAAUUUUCCCAAGAGCCUCACUCUAUCCCAAGAGUUCUUUCACUAGAAUACUUUUCACUCUAGCUCUCUUGAUUUUUCUCUCACCCAUGCCCAUGCUUUCCCAUGGGAGAGCCGAAUGCUCUCCCCCUUUAGAUGCUCUCUGAUGCCUUCUCAGGAGAGAGCCGAAUGCUCUCUCUCUCCUUUCUCCACUUCGGCUCCUUGCAAUUAAAUGGACAGAAAAGUGAGUCAACUUCUCCUUUUUUUCAUAGACACAAUGAUGAUCCAUCAUGCUCCCUUUUCUCAAAACCCAAAACCACUUUCGGCAUGCAAAUGGGAAAUGAAUAAAAAAUGCCAAAACAAAGGAAUCCCAUGAAACAUCAUCAUUGUCUUCCACUAUUAGCCAAAAUGAGAUAUGGACAUAUUUGGCCACUAUUCUGAAAGCAUAACACACAAAGUCACUUAAUUGUUAACAGCUCAAAAUAUGAGCCAAUCACAACAAUCUCCACCUUGGCGAAUAUACUGUGCAAAAAAUCCUUGCACCCAGCAUACACACACUAAAUAAACCUCGUUGGUCCUGUUCCGAUUCAGUCACUGCCAAUGCAUGUGCAGCUGCUGCAAGCUAAAAAUCACAAUUUAGCUUCAGACAGGAUCUCGACACAUCCUCGUCUCCUCCAAUAGGUUUUCCUCCUCUUCAUUGUCUGCAACCUGGAAACUCGUCAGCGCGCCCGUUUCCAGCAACAACCCAUCGAGCCAGACAAAAUUCCCACACUUCCUCCUACCUCAGGACCAUCUGAUCACCUGUGAAUCCUAUAGCUCCACCUGCUGCAAAACCCCUGCAACACUUGAGACUAAACAUCACCAGGAGAAGUGUUGCUUUUGAGUACCUAGAGGACAUACUCGAAGUCUUCCACCACAAACUUGCUACAACUCGGUCUAGCACCUGUAGCACUGUGGACCCUUGCCUCCGGAACCGGAUCUGAACCUGCUGUCUCUCUCAGAUCCUCUUUCCAAUUUUCUUCCACGAUUCCAACCUUUAAUAACUUAAGCAGUCUUGUGCCCACCAUUAUCCAUGGUCUCCUUUGUGUAUCAUUCCACACCAAAGAAGCUUGCACCUGCUCCAAACUUACUGUAACUUUCCAUGCAGUAAAGUUUCACAAGGUUCUAAGACAAAUCUGAAAGUGAGGUAAGAAGAAAGAGGCCUUUGUCUUCUUCCUCAACAUCAACUUUCGUAGUUGAUCUAAGCAUCCCUGAACACGGCUUCCAUUUCUUCAGGCUUCCAUUACUCUCCAUUACCAAGAGUAAAAUCGCCUCUCCCUUUAAACUGCUCAACUGAAAAUUCCAUGGUGAACAACAAAUCUGGACCUCCAACGAACCAAGCUUCCAACGAUGCUCUGAUACCAAUUGUUGUGCCUUGGUCCGUUCAUCAGUGCGGAAACGAGAUUCAGAUUACAACCUCACCAAAAUCACACUCAGUUGAACAGAAUAAAAUACAAGAAAUAAAGACACCGAGAAAUUUACGAGGUUCGGCAAAAAUCCUGCCUACGUCCCCGGAGAGAUAUUGCUCUUCACUAUGAGAAUAACAGUACAAGUACACAUGAGUUAAAUCAACAUAACCCAAUCCCAAAUCCCUUGCACACCCACUCAUAGAAUUUUCCCAAGAGCCUCACUCUACCCCAAGAGUUCUUUCACUAGAAUACUUUUCACUCUAGCUCUCUUGAUUUUUCUCUCACCCAUGCCCAUGCUUUCACAUGGGAGAGCCGAAUGCUCUCCCCCUUUAGAUGCUCUCUGAUGCCUUCUCAGGAGAGAGCCGAAUGCUCUCUCUCUCCUUUCUCCACUUCGGCUCCUUGCAAUUAAAUGGACAGAAAAGUGAGUCAACUUCUCCUUUUUUUCAUAGACACAAUGAUGAUCCAUCAUGCUCCCUUUUCUCAAAACCCAAAACCACUUUCGGCAUGCAAAUGGGAAAUGAAUAAAAAUUGCCAAAACAAAGGAAUCCCAUGAAACAUCAUAUUGUCUUCCACUAUUAGCCAAAAUGAGAUAUGGACAUAUUUGGCCACUAUUCCGAAAGCAUAACACACAAAGUCACUUAAUUGUUAACAGCUCAAAAUAUGAGCCAAUCACAACACACACCACCACCAUUGUCAGAAAAAAGAAAAGACUUGGGAAGUUUGAGCAUGUCUCCAGGCCAAUCCAUGACUACGGUUUCAAGCUCAGUUGCAGCUGGUGAUGCCAUCCAGUUGAACCCCACGACAUUGAAUCCCGUGGUGAGCAUUUCGCCGAGGAAUCCUGCCGUGCUGAUAGUUGCAGGAAAGUAGGCAAAGUGGUUAGGGUUUUGCCAAUGUGUUAUGCCAGGAACAAUAUGGUCCUGAACAUCUUGGAGGAUGGCUUCUAUGGGUUCAGGGUGAUAUGGGGCAGAUUCUGGCAAACGUUUUCGAAGAUAGCCCGGUUGGACUUGGCUUAGAAUCGGGUGUUUUUCUAUGUUUUGGUAAUAAUCUGCAAUGAAGUCUAUCAUCAUGUGUCCUUGUCUCCUGAACGCCACAAGGUCCAGAGGGUCUUUAGUCAUGUGGUGGACAGAGUUGUUUUCAGGUGGAUUGUCAAUAUUUAAGCUACCCAUUUGGAUAUUGAGGACGUACUAAAACUUAAUUACGAAAACACUACGUAGAAGACGAAAUCAAAAUGGCUUUUGAGUAGUACUUGAGUUCCAAGGUACGAGGAUAUAUGUAUUGGUUUGUUUAUAUAGAUGUAUUUUAGAAUAAAAUCCAAUCACACAAAUAAUUUGGCGACAUGUGCUCCACAUCACUCAAUAUAAUUAUGUGUUCGCCUUAUUUUGGCCUCACACGUGAGUAAAAUCUUCAAGGACUUUCUGUUUUUAUUUUUUGGAAGCAGGGAUUCAUUACCCAGGCAAAGAUGCCAGAAAUACAGAGAAAGCCCACAACAAGGCAAGCAAACAGGAAAGAAACAGAAACAGCGGACAGAAGAGGGAGUUACAAGGAAGACAUAAUAGCCAAGCUAGCAUGUCGCCCCCUCCACUGCACCCAAAAAAACCUUACGGAGGACAGGGUAAUCCAUCACUAUGGAGCACAAAAACCAGAGAAGAUGGGGGUCUAUUGACCCAUGAAACAUCGCACAUCUCCACACACCGAUGCGACGCCAGAGAGUCCGCCGUCAUAUUGGCUGAUCUUGGAAUCCAAGACCAGCGACAGUCCUGGAAAGACUCUCCUAACCUUUUAGCUUUCACUAAUGAAGGAAAGGCUUCCCAUCUGCCCAUCCCAAGGACUUUCUUUUGUAAUACUAAGACUUGCAUGCAUUGCAAGGCUUGAAUGCUCUAACAUUAACAAGGAAAUAAAAAUCUGGCCAAACUCAGGUACUUUGCCUAUAGUAGAAUUAAUCAAAAUUCAUAUCUUAGUACGUUGUUGUGUAGUACAAUUCUCUCAAGGGCCAAAUCAAGGCACAUAUAGUAGGUGGGCAAUUGCUUCUGCCGAGAGUUUUGGACGUUUUGUUAAUUUGUUUGGCUGGAGAAUAAUGAUAUGUCUUGUCCAACAAAUAGUUUUAGGCUAAAAGACUGUUUAUUACCUUCAUGUUUUGUGGUUUUCAACAUUUAAUACAUCAAGUUUUUUUCGUCUCAGAUUCAUACCUAAAGUGUAAAUUUUGGGACAGUCUCAUACAUCCGUUAGUCAAACUAUUAAAUCUGACGUUAAUUGUGACGUGGUGCCAUGUCAUCCACGUUUUUUUUUUCUUUUCUUCUUUCUUCUUCUUCCUUCUUCUGCAACUUUUUUUUUUCUUCCUCCUUCUCCUUCUUCCUUCCUCCUUCCUUCCCCUUCUUCUCCUUCUUCCUUCUUCUUCCUUCUUCUUCAUUCUCCUUCUCCUUCUUCUUCUUCUUCCUCCGAAUGUAGGGAAAAAUUUUUUUUCAUUUUUUUUCAUUUUUUUCAUUUUUUUCAUUUUUUCUUUCUUCUUCUUCUUCUUCCUCCGACUACAACAUUUUUUUUUUCUUUUCCUCCUUCUCCUUCUUCCUUCCUCCUUCUUCCUUCCCCUUCUUCUCCUUCUUCAUUCUUCUUCUUCUUCUUCUUCUUCCUCCGAAUCUGGGGAAGAUGAAGGUUUUUUUAUUUUUUUUAUUUAUUUUUUUCUUCCUCCUUCUUCUCCUUCUUCUCACUCUUCCUUCCUCCUUCUUCUCCUUCUUCUCACUCUUCCUUCCUCCUUCUUCCUUCCCCUUCUUCUUCUUCCUCCGAAUUUCUUACUCCGAAUCUGGGGAAGAUGAAGGUUUUUUUUCGUUUUUUUUUUCUUCUUUCUUCUUUCUUCUUCUUCCUCCUCCUUCCUCCAGCUGCAACUUUUUUUUUCUUCCUUCUUCUUCCUCCUUCCCCUUCUUCUUCUUCCUCCGAAUUUCUUACUCCGAAUCUGGGGAAGAUGAAGGUUUUUUUUCGUUUUUUUUUUUUCUUCUUUCUUCUUUCUUCUUCUUCCUCCUCCUUCCUCCAGCUGCAACUUUUUUUUUCUUCCUUCUUCUUCCUCCUUCUUCUCCCUCUUCCUUCCUCUUCUUCUCCUUCUUCCUUCUUCCUUCUUCCUUCUUCUUCAUCUUCCCCAGAUUCAAGGAAGAAGAAGGAAGAAGGAAAAGGAGGAAGAAAAAAAAAAAAAAGAAGUUGCAGUCAGUGGAAGAAGAAGAAGAAGAAGAAAGAAGAAGGAGGAGGAAAAAGGAGGAAGAAGAAGAAAGAAGAAGAAAAAAAAUAAGAACAAAACAAAACUUCCCCAGAUUCGGAGGAAGAAGGAGAAGGAGAAGGAGAAGGAGAAGGAAGAAGAAGGAAGAAGGAAGAAGGAAGAAGGAGAAGAAGGGGACAGAAGAAGGAGGAAGGAAGAAGGAGGAGGAAGAAAAAAAAGUUGCAGAAGAAGGAAGAAGAAGAAAGAAGAAAAGAAAAAAAACGUGGAUGACACGUGGCACCCAGUCAUGGCGCCACAUCACAAUUAACGGCAGAUUUAACAGUUUGACUAACGGAUGUAGGAGACUGUCCCAAAAUUUCCACUUUAGGUAUGAAUCUGAGACGAAAAAAACUUGAUGUACUAAAUGUUGAAAACCACAAAACAUGAGGGUAGUAAACAGUCUUUUACGCAUAGUUUUAUUCCACUUAUUUUUCAAAUGUUAAGAUAAUUUUGUGAACCAUUCACUUUUUAUAUGCUUAACAAUAUGGGUUUGUACCUAAUUAGUAGGGCAAUAAAAUAAGGGUUGUGCUAUACACACAAUUAUCUUUACUUCUCACACACCCUCUCAAUUUUCGGCCCUCAAAUAGAAUGAAUUGAAGAAGAUUAAUCACAAAAAACUAACAAAUAUGUAUGAGAGAAAAAAAAAAGGUGUGGAACAGCAUUAUCCUAAAGUAGUUGAUUAUACGAGAAAAUCGAGUCUAGCUCUAGGCCAACAGGACACUCUACCCGCCACGGGAAGGUAGCAAACACCAAAUGAUUUGAAAUAUGAUAACUGGGUGGGCGAUUGCUUCUGCCGGGAGUUUUGGACGUUUUGUUAAUUUGUUCGGCUAGAGAAUAAUGAUAUGCCUUGUCCAAUAUGGUGUGCAAAAUUCUCAUCCAUUAAUCGGAGUGGUCUCGCAAUAAAAUCCCACACCGAACAAGAGUUUACAGUCGCCCUCGACUCUUGUAUGGCAGCUUUGGUUGUUAUUCUCCAGUUAUUUUCGUCAUGGUUAUCAUUAUAAAUGACUUUGGAUUCCAAAUUUCUACGUUCAUAGUCGCGAAACUAGAAAUUUAACCUCAUGGGAUCAUGAUAAUAGAGAAGUUAAAUACGUAUCAUAAGAUAAAUUUUGAAGGUUUAGAGACUCUGCAUUUACAAAGUCUAAGACUGACUAAUAAAAAAUUAUUAUCCAAGACUAUUCCCAUUAGUUGAUCCAUAAUUAUGAUUCUAAUUGUACGUCACUUAGUACUACGGUCUGGUGAUAUUCGUUUUCACUUGUAAUUGAAAGGUUUUAGGUUGGUAUUCGUCUUCACUUGUAAUUGAGAGGUCUUAGGAUCGAUUAUUAUUUCACCCGACACCACCAACUGAUAAGUGAGAUUCUUUUUAAUUCUAUAGUUUGAUUCUUUAAGCAUUUCUUAUGUAAGUAAAAGCCAAACAAGCAAAACAAGAAAGCAAGAAGUCAUUCCAUUUUGUCAACUUUUUAUUUGCUCGGAUCAUCAUCCCAGCAAAGCAUGGCCAGAAAUACUCAAAUCAUGUGGUUGACAUGUUCGAAAUAGUUUAAGGCAUUACCAGUUUGAUCCAGGCUUAAUCCUACUAGCAGAGUAUAAUAAGCAAUAAGAACAAAGUAAACGAGGGAAACAUUUUUUGAGAAUAAAAAAAACGAGGGAAAUAAUUUAACCACCACGGGAUGUUUUAGUAGUUGGAGAGAAUCUGAGUGAGUAUUUCAUACAGCUGGUCCUAGGUUCGAUAGGCAAUAAUACAAAGUAAACCGGAAAUUUUUUUUAUUUCGGUAUACUAGUUGAUGCAAGUGCUUCCUAUCAACCAUACAACUCAAUUUAUAAGAUCCAAAUUUGAUAUUGCUUUGUACUAAAUCCGAUGUUAUCUCCUUCAGCUCAUCCCAUCCACCAAUCAUGUUUGGGGUUAAGAAACAAAACCAGCUCUUCGUAUGCGUCCGCAAGUAAGUCCAAUGAUUAAAGGAAGAGGCUUGAAUCCCAGCAAAUUAAUAAGCAAUUAGCUAGCUCUAAAGUCGAGGAAUUGAAGCAGUUUCUGCACGAGAAGUUCGCGUGGUCCGAAAGGAGGCUUGCCCCUAACGAUCCAAUCCUUCUCAAGAAUGCCCUUUUUAGCACUGCUUGCUGCCAUCUGAUCAUGGAAAGCAGACACAAUUUGGUAGAUUGAGUUCCUCAGUACAUCAGCAACAGCAUAUGCUUUUGAAUGAAGCGGGCUGGCUCUCUUUUUACUCAUGCUAGUAUUGGCCAUGCUUGAGUUUCUCAAUUUAAAACCGGUUAACCCCAUGAACUGAUUAGCAGACAGCAAAGUGGUCUUCUUCCCCAUGUAUGUUUCAACAGCAAGAAGGCAAGAAAUCAGCGUUGACAUCACAGCAGCGUUACUACCAGUGAUCUGGGCAACCCCGUAUCUGUCCUCUUUGUGUGAGCAUGCAGUUAGCGAGGCAGCUGUCCAUGCACACCAUGCAUACAACUGCAUUAAAAGAGUAUAUAUUAGGUUUUUUAGUUGAUGAGAAAAACAAUUGAAGUUAUUCCAAAUAUUCAAUAACAUUCUCUUCACAUGCAUAACUGCAAGUUGCCGCCAAUUAGCAUACCGACUAUCAUUUGUGACGUACUGGCUCCUAUAGAUAACAAACUGUACCAAUCUAAGAACAAUUGCCCCUGGUCCAAACCCGUAGAACAAUACUAAGAUGCAUUGUUAGAAUUUCAGGUGGAGAAAAUGGCAUAUUAAUGUUAUUCAAUCCUCCAAAAUUCAGCCCUUCAUCCAUCAUAUCAACAAGUAGUUCGUGAAGCUCAGCAUUUACUCAUGUAAUGUUUUGCCACAAAACAUGAGUAAGUUAUUAUUUAUUACUCUCCAUAGAUGAUGCUAGUUCACAGUUUGACUAAACGGAGUAGGAAGACAUACACACGUGUAGGUUAUAUCCACAAGUAGAAUCAAGAACCGAUAUGUUUACCUGGAAGUUAUCCAAAGGCUCAGAGUAUUUUGAGUCUAGUCGCUGGUCGGUUGGGGGCAGUAACUGACUGGAUAUUCGGGAGCCGUUUUCAACGGAACUUUCCAAGACUUCACCCAUCUUGGAUGCAAGCUGCUCCAGAGGCCGCAAGCAUACAGAUAUAACUCUUCUGUAAGUUUCACCAGUUUCCUCAAAAAAUGCAGCUCUUCUCCAAGCAUCCACAUUAUUCUCGCAAACCAUACAGAGAUCAAGAUAGGCAAGAUACUGAAGAAGAGAACUAGGACUGCUCUCCUCCAGAGCUGCAAGGAGAAUCUCACUUGGAUUUGUUUCUGCUGCCGCUGAUCCUUUAGGUGGUGCAAAUACGAAUCUCUUUGUAUGAAGCACCUGCAUUACAACACAAUUUCAAACACAUAUAGAUUCAAAUCAGAAGACAGCCAUGGUUAACUAUAAAAGGAAAGGGGCAAACAAAUAGCACCAAGUAUUCAGAUUCUUUAACAAGAGAUCAAGCUGUGUGAUUUAUAAAGAGUAUGCCAUAUAGCAUGGUAUAUGACCAAGACGUAGGUUUUCUAGUGUCAUUAAGUAGUAAAGUUCACAUCCGAAAAAAGAGAAGUUAUCUAAUUCGUAUUAAAAUCCCAUCAAAAGCUACUAAGAAGAAACACUGAUAUGCAUGUCCAUGGAGUGAUGUCUGAAUGUUCAAUACUAACACCAGACCCACAAGGUUCCUAAUGCAAUCAUAUAAGAUGGGCCAAAUUAAAGUAGCACAAAAUUGCAAGAAAUAUUCUUCAUCAAUUGAACAGGUCAAUGCUGCAUGAAGCUCUAUAUUCCAGUCACGACUUCUGUUACUUUUAAGUUAUAUUCAUUCUUAUAACUGUAGGGGGAGAGGAUCCAAUGAAGAGCAAGCAUUUGAAGGGGUUAAUAAAACAAGCAAGAAUGUUCCACAAACUUCUAUAUUCAAAUAAUCAUAAACACAAGUCAUAAAAACAAUAGCUAAUUCAAUGCUGCUUUCAAGUACCUGCAGUAGUAUUAAUGAAAAUUAACAAACAUGUUGAUAUGUUUGAAGAACCAACCCGAUGUAAAUGGUGACUUAGUUCCCAGCAUAGUAACACUAAGAAACUCCCAGUGUAGAGUCUGAUCUGCUCAGCAAUAAACUUUCCAGUUGUAGCCUGGUUCUGAUUGUGGUGUGGCAGAAACACCAGCAGAGCAGCUGAAAAAAGGUACGCCACAAAGGAAAGCUUCAAGGAUCGUGUGAUAGCCGAAGGAGCCCCAUUUUGAAGCUGAAAAAAGGAGGACGCUGUUGACAUAAACAAGUAGUGUAAGAGUCAUGACUUGUGUGAGUAGAAAGCAAAACACAACAUGAGAAAAUCAAAGCAAGGCUAAGAAUUUCUUAUGACAGAAAACUUAGUAAAUGAGUGCAAACAGCAAUCUCAAAUCUCAACCAGUAAAUUAAACAUGCUUCCACACGCAAUGUAUUGCAAGCCAGCAAAAAAGAAGUAGAGAGAAUUGGGCCAGGACUUGGUGAUCUGAUCUCCAAGACUGAAAAAUCAUAUCACAUAAACUGCAUAUUUUUGUCAUAUUUUUGUACUCAGCUAUACAUUUCUCUUAACACACCUCAUGUAACAUCACAUUACACAGAGAAAGAUUCAAACUUUGUAUAAAAGUAGCCAAAAACUGACCUGAAUAAUGGGAAACUCCAAGACCCACCUGCGAUUAUACACAUAAUACAGCCCAUAAAGCAACCCCAUCACUAAACCCCUAAACCCCACUCUCCCAAUCGCCGAAAGCCCAUCGCCAAACCCCCCACACACCGAAGCCACCGCAACAAAACCUGACACCGCCGCGGCGCCCAAAAACAUCAGCAAACCCACCGAAAGCUUAGCCCGGGCCCGGGAAUCCGGGGUCUCUGACGAAUCAGGGACGCCCGGAAUGGAAAGGAAUCGAACGAGCCCAAGAACGAGCUGGAGAAGAGAAGCAGGGCGGUGGGGGUGGGGCGAGGAGACGAGGGAGAGCGAGAACGAGAAGAGGACCUGGGAAAGGUGGAAGGUCAAAAACGUAAAAAGGGCGAAUAUCGAUGGGGCGAACGGGAAUGUGAGUGGGGGUUUGGUGGCCGAGGGAGAAGCGGAGGGGACGGCUGAUGAGAGGGUUUUGAACAGGAAGAAGAUGACGAUGGAGGGGAUGGACUGCCAUACGAGGAACCCUAAGAAGCUGUUGUGGACCACCAUCUCCGGCGGCAUAGACGGUGAAGCUGGAGGCGGCAUUGAUUUGUUGGCUGAGGGUUUUAGGUGGGUUUUUGGAGGUUCAGACAAAGGGAGUCGAUUUGAAAUCUUUCAUAGGAGGGACUUGUGGUGGCAUUUUGAGGUUUUUGGUCCUAAGGCCAUCUCCAACCGAUGGCUGGUCAGAAGGCUCGUUUUAGCCCUCUGGCCCUCCAAGAUUCUCCAAGAUAUUAAUAUUUUAAUGAACAGUACAGGGCCAUAUUUGCCUCCGUCUCCAACCGAGGGCCAGAGGGCCAGAUGGCUCGUUUUAGCCCUGUAAAAAAAAACCGUCUCCAACCGAGGGCCAUAGGGCCAAACAUAAUUUAUUAUUUAAAAACUACACUUAAUUUUAUUUAAAAAUCAUGUUGGUUAGUGUUGUAUAAUUUUUAUGUCGGUUAAUGUUAUUUAAUGUUGUUUCAUAUUGUUUAAUGUUGUUUCAUGUUACUUAAUUUAAUUUAACGUUGUAUAAUGGCUUAGGAAGUUAUAGGAAAAAAAUAGAAUUUAAAAAAAAUAUGAAACAAAUUUUGUGAAAUAGAAGUUAUAGGAAAAAAUGGAAUUUAAAAAAAAAAUAUGAAACAAAUUUUGUAAAAUAGAAGUUAUAUGAAAAAAAUAUGAACCAAAUUUUGUAAAAUAUAAGUUAUAGGAAAAAAAUAGAAUUAAAAAAAAUUGAAACAAAUUUUGUAAAAUAGAAGUUAUAGGAAGUUAUAGAAAAAAAAAGAAAAAAAAAGGUUUAAAUUCAUAAAAAAAAAAAAGGAUUUACAACGGCUAGUGGCGCUAGCCGUUGGAAGUUUGAAUUCAAAAUGUUAUUUCUGUCGGUUGUAACCGACAGAAAUAAGAAACAUUAAAAAAAAAAAAUAGCCAGCCCGGGGCUGGCUGGCUGGCCGAAAGCAGCCAGCCCUCCAGCCCUCUCCGAUCCCGUGGGGCCCUCCCAGAUUCUCGAGCCCUCUGGCCUAGCCCUCAGUUGGAGACGGUUUUAGGGCUAUUUUCGGCCCUCUGGCCCUCUGGACCCUUCGGUUGGAGAUGGCCUAAGACCACCUCCUCUAAAGAUGUGAAAAAUAGCAUAUAGGCUUAUAAUGGUAACAAAUAACAUCCUAUUUACUCCGUUAAAUAUUACAUGAAAAAGAAGGAUGUCAAAAAUCCCAAAUAAACUUAUAACGAUAACAAAUGACGAAUCACUUACUCUAAAAAAAAUGACAUAGAAAAGAAACCUAAGCUUACAUUGAUAAAGAGAUGUCAAUAGCAUUUCAUAGCCUUACCUUAUAUGCUAGCCUUCAAAUUUAAUUUUUGUUAUUUCCAUAGCAUUUCAUUUGCCUUACCUUAUAUGCUAACAUAUUUAAGCAUUAUUUUAUUAUUUUUAAACCAACAACAACCCAAUUCUAUUAUUUUUGUUUUAAAAAAAACAUAAAUGAAGCAAUAAAUUUUGACAUAGCGGGUAAAAGGAACAUAUUGACAAUAUGUUAAAUUGUCAAAUCAGCCAUCAAACUUAAAUUUGAUGUUUUGAAUUUAACGUCUCCUUUGGAGAUGUUCUAAGGCUCUAACUGAAAACUAUAAACUGAGAAAGUACACGAAUUUUGUGAGUCUUUCUUGUUUUUACUUUUAUUUUGAAAUUAUAUUUUUUUCCUUGGGUUUAUUUAUUUUUUAGGGUUUUGCCAACUGAGUUUAUAUUUGAUUUACUGACAGAAAUAAAUUUUGUCUAUACGUCCUGGUGCAGUUCCGAUUUCUACCAAUUUUUCUUCCUUCUAACAACUAACUUUAACUGUCACAGCCCGUCCCGGAAUUUUAAUUCCGAGGACAUAAAAAGACGAAAAUGCCCUUAAACGGGACUAAGGGGCGAAAAUUUAACAAUUUGGAUUGAGUUGGACACGUGAGAUCCCCACACCCCUCAAUCCUCUCCCUAUUUUCUGCAUACUGUCUCUCUCUCUCCUCCCUCACGAAUCUCUCUCUCUCUGUCACUCUUCUUCUCCGUUCGAACAAACCAACCACAAAACAACCUUAAACUUCCACCAACGACGGAGUUAAGACCACCAUCGAACUCCUGGAGACUCCACGAUCACGUAGACACCAAUUUCAGGUAAGUUUUACUUCGGAAAACCUAGAUUCUAAACUCCCGUGAAAGUGCACUGUUCAUGAUCUUCGAAUUGACUUUGUUUUAGGACAAUCCAAGCUCAUAGUGAGCUUUAGGAUGUCCCAAGGAAGCUCGGAGUGCUUCGUUGGAAGUUUUUGGACGUAAGAACACGGAGAUCGACAAGUUCAAAGUUUGGCCGGAGCUUUCGAGGCGUUUUCCGGCGAAUCCCCGGCGAGUUAGGAGUCGAGGUAGGUAUCAAUCUCUUCGUCUCGUCAAGUACUAUAACUUUCAUUUUUGUUUCACUCAAUUUCGUUGAGUAUUGAAGAAGUUAUACUCAUUUGAAAAAUACCCAGUUUCCGGCGACCUCCGAGGCUUUCGAGGCAGUUUCCGGCCAAACCACGGCUAACUAGGUGUUGUGCAAGGUACCAUUCUCUUUGUCUCUUCAAGGGCUACAACUUUCGUUUUUGAAUCACUUGAUUUCGUUGAGAAAUGACAAAGUUAUGGCAAUUUGAAAAACUGCUCAGAAAACGGCCGCCGGAAAAACCAGUCCGGCGACCCAAGGAAGAAGAAGGUGCUACAGUAAAAAUAAAAAAUAAAAAUAAAAUUAUUUUAAAAAUAUGUCGACGUCCGUGACGUCGAGUAGAUCACUGUGGUAUAUUCAUAUACCUAAAUUGAACACCGUAUGAGAAAGUUAUUGAAGAUUGUUGGUUAGGUGUUCAAAUAACGUUUUAUAGUUUUCACAUUUAGGUGAAAAUGUGAAUUGAUGAUCCGACCGUUGGAUCGUCACCAAACUUUGAUACGUUGUAAUACGUAAUAUUUGAGGAUUAUUGGAACUUACGGAUUGGGAAUCCGAAUUACGGAUCUUCCGGAAUUGGAAUUGUAAGUCCAUAAUAUAAAAUGUUAACCGUCACUUAGUUUUGGAAAUUGACGGAGAUCCGACCGUUGGAUGGUAAUGAAAUUUUAGGAUGUUGUCCUAGAGGUAUAAUGUGGACCUCUGGAAGUUAUGGAUUAAAAUCUGAGUGGUGGAUCUUCCGGAUCAAUCUACGUAGUGACGUAUUUUAUAUAAGUUAUAUAUUCUAUCGAUAUGAAUUCUGAGGUUGGAAUUGAUUAUUGUUUUAGGCGCCGAUCGUCAUGACGCCUUGGCGUAUUGUGCUAGGGAGUUGUAGGGCGAACUCCAGGUGAGUGGGCAGUUUUGUUUUCCGUAUAUAUAUAUAUAUACUUGACGUUUCCCAGAAAUUGAAAAUGCAUGAAAUUAUGCUUUAAAUGAAAAUGCAUAGAAUUGAUAUGAAAAGUAUAUAGAAAUGUGAGUUGAAAUGCCAUGCAUGAAUUAAUAUAUGAUGCAUAUGUAUGAAUUGGUGCGGUGGACGCACAGGUAAGAAUUGAUUUAUGAUGCAUAUGUAUGAAAUGGUGCGGUGGACGCACAGGUGAGUAUUUAAUUACUGUUAUGAUGAUGAUGAUAUAUAUUGAGCUCAAAUCCUGCACCAUGGUUUAGUGCUUAUAGUAUUCACCGCAUCGCACGCUCGCCUUGGAUCCAAGUAGAUGCUAGUCGUACAGUCCACGCGGAGUGGGUACGACAGACCAGUCGCGAGAGUGUUAGUGAGAUUCCGACUGGUGGGUGACCUUAGAUUAUGUGCACAGAUGAUUUAUGAGAAGCACUAGAGCGUAACUUGUGUGCAGAAGGCCGGACGGGUCACAGAGGUGACUCCGGUAGAGUGAUAAUGAUAGAUUUUGAGCUCUAGGUUCAACCGUACAGGGCUAUUAGAGGGCCUCCGGUUGAUUACUUUCUUGCACCUGAUAUGAUUAUUGUUGAUGCAUCCAUACUUAACUGUUGAAUUAGACAUGGCAUGGCAUGAUUGAUAAAGAAAAAAUGUUGAGUUAAUGAAUUAAAGUAUUGAGAAUAUAUAUGUAUAUUUAUAUUUUACAUUUCUGGGAAAAUAUACAGGUUUUACAGAGAGGGGUUACAACGUUUUGAAAAAUGUUUGGAUUUGGAAAAGAAUUGUUUUACUGACCCACUCAAUUUUGGUUUUGCGCCCCUCCAGGUUCAGGAAUCACAAAGGUGUGGUGACUACGAGGAAUACAGCGGGGUUCUGACAGAUUGGACAAAAUUAGGACUCACCUUCGGGUGUAUCAACUUAUAAAUUGUAUCUUAAAGCUUCCGUACUGUGCAAAUGGUUACGUCACUCUCACGUGACGGCCAGCAUGCCCUCCUUCGGGACGGGGUGUGUCAGUUGGUAUCAGAGCAUGGUUGCAAUCUUGGACAUUUUGAGAAGUUCUAGUGAAUUCUGUCAGAACUACACCGCCUCGUAGCAAGCCACUUAGUUAGAGGAAUUUAGUCUCCCUAAUAUAACGGUUUAGGGGAAACUAUUAUUAUGGUGAUUCAGUCUAUUAUAAAAAGGGACAUUUUAAGAUGGGUUAUGAGUUGAAUUUGAAUCACUUAAGAGAAAUGAUGAACCUGAGGGAGCGAAGUAACGGUUUAACCAUUUGGAAAAGAUGUUUCGGAUUAUGCAAGUCAAAGGAAUCUUCCUUCUGACAGGGGGUCGAGACGACUACCUGGUUUUGGGUAUGAAUUUGUAUCCUGGUGGAAACAGGAGUAUGAUUUGUUGUCAUCGGAGGAACAACCGAUUUAAAAUUGUUUAAGGAAAAGUUUAUCCCUCUGGCAUUUAUUGAUGGUAGUAAACAAGAGUUUACAAAUAUGAGACAAGGAAGGUGAUGAUCGAGGGAUAUUAUAGAAAGUUUUCAGACUUGCCUCGUUCCAUCCAGAUAUUGUUGUGAAUUUGGUGGAGGUGUUAUGUUGUUUUAGGCUGGGUGACAAAAGGAAGUGGUAUUUUUGGGUGACCCCUAUCCAUGGUAUUUCUUACCAGGAGUAUAUGAGAUGUUGUUGAGCCUUGAAGACUCUGAGAAUAUGAUCAGCGAGAGUAAAGAUGAAUAAGAAAAGAAUGGGAAUUAGAUGAAAGAACGAUAAAGUUAAUGAUUCGUCAUAUCAAGAAUAUCGAAAGACUCAGAGCUUCAAAAGAAGUGAAGCUAGAGUUAAUUUUUCCAGUUGAGGUUUUAAUGUCGCUGGUCAGAGUAAAAGUGAUGGAUAUACUGGUAAUCCCAGAUAUUUGAGACAAGGUGUCUCGAGUAAAGGAAAUGUACUUUGUGCAGCAGGUACAAAAAUUAACACUUUGGGAAGUGUGAAAUUAAUGAAUGUGUUUAUGUGAACAGAGGGGACACAGAAUUGUGAAUCGUCCCUAUAAUCAGUUGUACUCAAUAAUUUUCCAUGAUAUCAUAGUGUCGAUUCAGCAGAGUUAUGGAUUUAGUAGUUUGGUCGGAUUGACCGUGAGUACAGAGAGAUUUGAUGAGUUAUAUGUUCAGCCGUACAGACCAUAAGAAGUGGAUUCGAUUGACACAUGAGAAAUUAGUGAGUUAUAGGCUCGGCCGUACCGACCACGCGAAGUGGAUCCGGCCGACGUAUUAUUAAGAUAAGAGUUGAAUCAACCGUAUUGGUCAUUCUAGUUGACUUCGGCUGAUAUAUUUCUUAUUAUGUAUGUUAUUACCUAGAGAGUAGUAAAUAAAUGUAGUUGAGACGAGUGUAUGUAUUGCAUUGAGUAACAAAAUAGUAAUGUUAUAUCUUUGAGAGUGGUUGCCUACUUAUCGAGACAACGAUGAUUUAUCAGUAUUGCGGGCUGCAGACCGUAAUAUUAAUAACUCAUUCGUGGAUUCGUUAAGCAAGCAAACCGGUAGAUUAUUUUAUGUUAGUAUUGUACUUAUUUAGAAUGCUUAAUAAUAAUAGAAUAUAUAUUGUGUCGGUUAAAUUAUUUCCAUUAGAUUGGUUGGUUAUAAUUGUGACAAGACGGAAUGUUAAGGGAAACCAGUACUUUCCAUCGAUCUGGAUGACCAGAGAUUACUUUUGUAAGUAUGCAAAGUGGAUUGAGUCAGGCCGUUAUUUAUGCUGUGAGAGCAAAGAGAUUGUUUUCGAAAGGCUGUCAAAAAUAUUAGCUCGUGUGGUGCUAAAUGAUGUUGUUUGGAGUAGUGUGAAUAAUGUCAAAAAGGGGUUAGACUUUUCUUGAUGUCUUCCCUGAAAGUAUACCUGGAUUGCCUUCAGGCAGAGAUAUGAGGUUCACUAUUGAUUUGUUGCCAGGUAUAAAUCUAUGUUAAAGAUUGGUUCAGGAUGAGUUAAGGGAAUUGGAAAUUCAGUUGAAAGAAUUGGUUGAUAAAAGUUUCAUUCAACCUAGUACAACAUUUUUGAGGAGCCCCAGUUUGUUGGUGAGGAAGAAAAUGGACUUAGAGAUUGUUCAUUGAUUAUAGACAAUGGAGUCGGGUAACGAUUAAGAACCGUUAUCCAUGGUAAUGUACUGAUGUUUAUUUAACCAGCUCAGAAGUAAUUGCGAAGAUUCAAAGAUUGAAUUGAGAUCUGGUUACUACCAAUUGAAUAUUAUAAGUGACGUUGAUCAUAAGAUGGUUUUCUGGACUCGUUAUAGUCUUUAUGAAGUUUGGUGAUGCUAUAUGGAUACUCAUGCUGUUUUAUGAGUUAUUGGAUGAAGUAUUCCAAUAAUGCCUUGAUAAAUAGAUAUCAUUUUCAUUGAAGAUAUUCUGGCAUAUUCUGAGCCAGAGCAGAGCAUGUAAACGUAUUAAGUCGGUGGAACAAAGAUUGGAAAGAAUGUCGGUUGUAUGCUAAGUAGCAAAUGCUAAAGUUAGAUGAAUCAGGUGGCAUUCUGAGAUUUGUUAUAUAUUCUUAAGGUAUUCAAGUGAAUCCUUAAAAGAUAGCAGAAAUUGAGAAUUUGGAACAACCACGAGUCGUAAUUGAGAUUUGGAAUUUCUUAGCUUACCAGGCUAUCUUGGAUGGUUGUGAAAGAUUUUUCAGUCAUUGCUUUGUCAUUGACGAGACUGUUGAGAAAAGAGGUCAUGUAUGAGUGGGAAGGAAAUUGUGAGCAAAGGAUUCAACAACUGAAGUAUUUUCCUCACUCAUGCACGUAUUUUGGUAUUCCCAGAGAAUAGUGGUAAUCAUAUAAAUUUUUAGUGAUGUUUCUUGAAUGGUAUUGGAUGCAUGUUGAUGCAAAAUGUUAGGGUGAUUGCAUACGUUUCACGAUAAAUGGAAUCUCAUAAGAUGAAUUACCCUACGGGUGACUUAGAAAUCAUGAUUACCAUUCUUGCUGUGAAGUUAUGAAGGGCAUUAUAUUUGGUAAGAAUGCAAGAUUUUUACGAAUCCAAAAAGUCUUUCAAUAUCCAUUACUUGGAAGGAUUUUGAUAUGAGGCAGCGAAAGUGAAUUGUAUUGCUUAAUGAAUAAUGAUUGUACGAUCAGGGUGAUCGUAAAGUUUGUUCUAAACUGAAGCACUUGGUGAGAAAUACUACAGUAAGAUUAAUGUCUGGCACGUUUUGCCAAGAGUAUCAUCUUGUGGAUUGAAAACCAACGGAAGAAAAAUUAAGAAUGGAAGAUCGAGAAGAAGUUAUACUUGUUAAAUUUCAAGUUAGGCCUGUUUGGUAAGGUCGUACUUGAAACUUAAAUGCUUGACGAAGAAAUUUAAGAAUUAACCAAGGUAGAGAAAGAAGGUAAGUUAAAUCCUAAGUUAAUCGGACUUAAGUGAUUAUCGAAAAGUUGGUGAAGUUGCUUACAAGCUUGUGAUGCCCUCAGAAUUGGUUAAGGUGCAAAACAUAUUUUAUGAUUCGAUGCGUUGUCACUAGGUGGCAGAUUCGUCACAUGAGAUUCUGGUGUAACUAUUGAGAAUUAAAUUGGAUUCGACUUGAUAAGGAAUCAAGGACGACUUUGGAUUGGAAAAAGAAGGUCCUGAGAAUUAAGACAGAGUAAGUAGUAAAAGCUUUGUGAAGGAAAUCAUUCAGUAGAAAAGUAUGUGGGAGAAAGAGAAUCGGAUGAGAAAGAUUUACCCGAAGCUAUUGUUGGAGUAUGGUUGAUUUAGUUGGUUGCUGGAAUUUCGGGGACGAAAUUCUAUAAGGAGGGAAGAUUGUCACAGCCCGUCCCGGAAUUUUAAUUCCGAGGACAUAAAAAGACGAAAAUGCCCUUAAACGGGACUAAGGGGCGAAAAUUUAACAAUUUGGAUUGAGUUGGACACGUGAGAUCCCCACACCCCUCAAUCCUCUCCCUAUUUUCUGCAUACUGUCUCUCUCUCUCCUCCCUCACGAAUCUCUCUCUCUCUCUGUCACUCUUCUUCUCCGUUCGAACAAACCAACCACAAAACAACCUUAAACUUCCACCAACGACGGAGUUAAGACCACCAUCGAACUCCUGGAGACUCCACGAUCACGUAGACACCAAUUUCAGGUAAGUUUUACUUCGGAAAACCUAGAUUCUAAACUCCCCGUGAAAGUGCACUGUUCAUGAUCUUCGAAUUGACUUUGUUUUAGGACAAUCCAAGCUCAUAGUGAGCUUUAGGAUGUCCCAAGGAAGCUCGGAGUGCUUCGUUGGAAGUUUUUGGACGUAAGAACACGGAGAUCGACAAGUUCAAAGUUUGGCCGGAGCUUUCGAGGCGUUUUCCGGCGAAUCCCCGGCGAGUUAGGAGUCGAGGUAGGUAUCAAUCUCUUCGUCUCGUCAAGUACUAUAACUUUCAUUUUUGUUUCACUCAAUUUCGUUGAGUAUUGAAGAAGUUAUACUCAUUUGAAAAAUACCCAGUUUCCGGCGACCUCCGAGGCUUUCGAGGCAGUUUCCGGCCAAACCACGGCUAACUAGGUGUUGUGCAAGGUACCAUUCUCUUUGUCUCUUCAAGGGCUACAACUUUCGUUUUUGAAUCACUUGAUUUCGUUGAGAAAUGACAAAGUUAUGGCAAUUUGAAAAAACUGCUCAGAAAACGGCCGCCGGAAAAACCAGUCCGGCGACCCAAGGAAGAAGAAGGUGCUACAGUAAAAAAAAAAUAAAAAUAAAAUUAUUUUAAAAAUAUGUCGACGUCCGUGACGUCGAGUAGAUCACUGUGGUAUAUUCAUAUACCUAAAUUGAACACCGUAUGAGAAAGUUAUUGAAGAUUGUUGGUUAGGUGUUCAAAUAACGUUUUAUAGUUUUCACAUUUAGGUGAAAAUGUGAAUUGAUGAUCCGACCGUUGGAUCGUCACCAAACUUUGAUACGUUGUAAUACGUAAUAUUUUGAGGAUUAUUGGAACUUACGGAUUGGGAAUCCGAAUUACGGAUCUUCCGGAAUUGGAAUUGUAAGUCCAUAAUAUAAAAUGUUAACCGUCACUUAGUUUUGGAAAUUGACGGAGAUCCGACCGUUGGAUGGUAAUGAAAUUUUAGGAUGUUGUCCUAGAGGUAUAAUGUGGACCUCUGGAAGUUAUGGAUUAAAAUCUGAGUGGUGGAUCUUCCGGAUCAAUCUACGUAGUGACGUAUUUUAUAUAAGUUAUAUAUUCUAUCGAUAUGAAUUCUGAGGUUGGAAUUGAUUAUUGUUUUAGGCGCCGAUCGUCAUGACGCCUUGGCGUAUUGUGCUAGGGAGUUGUAGGGCGAACUCCAGGUGAGUGGGCAGUUUUGUUUUCCGUAUAUAUAUAUAUAUACUUGACGUUUCCCAGAAAUUGAAAAUGCAUGAAAUUAUGCUUUAAAUGAAAAUGCAUAGAAUUGAUAUGAAAAGUAUAUAGAAAUGUGAGUUGAAAUGCCAUGCAUGAAUUAAUAUAUGAUGCAUAUGUAUGAAUUGGUGCGGUGGACGCACAGGUAAGAAUUGAUUUAUGAUGCAUAUGUAUGAAAUGGUGCGGUGGACGCACAGGUGAGUAUUUAAUUACUGUUAUGAUGAUGAUUGAUAUAUAUUGAGCUCAAAAUCCUGCACCAUGGUUUAGUGCUUAUAGUAUUCACCGCAUCGCACGCUCGCCUUGGAUCCAAGUAGAUGCUAGUCGUACAGUCCACGCGGAGUGGGUACGACAGACCAGUCGCGAGAGUGUUAGUGAGAUUCCGACUGGUGGGGUGACCUUAGAUUAUGUGCACAGAUGAUUUAUGAGAAGCACUAGAGCGUAACUUGUGUGCAGAAGGCCGGACGGGUCACAGAGGUGACUCCGGUAGAGUGAUAAUGAUAGAUUUUGAGCUCUAGGUUCAACCGUACAGGGCUAUUAGAGGGCCUCCGGUUGAUUACUUUCUUGCACCUGAUAUGAUUAUUGUUGAUGCAUCCAUACUUAACUGUUGAAUUAGACAUGGCAUGGCAUGAUUGAUAAAGAAAAAAUGUUGAGUUAAUGAAUUAAAGUAUUGAGAAUAUAUAUGUAUAUUUAUAUUUUACAUUUCUGGGAAAAUAUACAGGUUUUACAGAGAGGGGUUACAACGUUUUGAAAAAUGUUUGGAUUUGGAAAAGAAUUGUUUUACUGACCCACUCAAUUUUGGUUUUGCGCCCCUCCAGGUUCAGGAAUCACAAAGGUGUGGUGACUACGAGGAAUACAGCGGGGUUCUGACAGAUUGGACAAAAUUAGGACUCACCUUCGGGUGUAUCAACUUAUAAAUUGUAUCUUAAAGCUUCCGUACUGUGCAAAUGGUUACGUCACUCUCACGUGACGGCCAGCAUGCCCUCCUUCGGGACGGGGUGUGUCAUUAACUCAGUAAUGAUAUCGUUUUACUAAAAAAACAAGCUAACUGAUAAAAUAUGGAAUUGUUUUACAAUAUCCCUUCAAACGAAGCCACAGUCAAAAGAAUUAAGGUUUUAUAUCAAAACAACCCCCAUGGGGUUGGUAUGGUAAAAACCAAGCACAAAGAAUUGGGCUGAUUUGAUAUUGUUGUAAUGUGAGAAUAAGCAGCUGUGAAAUAAAGCAGCAGAGUGUUUGGUAAACUUUUUUGUAAAAGUUUUUUUGAAUAAAAAAGAAGUAUUAUAGUAUUUGAUAAACUUUUAUGUAAAACAAAUGUGAAAAAAAAAAACUGGUUUUUCAAAGCUGGGUUUUGCAGCUUUGUGUUUUUUGCUUUUUUUCACCUAAAACUGUGAAAAAAAAGCUGAAGCUGAAUGUUUACCAAACAUAAAAAAAAGCUUUUGAUAGCCACUUUUUUCAAAAUCACCUCUGUAUCAAAAACCAGGGAGGCUCUGUAAAGUUGCUCCAUGUUAGGAAUCUCCUUGAGUUCGUCGGCAGCAACUUCAAGCGCAGUGUGUUGGAAAAAAUGGUAGAAUUUCUCGCUGCAGAUGAAACUAAAAAGCAAUUACACGAUAGAAAGUGGAAGUAAGAAUGGUGCAUAGUAGAAUUUCUUCACCCCAAAUAAACCAAACAUGGUAACUUGGUACAGUAUCAGAGAUGCAAUGAGUCCAACUUGGAUGUGCGGCCACAUCCUUCCAUAGCUUUCGUACGAUGGAAUGUAAACUUUUGAGUGCCUGCUCGAUGAAACAACAAAAGCUUUAGUUUUCGAAAGCAUAUGCUUGCUUAGGAAAAAAGUAGGCUAAGUUGUAUAUCCCUUCGGUAGAGUUUUUUGACUAAAAACUUGCAAGGUCGGAAAAAGCUGAGGAUACCUGAUUUCGAAGGACAAGCCAUCCAAGGCCAAAGUAAAGCACACCAAAUGGAAGAAUCAGCGGAGCAAUAACAGAGUAGCAGAGGACAAUUGUAAUCAUGAGCAUAUCACCGGGUACUCUGGUCCCAUAUCCAAGACCACGAGGAAGCCAAGCUGCUUUCACCUCAUCUUCGGACUUACAGAAAUACUUCCACUUCGUAUGGAAAAUUAUCAGAGGAACUAGUCGGGACAGUUCAAGAUCAUAUCCAACGAAAAACAUGUCAUCAACGCAAUUGCGAAAACCAGUUCACUGCAAUAAAAGCAGAAGUGAUAUGAUUAUACAAGAAUCGAAGUCAAUUUGCUUUAUAAAAAGAAAAUAAUAAUAAAUAAUAAAUAAAUAUGAAACAUGAUUAGCAGGUUGUGUGCCCUUUUGAUUGGAUGGUACUUUGGUUUUUGAGGGACAAGGAAUUGGAGUGUUUUGGUUGAAGGACAAAAGUAGAAAUAUUAAAGGGAGUUUUAACGAAAAGCUCACGGUACUGUUCUCUUUAACGAAAAACCACAUUUUUAUACUAAAAAGUCAAACCUGGUACUAUUCACUUUACCUUUUAUUUUGUCCUUAUCAUUAAAAUUCAAAGUUUUCAAGUCAUUUUCAUUAGUUUUCCUAAUAUUAAAAGCUUCAUGUGUAAAACGUUCUCGUGUCGUUGAUAAUGUUUAUAUGACAUAAUUUGCUGACUGCAAUGACAUCGACACAUAUUAACUUAAAGGGGUGUGAUAUUCACACAUCCUAUUUUACUUCUCACACACAUUUUUAAUUUUCGACUGUCGGAUCGGAUGAAUUGAAGAAGAUCAACAGACAUAAAUUAUCAAGAGAUGUGUGAGAAGUAAAAUGAGGUGUGUUGUAGCAUCCCACAUCGCCCAGGGGAGUGAUCCUUAAAUGUAUAUUCUCAUCCCUACCUAGCACGAGGCAUUUUGGGAGCUCACUGGCUUCGGAUUCCAUCGGAACUCCGAAGUUAAGCGAGUAGUGCACGAGAGCACUCCCAUGAUGGGUGACUCACUGGGAAGUUCUCGCAUGAGAUUGGGAAACUCUGUAUUUCCAAAGAUGGAAAUGUUGCUUGCAGGAAAUUUUUUUUUUUUCUUUUUUGAACAAAUGCUUGGAGGAAAUAUAAAUGUGGUAAAAAUGAGUAAUCUGCAAACGUGUGACUGCAGCUUGUGAGUAAUGUGAUCCCUUUAAAUAGAAAGAAAAAAAAAAUGUUAUAGUUAUGUAUUGAUAUGGAUGUUUUGUAAAGUAUAAAUCGUCCAUUGAAGGAAGCAAACAAGCAAGACUUGGCGGUUUUAAAAUUGUAUAAAAUAAAUCGAUUGAAAAAGGUUAUGCCCCAAUCGGCUUUUGUGACGGGGAGAUAAAUUCAGGAUAACAUAUUAGUGGUGCAUGAGAUAUUACAUUCUCUCAAGCAACAGAGUAAUAGUGAGGAGUCUUUCAUGGUGAUGAAAUUUGGAUAUGGCUAAGGCGUAUGGCCGGGUUGAAUGGCCAUUUCUCUUUGCCAUGAUGCAAACAUUGGGGCUUUCUGAGUUUUUGUGUCGAAGAAUUGAAGAAUGUAUAUCUAUGGUGUUUUAUAGUAUUUUGAUUAAUGGGUCGUCCACAGGAUUCAUACAACCACAAUGGGGAUUGUGGCAAGGGGAUCCUAUGUCCCCGGCUUUGUUGCGACGAAGAGAUGAGAUGGGUGGUCUCCACGGCAUUAGGGUGUCUAAGGGAGGGUUGCCUAUUUCACAUUUGUUUUCUGCCGAGGAUGCAGUUAUAUUUUGUAAAACUUCGGAAGGUGAAGCGUUGGAGGGAGGUUAUGAAUGUGUUACAAAUUUAUGUGGACGGUUCUGGGCAAGUUAUAAACAGGGAGAAGAGUUCGUUUUUUUUUCGGUGCUCAUUGUGCGAAGAAAAGAAGGAAAAAGACUGUGGGGUGUACAAAUAUCAGGGGAAGGGAUGACUUUGGGAAGUACCUAGGGUUAUCUGCGAACUUUGGUCAUUCCAAAACUGCGGUAUUCAAGGAAGUGAGAGAGGUGCUAAACGGUCGGAUUAAUGGAUGGGCCGAACAAUACCUUCUUUGGCGGGGAAAGAGAUUUUAAUCAAGGCGGUUGCUAUGGCCUUGCCAAACUAUGCGAUGUCUUAUUUUAAACUACCGGUCAAAUUGUGUAAAGAUAUGGAGAGGCUGAUUGCAAAUUACUGGUGGCGUGGAAACAAACGGACUAAGGGCAUGCAUUGGAUUUCUUGGGGUAAUGAUGAACCCCACCUCAUUGCUGGCUCGUGUUCUCAAGGAAAAAUACUACCCGGAUAGACCAUUUAUGGAGGCAAAACAAGGGAGGCGAUCUUCGUGGGGUUGGAAAGGUACACUUCAGGGACGUCAUAUUUUGGAGCGGGGGCUAAGAUGGAGGGUUGGAGAUGGGCAGAGUAUCAGGAUUGUACAUGAUCCUUGGAUUACGUUCCGUAUACGGUCUAGGCAUGCGGAGAUGCCGGUGAUGGUAGGGGAGUUAAUUGAGCAUUCUACGGGAUCGUGGAAAAAGGAGUUGGUACUCAACUAUUUUGAAGAGGAGGAAGCAAAACUUAUACUGGGGUUGCCAAUUAGUUUCGAUGGUUGUCAUGAUAGACUAAUUUGGCAUUAUUUUAGGAAUAGAGAGUACACGGUCAGAAGUGGCCCUGGAAUGGCUAUGGAUCUUCAAGCGAAUGGGGAAUUGGGUAGGAAGGGUAUGGGAAUGUUUGGCAAGAUGUAUGGAGGCUAAGAGUACCAAAUAAACUGAAGUUUUUUCUAUAGAGGUGUUGCAACAAUACUUUGGCGAUGCGAAGGAAUCUAGCCCGAAUGAGGAUGUGAGUGGAGACGACAUGCGUUUUGUGUUUAUGUAUGUUCAGCGGAGUGGCAACCUCGAUACCCAUGCAGUGGCUUCCUAUGCUACCUCACGUGGUGGUUCGUUCCUGUGGAAUGCUUAUGGUCCUGAAUUUCAUUUUAAUAUUAUUGCAGAAGACCCAUGUAUGAUAUUACUAUAUACUAAAAUCUAGUUUUAAAAAAAUUAAAAAAAAUAAAAAAAAUAAAAAAUAAUAAUAAAAUAACUCUUUCACCAAUAGUGAUUUGACUGUUUUGCCCCUGUCUCACUGUUUCUUUUCUUUUUUAUUUUUCAAUAUGUACAAUAAAAUGACUAAAAUGCCCUUUAGUCAUCUGCUUCUUUCCGUUCCCUUCGCUUUUCCUUUCUUUCUUUCUCCUUUCUUUUUAUCCCGACUCUCUCUCCUCGCAACUCACUCCGGUUUGUCCGACUAAUUUUCUUCGAAUCUGGGCACAGCGUGGCUCGGAUCACCCCUAAAUGAUUUCUAUUGAACUCAGGUGAAUCGUAGAACAAUUGCAUGUCAAUUUUCAUUUGGGUUUUAUUGCUUUCACCCCUUCUUAUUUAGUCAUUUGGAGGGUUUUGUAUGUUUCUUGGGUGUUAAUUAUAUUGGUUUUAUUGAUUUUUUUUUUUGUAUGAAUUUUGUUUGAUAGGAGGCCGGUUCAGUGUGUAAAAGAUUGUAUUGGUCCUCUGUAUUUGAGGGAAUAUUGUCAUAUAAUCACUAUAAUUUUUGCAUGGGUUCAAGUUAAUUACUUCGAGGGUGAACUAAUGUGUCAUAUAUGUUUCAAAGAUAUGAAAUAGAUGUAGGAUUCAUAAAGGUAAUUAAGGUAAUAUUUCUGCAAGAUUGAGCAAAAGAGAGGAUCAAUUGAAAGAUGCACAACCAUGAAGCUAAACAUUAUGGUAAAUAUCUGGAUAUGAAUACUGCUUCCAAUCCCCGUAGAGAGGCCGGGAAGAAUUGAUUGAGAAUAACAAGACGAUUGACCCAUUUUUUUCAUCUUAAAUAAAAACAUCAUGCCCUAAACGCGAAGGUGAGUAAUAAGCAACCGAAAAGAAGAAAAAAAUAAGAAAACCGAAAAGAAUGCUUUUCAAAGUGUAUUGAUUAUCAGUGGUCACGUAAAUUCCAGUAUCCCCUUUUCUUUCACAAUCUAAAAUGGAAACAGAGGAUUUGCUAGUUCAUUGUGACGCUUAGCUCACUCCCCCACUUCCUUAGUAUAGAUAAUAUCGUUUGUUUAAGAAAAAGAAAAAAUUGGAAACAGAUGAUUUAUAGAGAUUGCUCACACCCCCAAAAGACUGUGAUACUAAAAUUAAUUUAAAGUUGCAUUCAACUAAUUGAAACAUUAUACAAUACUAAAUGGCUUAUUAUAUUAGCAUCCCACAAAUUGUUGAAUAAACCUCACAUACUUAAUACCCUCACAUUUGCUUUUUCAAUGAAAAAUUAACUUAAUACAUCCCACAUACUUCCUUAUAAUACUCUCACAUUCUCAAUAUACACCUUACAUUUUCUACAUGCACCCCAUAUUUUCUAUACAUCCCACAUUUCUCAAAUCUUAUAAAGCUUUUAAUUUGGACAAAAAAUGUCGACUGGAAUUUUGACAAAAGAUGCCGCUUUAAAGCAUAUGUGGGUUGUUUUCAAUUCCACCAUUAAAACUCAUGUUGUCUGUUUUUAAUAUUUUGUGGUAAUUUUAAGUGUUUAAUUCUUCAUAUAAUCCAUGUGAUCCCUAAAAGAUGAAUACGAACAUAGAAGCUUGAACAACGCAGCAAAAGCAAGAUUAAAUAAUUAUUGAUGUCAUCAAAAUCACUCAAACAAUAAAAAAAUAUGAAGUCUUACUUCAUAUGAAGCUUCCGAAACAUCAAUUUCGUGUUUCAUUCGUCAAAAAUAAUUUUUCUCAAUCAACAUGUUUGUAGUUUCAUUGGUUAAGGUUUUGUUCAACAAUAAAGGGUCAGAGAUAUUUUGAUAGUUGAAGAAGAUAAAUAAUACGUUAAAAGUGAUUUGGGAUGUAUUUAGAUUUUAUUUUUAUUUUUAUAAACCUAAUAAGGUCAAAAUUGUCAUUGCAUAGUAGGAUAAAUAAAUUAUUUAAUAUUAAAUUUCAAUGUAGAUUGCAUUCAACAUUUUGGGGGAUGCUAGUAUAAAAAGCCUACUAAAGUUCACAUAGUAAUUGCAAUACAUUUUAAAAGUCAUUAAGAUUAUGGAAACGUAAUUGCUGGAGUUGUUAAGAAAUUUGUAUAGCUUGGGCGGGCUCUCUCGUUGGAUUGCCCAUCAACCGCACUUUCCUCCUCCUUAGACCUGUCAUCCAACUUAUAUAGGUUGUGCAACGUAUGUCAUUUUUAAUACUAUUUUUCUUUUAUGUAUCAUCUGAUAUGAUUAGAGACGUUAGUCGGAAGUGCAAUUUGAAACAUUUCAGUGCCAGAUAUGUUCAUCCUGUAAGGCUAUAUAUGCUUUAAAACAUAGGAAAACUAAUGAAAAUGGCUUGAAAACUUUGAGUUUUAAUGAUAAGGACAAAAUAAAGGGUAAAGUGAAUAGUACCAGGAUUGACUUUUUAGUGUAAAAAUGUGGUUUUUCGUUAAAGUGAACAGUACCGGAUGCUUUUCGUUAAAGUUCUCUCAUCAUCAUUUCUAUUAUAAAGGCAAAUAUGUUUAACAAUCAAGGGUGUUUCGUAAGUCUUUGUUUGGUAACUGAGAAAAUGUGAUCCCAUCUUUUAGUUUCUUUUUUCUUUCUGUUUUUGUGAUUUUGAGAAUUUUGUGGGAUUUUGAGAAUUGCACUGAUUAAAUCCAAUUUAAUUUUCUAAGUUAAUAAAAAGAAUUAUACCAAUUACCCAAAUACUCAGUAAUUUGGUUUCAAAACUAAACAAUCUAUUUGUGUGUGACGCUCUUUUUUCCUAGUUCGGGUUGAAAUCCCGGGCAUGUUUUUAUCGAAACCCUUGUAUACAUACUCUCUCCUAUUUGUAUUUGUACUUAUUCUCUUCCAAUAAAUGAAUAUCGUUACUCUUUUCAAAAAAAAAAUAAUAUUAAAUAAAAACUAAACUAAACAAAUUGUUUAGCAUGUGUAAUUUAUUGCAGGCUCCGUGAUCUUAAACAACUUGGUGAGUUCAACUUACAAAUGAAUUAGCAAUAACAAAUGUUAAGACUUACAAAUAUCUAGGAUAUUAAAUUUCAAGAUAUUGAUUGAUAUGCUGACAUAACCUAAUAAUCUCUUUCCCCAACUUCUUGAAAGUGAGUUACCAAUUUCAUUUUGUUUGUGAUUGUUACUGUGUGUAUAAAUACAUGUAUUAAAUUUGGUAUUUUGGGUUGAAGAGAGGAGAAGAGGGAAGAAAGAGAGAAGGAGGAUAAUUUUAGAAAUUGAAGGUAGAGAGUAACACUAGGUAGACAAAAAUAUAUUUGUGCUUUCACAAUUAACCGCUUAAUAACAUAACAUUUUAUAGAUGGUAUUUGUUAAUACGUUUCGAAAGAACGGUGUUUUUUUAAUUUUCACCAUUUUCAGUAAAAUUGUUGGUAUUUAGCGAAAAGUAAAAUAUAGGUAGUUGAUAUUCACUCACAUUUGUCAUUACUAUUUUGUGCAAGGAAUAGCAUAUCCAAGAUGCUACAACAACCAUAAAAAAAAUAAAAAUCACCACACAAACAUUGCAAGGAAUAAUAUAUCCAAGAUGCUACAACCAACCAACUCAAUCAAGCUUGUGCUUCCUAAUCACAUGUUAUAUAAACAAAUGACACUCCAAAUCCAAACGAAAUCACUUCUAACUAUAAAGCACUAUCAUACAUUAGGCCAACGAUGCUGCUGUCCUCGAAACGUUGGAUUGAGCGUCUUCGAAUUGAUCAUGGUUUAGCUUCUCGGAGCUCAGGCUCGGUGGGAUGAAAGCUCUGUAAACUUGCUCCAUGUUAGGAAUCUCCUUGAGUUCGUGUGCGGCAACUUCAAGCGCAGUGUGUUGGAAAAAAUGGUAGAAUUUUUUGCUGCAGAUGAAGAUAUAAAGCAAGGACAAGAUAGGAAGUGGAAGUAAGAAUGGUGCAUAGACGAAUUUCUUCACCCCAAAAUAACCAAACAUGGUAACUUGGUACAGUAUCAGAGAUGCAAUGAGUCGAACUUGGAUGUGCGGCCACAUCCUGCCAUAGCUUUCAUACGAUGGAACGUAAACUUUGAGUGCCUGCUCGAUGAAACAACAAAAGCUUUAGUUUUCGAUAGCAUAUGCUUGCUUAGGAAACAAGUAGGCUAAGUUGUAUAUCAUUUCAGUAGAGUUUUUCGACUAAAGACUUGCAAGCUUGAAAAAGGCUGAGGAUACCUGAUUUCGAAGGACAAGCCAUCCAAGGCCGAAGUAAAGCACACCAAAUGGAAGAAUCAGCGGAGCAAUAACAGAGUAGCAGAGGACAAUUGUAAUGAUGAGCAUAUCACCAGGUACUCUAGUCCCAUAUCCAAGAUCACUAGGAAACCAAGCUGCCUUCACCUCAGCUUCGGUCUUACAGACAUACUUCCUCUUUAUAUGGAAAAUGAUCAGAGGAACUAGUCGGAACAGUUCAAGACCAUAUCCAACGAAAAACCUGUCAUCAAAGCAACAGUAAAAACCAGUUUACUAAUAAAGGAGUAAUUUAGAUAGUGUGGACAAAUAGUAAAGUAUUUUGCAAUCUUGUUUCGGUUACUGAUAUGGAAAAUAAGAGCUAGAAGACAUAAACUGUUACUUACUUCAGGGCCACAAAGGUGAGGAAGUAAGUUGCAUUGGCAGGGAGGCUGGUUGCAAGUAAGUCAACAAUAGAGUUAGGAUCCUUCUCGAUAGUCUUGAAUGUACUGAAUAAGGUUCCACCUACGGUAACUCCAAUAAAAACAUUGAAGACAGUGAAGUAGAAGUAUUUCCCGGAAGAAGCCCUUACUGCAUGGCUCAGGGAAGGGAUUCCCUCAGUCUUAGACAAAAACAGAAGGAACUUUGGCAAGAAAGCUAGAAAGAGUAUGAGUGCAAUUUGAGGUAGAUAAGCCUCUAGCACUGUCCUAAUCGCCUUUUGCUUCAAAAUUGGCUUUAGAAACGGAAGAAGUUUCUUCAGAUUCUCCAGAGUUGUGAAUGCAGAGAUAGCGGCAAUGGGAACCAUAAAAAACAAAACGGUCAGAGCCACAAUGAUAUACACAACAUAUUGCCGCACCUGUCUCUGAAAAAACUUGAUUUUGAGAUUACGCCAAAGUAGUUGACGAGGUUCAGGAGCCUCUGUGACUAUCCACGUGUCAACAAGUUGGGCAUGUAGAGUCUGAGCUGCAGCAGCUGCAGUCACCCUACUGGUGAAAAAAACUAGAGCGGCAUUUUGCUGCUUCUCUCUGAGAGUGGCUUUCUGUUCAGCCUCCAGUUUUGGGGUUAAUUCAUUAAUCUUCUUAGUGUAGUAAUCAAUACUGUCUACUUUUGCCCCACAAAGACCAAGGAACCCGGUUUUGUUAGUGGGUCUUGUUCCUUCUGAUUUGCCAGUGUCCUUCGAUAUUGCAUAAACUGCUUCAGCGCGCGCAAGCUUCUUCUUAUACCCUUCUAACUCUUUCCAAAUUUUGUUCACCUAUAAGAAUAGCGUUAAUAUGAAUGGAAGAGAAAUACUACUCAAAUGAGGAACACACCAUCAAACAGUCGUUUUACCUAAGCGAUGUUCCGAGAUAUAUAUGACAGUUAACAAAGGCGCAAAAUGAGGAGAAAAGGGGGAAAAACAAGCAUACCUCUUUGUUGUCUGUGACAACCAAUGAUCUGUAAAAUGUAUCAGGGUAGAUGGUCUUAAAAUAAGAAUCGACCUGUUCCUUUCUAAUUUGACCUUCGGGGACGUCAGGUAUGUCUCUGACAAGAAUGGCAAAUUGUUCUGGCUUCGCUUGAGGAGACAUUAGAGCACUGGCUCUCAGGUUGGAGGCAUGUUUAUAUGCCUUCCACAGCAAGACGUAUGUGACAAAAGAAACCCAGUAGACACCAACUAGAAAUGCCCACAACCUAGGACUCUUCUCCUGCACAUACAGAAAGACAUAUGAAAAUACAAUCAGCAUUCAGAAUACAAUUCAAUUGAGAGAAUUAUACCAAAAACCACAGCUGCAAUAAAUCAAAGGGAAAAGAAAAAAAGACCAAGACAUUUCAUGAAAAUGUUUUGUAGCUUACCUUGAGAUGUCCCAUGGAUAAGUGGUCAAGGUCACUAAAAGUGCCAUUGCUUACGCUUGCGUCGGCUAACUUAUGCGCUUCUUCGGUGGCAGCAACUGACAGAAGAAUUGGUAGCAGAACAAUGCUAGAUAAAACCAAUAUACCCAACACUGCCACAUCAAAUAGGAAAGUUAGAACCUUGAGAUUUCUGGCUUUAUAAAUUAGGCCAACCAUUGCAUACUGUUAUUCCAAAACAUGGAAGCAAUAUAAUCGCAGGAAGUAAAGACAAAAACAAGUACAUUAAAACUCAAGAAAUUCAGUAUGUAUUAUGUAACCAAGGUUUCAAAUUCUUCCAGACAGAUUGAAACUGUUAGUAAUUGGUCAAAAUUGUUAUACAACUUACUACUUCAGUCAUAACUACGCUAGUAUGAUAUCGAAAAUCAUCAGCGAAGUAGAAGAUUAUCAAUUCCAAAGCAACAUCUUUCUUGUAAAACAACUGUGGUCAGGUGCCAAUGACAUAAAUUCCCUUCAUUUUACACAAAUCCAUAGUUUUUAGAGUAUAAGCAAAACUGGUACACACUCUUCCGUAAUACAAAUAUUGUCGAAACGUUGAAACCAUUCUAAGAGUUCCAGAUUUCACUUCUCAAAGCCAGAAAUAAAUUAACUUUACCAAUUUCAUCAAACAAACUUCAUCUAUCCAAAUUUACAGCAGUAAAAAAGUUAGAAAUCUGAGAGAAAACUUCUAAAUUAGUCCAUCCAACAAAAACAACCACAAAGCAGCAACAAUUUCAAACUUUUGAGCAAACGGAACAGAACCCAGAAACAGUAUCAUGGUAAAAGCAAAGGAGACAAAGUAAAUUCGAAAACUGUCAAACGGUUAAAAUGGCAGAGAGACAAACAAACCAGUGCUCAUGAACACAAAGUACACAGCAGUGUCGACCCCUGACACGGAAAUAAUUUCCUGCUCAGUGGAAUACAGAGCCUCUUUGAUCCAAGCAAACGGGUUCCGGGUCAUGGACCCGCCCUCCCAUGGAUCCAACCCUCUCAAGAUCCGAUUCGGAUAGUAAACCACAGUGUUCCCAGGCUUUCUCGAAAGCCAUGUGAACAAAAACAUCAGAACCACAAAUAUGAGGAAGGAAGUCCCUAAGGACGUCAAGAACGAACUGAGAUCCAUCUGGGGUUUUCUCUAAAUUGCCAAAGAUUCAAGCUUUUUCUCUCUCUAAGCAGUUUGGAGUGAAAGUUCUAGUGAGAGAGAACAUGCACAGAAGCAAUAGAAAAUCAGAUAGGAAUGGAAAUAAAACGAGAGAAAAUGGAGGGUUAGAGAGAGAGAGACACGUUAGAGGACAUUAAAUUAGAGGAAGGGAAAAGUAACCGUUGGAGGAGGGGGUGGAGGUGGAGGAGGAGGAGGGAGAGAAUUAAAGGAAGGUUGAUAGCUUUUGGAGGUUGUGAAGUUAAAGUCCACGAAAGGCAAUGCAAAUGCCAAAACCUAAAUCAAUGACAAGAAAUGAAAAUAUCUUAAAGCAUAAUUGGCAAGUUGUGGGGCCCUUUUGAUUAGUUGGUACUUUCUAUUUUGAAAAUAUUUUUGCUAGAAAUGGUUAUGAUAACUACUAAUCUAUUUAUUACUAUAAGAUAAGUUUAAAUUUCGAGAUAUAUUUAAUAAAUAAACAUAAAUAUCAAAAUUUAAAUUUAUCUAAUUAUUGUAAAUGAAAUAAUAAAUAUUAUUAUCACUUGAAAGUGAUGAGAAAAGUGCACCUCCUUUAUUUUUUAGGGACAAGGAAUUGAAGUGUUUUAGUUGAAAUGACAAAAGUACGAAUAGAAUGCAUCACAAUCACUCUAUAAAAUUCCAUUAAAUUGGUGUGGCUCCAUCUGAGCCUUAAAAUAUAUUAAAAACUUUAUGUGUGAAGCGGUUCACGUACCAUUAAUUUGUUGAUUGCAAUGAUAUCGACACAUAUUAAUUUAAAUAAUGAAAGGUCGGUAUCAUAUGGACAAUCACAAACUACAUUGUACAUGUUUUUAAUUAUGUGGAGUAAUUACUUUUUAUUAUGAGAGAUUGGGAGACUCUGUAUUUCCAAAGAUGAAAAUGUUGCUUGCAGGAAACAUUAAGGUGGUAAAAACGGGUAAUCUGCAAACGUGUGACGGUGCCUUUAAAUAGAAGAAAGAAAAAAAAAAGAUAGUUACAAUUAUGUAUUGAUAUUGACAUUUUGUAUAGAGCUUUUCGUUUGAAUGUCAUACAUUUAUUAGAAAAUUCAUCAAUUUGAUCGUUAAACUACUGACGUGGCAAGCGUAAGGCCACUCUCUUGUCCACAUGAAUUGAGAAAUUAAUUAUAAGAUGAGGUAUAAGAUAAUUUUUUUCAUUAUGCUAUACACAUAAGCAUAUUAGAAUUUUGGUUUGCAGAGGUAUUUCACAUGCAUUGUAAAUCACAAAUUAACACAUACGUAAAAAAUAAAAUAUUAUUUACACUAAAGAGUAAGCGUAUGAACUCAACUUCACAAUGAUUUAGGUAUAAAAAAAAAAUAGUUCAAAUUUAUCUAUAGCGAGAAUUGAACCUAAAACCCUUCACUUUCAAAUGAAGAGGAAUUUAAGACAUUUAAGAUUCCACCGUAAACUAAUUGGUAAUAUAGAAAGUAACUCAAUUACUUAUGAGCAUAUGUAAUGUUCCUUAUAUCUCCAGUGUGAGAUUCAUACUCUCAACAAGAAUACCACUUGACCAUAAUGCGUAUACUUACGCGACUUACAUUGUAAAAGUAAUGAGCUAAGUAUUUUCCUUAUCAUUUUAAACUUUAGGUGUAAGAUCCCACAUUGUCCAGGGAUGAGGAUCUUGUAAGCCUUAUAUGUAUAUUCUUAUCUCUACCUAGCACGAGGCCUUUUGGGAGCUCACUAGCUUCGGGUUCCAUUAGAACUCCAAAGUUAAGCGAGUUCACGCGAGAGCAAUCCCAUGAUGGGUGACCCAUUAGGUAGUUCUCGUGUGCCCAUGGGUGAGGAUCUUGUAAGCCUUAUAUGUAUAUUCUCAUCUCUACCUAGCACAAGAUCUUUUGAGAGCUCACUAGCUUCAAGUUCCAUCGAAACUCCGAAGUUAAGCGAGUUCGCGCGAGAGCAAUCCUAGGAUGGGUGACCCAUUGGGAAGUUCUUGUGUGAGUUUCCAGAAACAAAACCGUGAGGGCAUGGUCGGGGCCCAAAACGGACAAUAUAGUGCUACAAUGGAAUCGGACCCGGAAUAUGGUGGGGGCUUGAACUGGGAUGUGACAUUAGGGCCUUUCAUUAUCUUUAUAAAAAAAUUGUGGAAAGACAUUUGGGUUGAGAUUUUAACUAAAUUACUGAAUAAAUAAUCAUAAUUAGAUAUAAAAUUCAUCGGCUAUAAGAGUCGAAAUCAUUUACGUCGGCUAUAAGAGUCGAAAUCAUUUACAAAAGAAGAAUAAUAUGCGGGUAAUGCAGUGGAAAUGGCUGGCCUUUCAAUGUGACUUUUCAUGUUAAAUAUUAAAGAUAGUGUUUGGUGAGUGAGGUCGGCCAAGUGCUUUUUCGACUUAAAAAACAAUCUUUUGUGAUUCUGUUUCUUUUUGUAUGUGGGUGGAUUCUUUUCUCUUGUUUUAUCAUCUCUUCUCUUAUACUCUUUUGUUGUUUUUUUUUCUGUAUAAACAAUUCAAAGUAAGAUAUUAACUUGUUUUAAUCGUAAAGCUUAAAUAGAAAGAGAGAUUAGAAUGGAAGAAAAUUCUACUGCUCUGUAUUGGCAUCUAACAAUUAUAUUUGUGAGAUGUUUUAAUCAAAGUUAAACCCAUAAUUGGUAUUUGAAGUCUUUCGUAUUAAGGAAAACAUGUACCCUUUCCACCACUAACACCCAUUUCUGCGAUUGCAUUAUGUCAAAUAGCCCUUGGACAUGUGUCUUUUGGGUUUAUUUUAAUCAUAUAGGUUUUGGGAUUAAAUUGUGUCAAAUAGCUCUUUUUUUUUCUUAAAUAUACUAACUUGGUAUUAGUAACUAAAGAAAAUAACCGUGUGAGAAGAGGAGGAAUGCAAGAAAAAGUAUAGAAUUUUUAGGGUCCCAUUGAAAAAUAAGGAGGGGAAAUUGCAGGAGGUUUCAAAAUGCUUCAAAUUGUAUGAGGUUUCAAAUUUUGGAAACAGCUUAUGCAACACAAGAAAUGACAACGACUAUCAAAUUCUUAAACCCUUAAAUUCUAAAAUUCAACCGCAAUUCGGAAACCAUAUUUCAAUCUCAAAAUCCCCAAGUCGAAAACCAUAAUUCCAAUUCAAAAUCACCGAAGUUCAGUUGAGUUUCUUUUCACCUCUCGCUCUUGUAAUGGAGCUACGCAUUUGGUGACAACUCACAUCACGCGUGUGGGGGAUGUCAUAGGUGGGAUUGUUUUGAACCGAAGUGGUUGUUUAAUACUCUGGCACAUGAUGUAAACAUUUCAAUUCGUAACUAAUAAUAUUAUACUCUUUGAAAAAAAAAUCCCUCAUUCUUUUCAAAAUUUCUAAUUUCAUGUAUGUAUAUUUUUUAGGGAGUUUUAACAAAACACUACCGAUUCACUUUUAACGAAAAGCCACAUUUUUACCUUUAACCGUUACUAUUUACUAUACCUUUAAAAUGGGUUUUUUAUUAAAAUGAAAAUUUUUAUAGACUUUUUGUUAAUUUUUCUUAUUUUUUAUUAUAUUCAGUUCGGUUCGAUAUUACCAAACUUACGUCGGUGAUCCUAAUUUCAAUACCGAUGUUUCAAGAGUGUUUAAUUUCAGUUACCAAAUGAUUCGAUAAUAUCGGUUCCAUUUCUUUUUUUUUUUAAGUUGGAUUUCGAUAUGACUCGGUCGGGUUCCUUUUUUCGUUUUUUUUUUUCGACCCUACUUUGGAGUGUCCACAAGAUAAUAUCGGCGCGGUUUGGUUUUUUCUUUUUUUAUGUCGGGUUUCGAUAUGAUUCGGUCGGGUUCAUGUUUUUCAGCCCUACUUUGGAGUGUCCACAAAAUGGCCCUUACCUCUAUUUUGAAACGGUAAAUAUAUGAGAUUCAAGAUCUUCUUUUCCAAUAAUUUAAUCUAUAUUUUUUUGACAAUAAAACAAUAAUAAUAAUAAUUUAAAUAUUUUUAUUUUGUCAAUUUGUCCAGGUCUUGCAGAUAUCGAAAGCUGCUGUUCAAAUUUUAGGCCUCUAAAAUAUAUUAGUGCUUAAUACGGGAAAAACUUUUUCGAUGAGUGGAUUAUAAAUGUUUUAUGAGUUCUAAUUAUUAGCUAUUAUUCAUUAUGGAUAGAUAUAAAUGUGUAAAAGAAGACAGCAUAUUGAUAAAAGAUUUUUCAAAAUUAAAAGAGCGAUUGAAUUGAAAAAAUAAGGGAUUUGUAAGUUAAAAAAUUUAGAUUCUCGUUAAAUGUAAACUAAACUUUUUUUUUUCUUAAUUUAAUGUUGAUAAUAUCGCCCUUUAGAAAAGAAAAAAAAAAAGUUAGGUUGCGAAAGUUGGCAUUUGACGAAAGUUACGGCUUUAAAUUAGGUAUUAGUUGGAACUUGGGUACCAUGCCACCUCAACGUCAGUAUUCACCCUCAAAUGCAAACCAGCAGUUGUCUUAAAUGCCAGCCAACACGUGUCAACACAAGUACUCUGCCGACAAACAGUGUACGUGACUUAUGACCGUUGCGCGUUCGUAACGCAAUCCGUUGCAAAGGUCCCAACUGACGUGGAGGGACCCAGUUUCGGAUAAGUGGAUUUCUUUCUGUUUUUGUCCGAUACGAGUCAGUGUUGUUUCCGCGUAUUUGUUUUGUCGGUUUUUGCAGAGCUUACAGAUUGUAAUUUGAUGCCACGCAGUGCACAAGAGACUCGUGGGGCCGUUACACGUGGGAGCACAGUAUGGAGGUUGAGAAGGACUGUUGUAUGAGAAGGACCGGACCGAAGGAGUUCGACCCACGUAUGGAUGUGGCAAGUUUUACCUAGUUUAUGUUAAAAAUAGUCAGGUCAUCUCCAACCGAGGAUUGGCCAGAUGACUCAUUUUAACCAUCUGAUAUUCUAAGAUAUUAAUAUUUUAAUAAACAGUACAUAAUCAUAUUUAUCUCCGUCUCCAACCGAGAGCCAAACAUAAUUUAUUAUUUAAAAACUACAAAUUUUGUGAAAUAGAAGUUAUAGGAAAAAAUGGAAUUUAAAAAAAAUAUGAAACAAAUUUUGUAAAAUAAAAGUUAUAGGAAAAAAGUAGAAUUUAAAAAAAUAAAAUAUGCACCAAAUUUUGUAAAAUAGAAGUUAUAGGAAAAAAAUAGAUUUUAAAAAAAAAUAUGAAACAAAUUUUGUAAAAUAGAAGUUAUAGGAAAAAAAAUAUGAAACAAAUUUUGUAAAAUAGAAGUUAUAGGAAGUUAUAGAAAAAAAAGGUUUAAAUUCAUAAAUAAAAAAAAUAAUUGAAUGCAACGGCUAGCUGACUCAGCUAGCCGUUGUAUUCAAAAUUUUCAUAUUAUUCGUGUCGGUUAUAACCAACAUGAUUGCAAUUAAUCAAAAUUAUUCCUGUCUAGCAAUUACUAUUGGUGUUGGUUAUAACCGACACUAUUGCGAUAAACAAAAUUAUUCAUGUCGAUUAUAUCCGACAGUUUUAAGCAAAAUUAUGGCCAGCCCGGGGCUGGAAAGGGCUAACCCUCUGGCCCUUUAGCCCUUUCAGAUUCCAUGGGGCCUACGAGUCAUCUGGCCUAGCCCUCGGUUGGAGACGGUUUUCAGGCUAUUUUCGACCCUCUGAUCCUCUAUACCCUUCGUUAGAGAUAACCUAAAUAUAUUAUAAGGACCAAUUUCCAAUCGUAGUAACAGAUGAAAGUCGUAUGCCACUCACAUGUUUUACAAUACGUUAAUUAUGUGAGUGGAUGACGAUUCAGCUGGAUUGUUACGGUUGGAUCCAUCAAACUCUUCAAUACAUUAGCGGUUAAACUCAUUUAUGCUUGCAUGCAUACGAGCAACUGUACUUAAUACUAUUAGCUGAUUUAUUGUAGGACUUGGAUUCUCUGCCCUCCCAAUUCGGUGCCCUUCCCGUGCCCUCUUGUUUGUGUGGUCACGGUUAAGCCACGUCAAUAUUUUAUAUUACUAUUUUUCUUUUGUCUUAUUAUUUUUAUAAAAAACAAUAUAAAAUGUUAGCAUGGAUUAACUGUGACCACACAAAACAGGAGGGCACGGGGAGAGCACCGAAAUGGGAGGGCAGAGAAUCCAAUUCCUUUAUUGUAUGCUAUGAUUCAAUAUGAAAACAAUGAUUGCUUCCUUGGUUGAUAAGCAAGCAGACUUGAAAGCUUUCCAAUUAUUGAUCCCACACAAAAUCAAUGAAAACUACCUGUGAAACACGAGAAAAUUUUCAUUUUGUUCGAAAUAUGUAUAUAUAGUACAUCACGUGUCAUUAUAUAAAUACAGAGAAAUGUUAUUUUUUUAUGUUAUUAAUUUUUAAUACAAGUAUUGCACCACUUGUAUAAUAAUACGUAACGUAUCAUCUCGUGUUCCAAACACAUUGCAGAAUUUCUCGUAAAAUACAGGAAAAGUAGGGUUCCAUUCUAGUAAGCUCUUUCGAUAAGGAAAGAGAUCUGCUUCGGAUCCCUUCCAUCAAAGUCACUAAAUUCGUCAAUUCGGGUUCUUGAAAUUUGAUCUAACGGCUAAAGUUAUUAUAAUUUUUUAAAGAGACCUCUAUUUUUAGCCGUUAGAUCAAAAUUUAAGAGUUCAGAUUGAUGAAUUUAGUGGAUUUGAUGGAAGGGAUCUGAGGAUCCCUUUCCUUUCAAUAAUGCAUUGCAUUCCUAUUUUUCGUAAAAUACAGGAAAAGUGGGGUUCCAUUCUAGUAAGCUCUUUCGAUAAUGAAAGGGUUCCAUCAAAUUCACUAAAUUCAUCAAUUCGGGUCCUUGAAAUUUGAUGUAACGGCUAAAGUUAUUAUUAUUUUUGAAAGAUAUCUCUGUUUUUAGCCGUUAGCUCAAAUUUUAAGGGUCCAAAUUGAUGAAUUUAGUGGAUUUGAUGGCCCUUUCCUUUCAAUAAUGCAUUGCAUUCCUAUUUUUUGUGGCUCAAAUGAUGACACACCAGUAAGACACAAGAAAAGUGGGAUCCUAUUUUUGUUGUACGUGGUGGUACUGAUACCUGAUUAUACAUGGAAGAAACUACAUUGUACUUCCUUUUUUUUUUUUUUCGUUAAAGUAAUCUUUUUUUUUUUUAAUAUGGUUUGGUGAUUGUCGCUUGGCUGCAGUGACUUCUUAAGUUUUGUAUUAGAGGAAUUUUGGUUCUUUGUUCUUCCUCUUUUCUUAUAUUUAUUUUCUUCAAGUUGCAAAAGAGUCAUUUGUUCCCUCUUCGUUUCUAAUUUACGGGAGGUAAGAUUUUUGUUUUUUCUGAUUAAGUGUAACUUGUAUUUUUUAUAUCAAUAAUUUUUUCUCGUACUACUCAUGAGCAAUCUUGAAUUACAUAAUAAUACUACGACAUAAACAAAAUAUGUAUCACCGAUCACAAAAACUAUUAUUUGAGUAUCAGUUUCAUAAAUUUUUUGUAGUACAAGAGUUUAUUUUAGGACCGAGGAAACCCGAGAUCUAGCACAUUAUAAAGGAAGGAGAUGUGGUGUAUAUAAAUACACACACAGAUGCACACUACUUUUUGAAUGGUUUACCCUUGAUAAACUCAAUCGCAUGAUAUCCAUAUGAAAUUGGAAAAAGCUUUGUUCCAACAAAACCUGCAGAUUUUGCUAGGUUAUUAAAUUCAACUGCUGUUCGCUCCUUGCCCCCAGGAAAAAGGGCCAUCAUCAUCAUGUCGAGGCGAGUGUGUUCCUUGUUUCUGGUGUAUUUUCCAGUACUUCAGGUACUACAAAUUCCACAACUAUUACCUUCCUAGUUUCCGGUAACGCAUUCCAACAGUUUCUCAGCAACUUAAUGCACACGUCAUGCCCAGUUAUGAAGUACCCAGUGCAAAGCACAAGGGUAAAUCAAAUUUUCAUAUUGUGAACAUGCAUGAAGUAGUUUUGAUGAAGAGUAAUGCUAAGGAGACGACGUCCACAUCGUACUACUUUUUUAAUACAAACAGAGGCCAUCUCUAUUAAAGAGAUGGUAAAAUGUAGUUCCGCUAACAUUUUCUUCAAUAACUACUAAAAGUAAGCAAAACCGAACCUUCAUCAUUAUCGACUGAGCAUGUGGUAUUGACUCAAACAUAUUUCCCGCAACAUGCUUCACACCUAUAUAUAAAUGAAAUCAGUAAAGAACGUGAGCCAACUAAUAGUUAAAUAGGAUCUGUAGCUGUUGCAUUUGGACCAUAAUUCAAAUAAGAAAGUGUGUGAAUUAAAGGCUAUUUGUUUAAGUAUUUCAGCUUUAGCCAAUUCUUUAUAUUUUGGUUUUAGUUUUCAGUUUUCUAUUUCAAUUCUUGUUUUUUCCAAAAAUUUGUAUCGUAACUGUUUUCACUUUUUCAAAAAAUGACAAUAGAGAACUUAAAUCAAGCCAAAUUUUGAAAACCAAAAACCGAAAACCACUUUUGUUAAUUUUCAAUUGGUUUUCAGUUUUCAGUUCUCUUUGGAUAUACUAACCUUGAUAUUUAGGAGCACGGGCAAUAGCAUCAGGCAAAUCGAAGUUAAUACCAUGGAUGUAGGGAUAUUUAGAUAUACUAUUUUCGCAAGAGAAUUACCCAUGUGCCACCUCCUACGUCCAUCAGCUCUGUCACCUCUUCAAAACCUUUAUAUUCAGUGAAUACCUUUUGAUCAAAACAUAUAGCAGAGUAAGCGGUCAUAGCCUCACUGAACAAUCGACCAAGCUCAGGUCUCUUUGACAUAUGCUCGAAUGUAGUCUCUCCGUGGGCCUUGUAGAAAGGAUCGCACCCCUCUUCAAGCACUCAGUGCUCGAUGAUAGCUUUAGUAUUGGGGCUAGAGAAACUCCAUUCUCAUUGGAAACAAAACAAAGCGAGUCCUUUGUUAGGGCAUAAGUCCUUUCUUGCUUGGACUUAUCAUCUGGGGCAUGGCCUUGGAGAUGUAGAUAGGAGGCAAUUGCGCUCAGCAACCUUAGCAUUCUCUCCAAACUCAACAUUGCAUUUGGAUGAUUUGCAGUCGGAAUUCGAGAAGCGAUUCCUCCGCAGUAAGAUGAGCUCCAGGCCCUGAGUUGGAAAGGAUAUUGAAGACACUUAGGUCAACUGCAGCUCUUAGAACCAUUUGAUUGCAGGUGGAAUUUGUCAAACCCCAAGCUGAGAUGUAAUUUUCUAAACUUAAUCCCUGGCUUUCCAUCUUUUUUUUUUUUUUGGAUUUUCAAGCUCUCAGUCAAUUUUAGUUUGUUGGAUUGCCUUGUUUAUUUUGGCUCCGAGCAUCAGUUCUCUAUAUAUACAGAUACACUUGCAUGCAUGAUACACGUCGUUUUGAGCGGAAAAAAGUGGGUGAGCAUGUCUAGCCAGCUGGGUUUAGCUAAGGGGCGCCUAACCAUAUAUGGCCUCCAAGAAUAGUAGGUUUUUAGGUAGAUAACUCACCAAACUCUUUACAACAACAACAAUCAAGUCUUAUCUCACUAGGUGAGGUCGGCUAUAUGGAUUAUAGAACAUCACAGCGCUCGGUUUUGCGACGUAUCUUUUGUUAGCUCCAAAUACUCCAUAUUUUUCGUUAAUUACUCUUUCCAAGUCUUCGUCUCAAACUCUUUGACAAAAAAUACCCACCAAACUCAAGACAAAUUGGAAGGAAUGGAUGGAAACUCUCAAACAUUGUCCAUGGAAUGUUGAAGGUAGAAUACCGUUAGAGCAUUAGUAAGGGAGAAGAAAUGAAGGACCCCCACAUGUAAGACCAUUAGUAAGGGUUAUAAUUAUCACCCUUAAUUUCGUGUAACUAGCCACGACUUUUAGCAAAUUCACCAACAUUUCGUGUAAUAUUUGGCAAAUUCACCGACUACACAUCCCUAAUUAAUAUAUAUCAACGAAUUCAAGUGGGCAUUGGACUAGCUAGAGGUAGCCACGAAAUGAAAGGUUGUCACCAGCGUUGAAGAUUUUAAAGAAUUAUAGAUUAGGGCAUGUCUAAUGCAAGGCAUGAGUGGUGGAUUAUCACAGUGAUUAUGAUCGGUCUUUUUAACUCAUUGUGUUUCAGAUUCAAAUUAUCUUUCCACUCUUUAAUGUAGUUUGAGUAGAAAUUUUGCUUAUUGAAAAGGAAAAUACUUAGGUAUUAUCAAUGAAUACUCACUUUUUGAUUUGGCUCAAUAAAAAAAUGUCACGUGUUUCAUUUUUAUUAAUCCCAAAGAAAAAUUAAUAACAUGUCCAUUAUUUUUUAUCAGAGUAAAUCGUAGCCAUAGUCCUUCAACUUUAAUCAAAUUUGAGCAAUGGUCCCUCAACUAAAAAUCUAUUAUCAUUGGUCCCUCAACUCAUCAAAAUGUGUAGCUAUGGUUCUUUUCGUCAAUUUUGUUAGAAUUUUGUCAAAAUAAGUUAUGUUGGAAGGAUCAUUGCUACAAUUAGAGUUCCUCAACUCAUCAAAAAGUGUAGAUAUGGUCAUUUUUGUUUAACUUCGUCAGAAUUUUGUCAAAAUGAGUUAUGUUGGAAUGACCAUUGCUACAAUUGGGUUAAAGUUGAGGGACCAUUUCUCCAGUUAGAUUAAAGUUGGACUAAUGGUAAUGGAUUUUUAGUUGAGGGACCAUAACUGCAUGUUUUGAUGAGUUGAGGGGCUAAUGAUAUUUGAUUUUUAGUUGUUGGACCAUUGUUCCAAUUGAGUUAAAGUUAAAGGACCAUUGCUAUAAUUUACUUUUUUAUAACAAUUAAACAUGUGUUAAAAUAUCAUUGCACAAAAUUAAAAUGUGAGUAGUACUCAAGUAUUAUCUAUUAAAAAGGGUUAAAUCAUGUUUUAAUGGGUUAUAUAUAUAUAUAUAUAUAUAUAUAUAUAUAUAUAUAUUAUAGACUGAAUAAUGUGUAUUUAAUUAGUAUUUGGGUAAAUAACAAAAAACUACCUCAAUUAUUGGGGUCACGACAGUAUCAUACCUCACCUUUUAAAAUUGACAAGGUCAUACCUCAUCUUUAGAAUUUGGUCUAAUAUUAUACCUUUCGUUAGCUUGACAGUGAAUUUCUCAGUUAAAUUGCUUGAUCCGGGACCAUUUUCUAUUAAAAAAUUAAAAAAUUAAUAAUUUACCUUAAAAAAAAAAAAAACCCAAACACCCAUCUUCCCCUGACCCCUUUCCUUUCCCUGCAACCCAGAUCCUUUCCCCUUCCCUGCAACCCCCGACCCUUUCCCCACCCACGUCAACCCACAUCCUCAUUAUCUGCCGCCCACCCCUCUUCCCGAAAUGGACCUACCCAGAUUCGUAAUCGAAGCCUCCGAGGCCGAAUCAAUGGAAGCAGUCCAACCUCACAGUAUUCAAAUUCUCAGCCCAAAUCGCCCCGCAGGCCACCGAUCAAACCCUCAAGACCUUCAUUUUCCGCAUCGACCGCCACUCCAAGCCCUCAAUUUUCCCCACCCACUACCACUGGUACACCUUCGAAUUCGCCGACCUGCCCCAAAUCCUCCACGUCUACGACACCGUUUUCCACGGCUUCUCUGUGUCUCUCACUCCCGACCAGGUCUCCGCCAUCUCCGACCACCAUUCAGUGUGUUGUUGUGAUCCAGGACCGCCGCCGGAGUCUCCACACUACUCGAUCCCCACAAUUUUUGGGGCUCAGGAACCAGAGGGGGUUGUGGUCGGAAUCGAACUAUGGCUCCGACGUCAUCGUCAGAGUAUUUGACACCGGCGUCUGGCCGGAGCGUCGAAGUUUCACGGAUAAGAAUCUUGGGCCGAUUCUGAGGCGGUGGAAAGGGGUUUGCAGAACUUGACGAAUGAGGGGAGGAGCUGGAGGACGGUGAGGUUGCAGGGAAAGGUGGGGAGAGGUGGGUCUUGGGGGAGAUGUUGGCGUGGGUGGGGAAGGGGUCGGGGGUUGCAAGGAAAGGGAAGGGAUCUGGGCUUUGGAUUUGGGUUGCAAGGAAGGGGAAUGGGUCGGGGAAGAUGGGUGUUUGGGGGUUUUUUAUUUUUAUUUUUUUAAGGGUAAAUUAUUAUUAUUUUAAUAUUUUAUUAAUUUUUUAAUAGAAAAUGGGCAUCGAAUCAAGCCACGUCAGCAUUUAACUGGGAAAUUCACGGCCAAGCUAACGGAAGGUAUAACAUUGGACCAAAUUCUAAAGAUGAAGGAUGACAUUGUCAAUUUUAAAAGAUGAGGUAUGAUACCUGACCCUAAUAAUUGAGAUAAUUUUUUGUAAUUUAUCCUUAGUAUUUUGUAUAUAGUAACAGUUUUCAGAUAAAAGAAUUGAAAAACAGGAUAUAAACUUCUUCUGCUCAUUUCAAAACUAGAUCAUGCAUAUGAUUAGAAAAAUAGAUACAGUAACAAUUAACGUACCUGAAGAUAAUAGAUUAAUGCAGAAUAAAAAAAUAUAAGGAAAAUUAAUGAAAAUUGCUUGAAAACUUUGAGUUUUAAUGAAAAUGACAAAAUAAAGGGUAAAAUAAAUAGUACCAAGAUUGACUUUUUAGUGUAAAAAUAUGAUUUUUCGUUAAAGUGAACAAUAUCGGGAACUUUUUGUUAAAGUUCUAAAAAAUAUAAGCCAAGACACAUUGUUUGUUUACUAUUUGUAUCAUGCUUCUUCCCUCUUGAGAAAUUCCAUAACACAAAUCUCCUGUGCGAUUGGAAAAAUCUUUGUUUCCACAAAACCUACAGAUUUUGCUAAGUUAUCAAAUUCAGCCGUUGUUCUUUCUCUACCACCAGGCAAUGCCAUCAUUGAGAUGUCCAACGUUACUAUGUUCAACACUGCUUUAGUAUUCUCCAAUACUUCUGGAAUUGUAAAUUCCACAACUAUCACCUUCCCAUUUUUUGGUAAUGCCCCAAAACAGCUUUUCAAUAAUUUCUUGCACCGGUCGUCUUCCCAGUUGUGGAGCACCCACUGAAAACCAUGUAUAAGAUUAUAUCUGGGUUGAUGAUAAAUUAAUUUUCAACAAUUCAUGGGAAAAAAAGAACAAUUAAAACGAGUACAAGCUAGAAGCAAACCAUGCAUACCUUCAGCAUAAUUGAUUGUGCAUUUGGUAUGGUCUCAAACAUAUUUCCACCGAUAUGAUUCACACCUGUAUGUAUUUAUAAUGAUUUAUAUAACCAAAUUAGGGGUCAAAUUGAUUAAAAUUAAGAAGUGUACAUGAGAUGAUGAUAACAACUAAAUAAUCGUAUGCGGCAAGAGGCUUAUAAUUCUUUUCUUUUUUUUUUCAAAGUAAGAGGCUUUUAACUCAAGUUGUUGAGAUUAUUUAUUAUUGCAAGCGAAACUCAGCGUUUGAAUAUAAAAAAAAUAAACCGACUGCCUUCUAAUCUUUUAGUUUCAUUCUUAAUCUUAAUCUGUAAGGAAUAAAGGAGGAAAUUUUACGUGUGAUACAUGUCAUAUUAAAGUCAAGUUUAGUAUUGAAAAAGAUCUAUUAUGGUUUGAGGACCCUCCUGACACUAUUCAAGACGUUCUCAUCCAUAAUUGAGUGUAAUCUUGCUUCCUUUAAACAAGUAAAAAAAAAAAAAGGCGAGAUUAUAAAAUCUAUUUUCUAAUUAAUUCACGAUACUUAGUUACUAACCUUGGUAAGGAGGAGCUUGAGCAACAACAUUAGGCAAAUCGAAGUUAAUUCCAUGGAUGUGGGGAUACUUGGAAACUACUUUCCAAAUGGUUUUUCCAAUUCCACCUCCAACAUCCAUCAACUCUUUCACCUCUUCAAAACCCUUAUAAACCUUCAACACCUCAUCAAAAUUUAGGUUAGAACUCUCUGCCAUGGACUUAUUAAACAACUGGCUCAGCUCAGCUUUCGUGGACAUGUACUCAAAUAUGGUGAUUCCAUGAGCCUUGUAGAAGGGCACAAUCUCCGGUUCGAGCACGGAAUCCUUGAGCAUGGAAAGGCUCUUCACAAUGUCAAGCUCACAGUUGAAACUAAUCAAUGGAGCUAAUGAGACUCCAUUUUCAUCCGGCACCAAGCAAAGUGUCUCCUUUGUGAGGCCAUAAGCCCUGUCUUGCAAUGCCUCAUCGUCCGCAGACGGUUUUAGAGAUGUCGAGAGGAGGGAAUGGACGGCCAGCAUUCUUAGUAUUCUGUCCAAAUUCCGGGCUGAAUUCGGAUUCGAAGUCGGAAUUUGGGAAGCGAUUUCUUUUGCAGUGAGAUGAGAUCCUGCAGGGCCUGAUUUGGCAAUGAUGCUGAAGACAUUUAGCUCAAUGGCAGCUUCUAGAGUCAUUUGGAGGGGAAUGAAAUUCAUCAAACUCCUAGCUGACACAAUAUUUCCAAUGCUUCUUUGGUUUUCCUCCAUGUUUUUGGGAACGUUGUUCUAGAUUGCUUGUGCUUUGCAUGGCUUCGCUUUUGGGCACCAAUUUAUAUUUUGAUAGUUAAAGGCAAAGACUUUCUCUCCCGGCGGAGAUUAAUUUCCGCACCAAAACUAAAGCUUGACCUAUUUACACAGUGGUUGAUUUUUUUUGUCCCAUUUAUAUACAACAAUAUUCUAUUUGAGAAUUCUAAAAUGCACCCGUGGAUGAGAUACACCGGUAUAUUGUAGAAUUGGUCAUUCAUAAUAAAUUGAUAUCGAACUUACCAUUCAGGAGGUCAAACUUAGAAUCUCCCACUUACAACUAUAAUGUUAAGUAGCAAAAUAUGGCAUGUUUUUCAUACACUGAAUUUGAAGAGAACAAAAAUUUGUAUUACGAAAAAGGAUGGUGGAAAAAGAAAAACACAUUUUCCUUGAGUAUUUGAAAUCCACUUUAUCUCAACAAAAAACCUUCACAUGUUGAUUUGAUAAAAAUAAGUAACACAAUGUUUUACUCAAAAUUCGAAUGCAAAAUCUGUUCACAUCGAAGCGAAAUGCUGGCAUAUGAUGCCAUGGUAGAUGGUGACUAGUAGUUUUAUGAUCAAGAUGGGAGGUGCAAUUGCUCAACCACAAAUGGAUAAGACAUUCUACAUCUUUUGUUAAAUCACAAGAUUACGAGCAUAAUGUACAAUCUAGUGGUAGUGGGGAGAAUUUGUCAAGCAGCCCCAUUUUACAACACAAUCUAUACUACUCUUCGAUGAUUCAUUUUUUGACAAAAAUCAUUUCUCGCGAUUCAUCGUUAGGAGCUUGUGCUUUCAAUUGAAUCUGGUAGAUAAAAACUGGCACAAGCGUGAGGAUACCAGAAAGAAGGGUGAAGAGUGCUGCAAUCUACUAGUGUGAAGCAGGCGGCUCGGUGUCAUCUGAAGUUACAGCAUUGAGCUCGACCUCUAGCCAACUUGUCCCAAAGACAGAUCAUUUGCCUUGGCGAUUGGUAAUGUGCGGUGAAGUAGUUCUCCAUGCACCCGUACUGACAAAACUUCCAGUUAUGGGAGUACUGGACAAUUGCUGUGGUGCUGUUGAAUUGCUCAACCCACAUUCCCAUGCUCACAUCUUCCAUCUUGAAAAGCUGCAACCAAACACAUCUUUCAGCAACCACAUAUAUUAUAGCUUUUCUUUUGGUCAAUGCAUAUUAAUUUUGAACAGGAACUGAAGGAAAACGAAAGAAAUCAUCCUCCGAACAGAGGUAAUAAGCCAGACAAUUAGUAACUUACCCUUAGCCUAUGACUAACGUGCUGAGAAAUGAUGAACUUAGCAAUAUCAAUGGAAAUUACAUAUCCAGGGCCAUUGGCAUAUGGAGGAUAAACUUCUUCGGGCCACUCCUGUCACAACAGACAAUAAUGCUUCAGAGGGAGAGAGAAAGAAGAGUAGAAGAAAAAAUCACAAACAUAAAGGGAUUAACGUCCAUCCUCUUUGAAAACUUUUAAUCCUCUCAGGGGAAAACUAAAAAUGAAUUACAAUUAGAUAACAGCGACAACAGUAGGGAAGGAGCCCUAUGCAUGGAAAUUAUUUCUUGUCCAUUCAAUACGAUUCUAUUGGUACCAUGGAGCUGUAAUUGACUGGGGUCCAACCACUAUAUCCAAUUUUCCGAAUAUACGAUUAAGAAAAGAAGCUCCUACUAAACCGGAUGGACCAUUCUUGACAUUCCAAAAACCCACAAGACAGCUUAUCAAAUGCAACUCUUAAACAAAAGCAGAUAACUGGAUGACUUGAAAACUAAGUAGAGGUGCACGCAAACUUGCAUACCUCAUAGGUUACAGCCCAUUUUCCACUUCUGAGAGGGCGAUGCAAGAGGUUAAGAUUGCCCAUAUAAAGGGAUUUUUUAGAAGAGAUGCCCUCAAUUUCCUUUAAGACAGUGUCCACUCUAACAAAUGUGUCAUCGUCACAUUUCAUGAUGUAUGCAGCUGUCACGUUUUGAGUCUGCAUCAAGAUGUUAAAGCUUUUCAAUACAACGAAUACAAACUCAAAAAGGCCCAGUUGAAUGGUUUACUAAAUUACAGAUACAUAACCUUUUUGAUUUAUAACAAUAUAUAUGUAAUAUGUUUACUGAACAACGAAAUACUGGAGAAUAAACUGAACUCACCCCAAACUCACAAAUAGAAAUGGUUUUCAGAACAACAAGCUCGUAUCGAUCCAUAAAGGGCAAAAUAACAAUAUCACCAAAGUAAGCAGCCUCUUUCUUCAGCAUUUGAUUUACCUCCUUCCUUGGAUUCUGCAAAACUUAAUAAUUAGUAAAACCAAAUAUUGAAGGAACAGAUUCAUAUAAAACAGAAACAGUUUCAAUAUAAGAUUGAAACUCAUCAAUAUACAAGUCACUGAGUGCCGUAAUUCAAAUUCGUUUCUUUUUAUUGCUAGGCAAAUUUCAAAGGUUACAACCCUAAGGCUAAAAUUCAAGUCAAUCCCCACUGAAGGGUGGGUCAUGCUAUCACUGCCCUGCGCCUGUAGGAACAAUUCACUUUUUUUCUAAAAUAAAAUUGUAAAAUGAAGCAGGUAUAAAAUUUGAAUCAACUCAUUCCAUUUAGAACAAGUAGUUUUCUUUCAUCCAAUCAACUUUACUACAUACAUUCCAUAUCAGGUAAUUGAGCCCAUACAAUUCAAACACAUCUACAUCAGCAUCUACGCAAUAAAAUAUAGACAUUAAUCUGGCCUGUCUGACGUUAUGAAAGGGAAACAGAACCAAUCCAGAAUUUCUUUCUCUUUCAGUCAAAGAAUCUUUUAACACAAACAAAUCCAAGCUUGAAAGGAGCAGAUAAAUUAGUUACAAGCAUAAACAGAGGUUUACAAUUGGAGCUAGAACUUCAAAAUAGAUAACAAACAGAAAGCUUGGAAGACUGAAUCGCACACUUUUGACCAAUUAGAGCCACACCUAUAUCUUCUCAUGCAUGAUGAGAUAUAAAUACUCAAGGACGUUAUACUUCUAAAGAAAAAAGGACUUAUGUAGUAUUUGUUCUCCAGCCUUAUAAAUGGAGAAGAUUUCUUUUGUUCUGGCAAUAGAAAGGAUAUAAUCUUGUAAAAAUGUCAGCACACCAGAUCCUGGAACCUGACUGCUCAACUCUUAAUACAAAAUCAAUUAUUGAAUAGCUAAAAGCAAUAAACUUACCAAUGCAACAAAGAAACGGACUACUACAUUGGAGGACUUGAUUGCUGAUGAUUGCAUCCAAGUUUUUCUCACUGCCAUGCGCUCUGCAAAGUGAUUUGUAGCAGAAAGAACCCCAAUAAACAGCUGAAAAGCUCUCUUGGGUAAAGGACGAGCUUUCCACUUCUCUGCCAUCUCCAGUACUCUUUGAGGUGAGAAACUUGGAUGAGAAGCGGGAAGAGAAGUAGCAUAAACAGAGUGAACAUCAACAUCUCCUUUAAUUGCUAAUCCAGUGGCAUCUUGAAGUGUAAAACCCUAAAGUUAAAGCAUAAAAAUAAUUAGAAAAAAGUGCAUCACUAUUGAUGGGAAGGAAUAGGAAAACAAUACAAGAAAUAAAACUGAAAUGACACAACCGGAUGCUUAAGAACAGAUAUGAUCAUUAAUCAUAACUAUGGCCUUAGCACAUCCGUGCAAUGUCAGAGGCAAAGCAUAAGCACUUUAAGUAAGUUACUCAUUUAUCCGACAUACCAUCCGAUAUGGAAAUGAAGUGACAUGCCUCCCCCCAACACUAAUAUGGAAUCCAUCCACACCAGCACGUAUGGUCAGGACAAACAAUCUACCCUCUGUAAACGGAAAUGGCCAGGUUACUUCUGGCUUCUGCUCACGCCCUAUGAAUCGUUUGAACCAUGAGGUAGUCUUGGUCUUGGACUCUUUUGAGUCCAUACCAUUCCGCAUCCACUUUUCACAUCUCCCAUAUCCAUCAACUGCCACAUAUGUGCAUUAAAGUUAUGUCACAACCCAAAAGGUAUAGACAAUGGUUUAUAUAUAUAAUCUUCAGAAUCAACAGCAUUAGUAUUAUUAAUACAGACUCAUGUUUUUUUAUUUAGUUUUGUACUUUCAUGAAACUUCAUGCCUUUUUACAAAUAUCAUGGCUGCAGAAAUACAAGGGUAGGACUUUAUCUUCUAAAUCAAUGGAAAUUUUUUACCUAGCAUGUCUUCAUUGCUCUUGGAUGGUAAGCCGUCACACCUUUGAGCUGUUCCCCAUUGCAUCCUGUAACAGGUGUUGUGCUCAAUGACUGGCUGCUUACUCCAAUCACCUUUUAAUCGUGGAUUCAAGUGCAGUAUCUUUGGCGGGUCUUCCCCAUCUACUGACUUCAGCCCUUGCAACUCAACCAUGAACUGCGAGACCAUAACUGUUCCAUCACCCCUCCUCAACUUUGCAAGCUGGGGCACAUACUCCUCAUGAGCAUAACGGGAUGUUCCCACCACCGUAAUUGAAGAACCUGCAGCAAGCCCACAAGGAAGAAACAUCAACUUAUCUCCCGUUGCCAAUUCUUCCCCACUCAUUGAUAACCAUGAAGGACAUGACUCAGGUUUUCCCUCAAUUAUAGAACUCUCUCCAAUCUCCUUCCCAUCAAGUUUACCCACUUCUUCCCAAGCACUUAAACCCAAUGUCCAAGCCUCAUCUGCCAUCCUCUCAAGCACCGAAAGUUCAUUAGUUCUAUUCCUUCGCCUCAUAAUCUCACCAGUGAUCCGACCAUAUUGAUAUUGUAGUGGCUUUAUAGGCUUAGAUCCACCUUUACUUUCUUCCAAAGGUUCCUUACUAGGCCUCACAGGCGCAUCUUGGUUUUGGUCUUCCAAUUUGCGAUGAAAAGUGUCCUUAUAAACAGAAUUAAAUAACGGUUUACUCAAAUCCACAUCUUCGACCAAUUCCAAUCCAUCAUCACCACUCAGCGUCUUUGCUAUCUCAAGAAACUGGGGAAACUUAAAGGAUAUGAAGACCAAGUACAAUGCCGCUAUACCAAACAACAAAUGCUGCAACUUGAACCUCCUCGCAACUGAAGGUUCAACUUUUAGCCUCUUCAUCUUUACGAAACCAAUACACAGACUACAAUAUAAUCUACAACAACAACCACCACCACCGAACAAUUCCUCCAAUACCCAUUUCUUCAAUCACAAAAAGAAACCCAAUUCAAGCUCCAAACCCAAGAAAAACUCCAAAACCAAAGUUUUCAAAAUCCUCAAGAAGAAACCAAAUCCAAAACAUACAAUCCAAAUCAACAAUGGCAAGAAACACAAAGCAUCAUACAGUGAGAGAACUCGAACCCCCCCCAAUGGGUUCGGAGAGAUCGAGUUCAAGAAUCCAAUCAACGUCACAAUUCAGCAACACUAUGCAGGAAAAGUAGAAAACCCAUCAAAAAAUCUCAACGCAGAAAAGCUAAAAAUGUCAACAGUCUCACCGGCAUUCUCCAAACAGUUCGAUCUCGACCCAGAUGAACAGACCCCGCAAUGGAAAUGCAGAUGGGCGAGAAAAACCCUAGGCAGAUUGGCAGAUUGGCAGAUCGCAGAGCAGAGGAGCAGAAGGGGGUGGGGGAAGGUAGGGAGGGUAUGUUGUAUUAAAGAGGGAAAUUUUAUUGGGAGAAAUUAAGAAGAUAUUUGACUCAAACGGGAAAUGUUGGUCGGUAGAUUUCAUUCCCUUUCUUUUGAGUUUUUAUUUUCCUUUCACCAACCUCCACACCAUGAUGUCACGGUUUCAUGCUCCUCUUUUGUUGCAACAAAUUAAACAAACUUCCAACCUCCUUUUUGUUGUUAAAUAAAAUGUUAACUAAUUAUAAAAAGCGGUCUUUCAUCCGAACAAAAGAAAUAAAUUUAGAAUUUGGAUAUAUAAUUUAUAAGUUAACAUGCACUAUUUUUUUUUAUUUGGAUUCAUAAACAUAGAAAUAAAAUCCUGUCAUUUUAAAAUUCUUAGUAAUCUUAAAUUUCAUCAUUCAAACAUAGUGUUAAUUUUUAUAUCACAAGGAGAGAAGAAAAGAUGAGAGAAAUACCUUGUAUAAUUGAAUUGAAAUAUUAAAACAUCGCUACGAUUGAUUAGGAUCAAGUAGAAUGAUACUUGAAAUUUAUAAAUCUCAAAUUUAAACGUUUUACGAAUGACGUGACGAAUGUCUUGUAUCUAAAAGAAAAUUAUCAAAAUGAUAAAAACUUUGUAUCACAAUUAUUUGACGUGAUAAGCAACGUGAAAUCAUAUUGUUUGAAGAUUUUUCUUAUUAAGUAAAGUCAUGUUGGACUAUUUAAAGUAGAAAAUUAAAUAAAUAAAAGCAAAGCCCCUUAUCCAAUUUUCCAAAACCCUGUCUCUCAGUCGCCCUCUCCGUCCUCACUUCCCACUCUGGAGCGGGUGACCCCAUAACCGAAAGCUCCGAACUUUAAUCCCCAACACCAAUUCAAACCUUCGUCUCUACAGAAACGAAUCGCUAGCCAGCAGUUGAACCAAGCUCUCCAACUCCAGUUUUCAAAAUUCGGAAUAUAAAGGUGCAUUUCAUUCCCUCAAAGUUCAGUUCAGUUCAUUUCGGCUGUACCUUUUUCCCACUUUUUUCUUUGUUACAAAAUGAUUUGUAGUGAAGAUUAGAACUUUUCGGUUUCUUUGCAAUUAAAGCAGUUAGUAGUGUAAAUUUGUCAAAUUGGGUUUUUUUUUUUUUUUCUUCAGAUUUUGGUGAUAUUUAUGCUGCGUUGAAGUGAAAAAUGGCAUCUCUACCAGGAACUUGGCUGUAUCAAGGUGUGCUCAUUUGUUCUUAUUUAAUAACGAAUAUAAUUUUGUAUGAAGUCCUCAAAGCGGCUUGUGGUGUGCCUGGCCGCUGGCCGUGAGAUGGGGUAGCCUUCUCUCCCCCUAAACUUUUUUGUAUCGUUUUUUUCACAAUUGGUGGUGUGCUUUUGUCAGAUAGGGGAAUGAUAGGCGUAGUCUCAGCACAGAGCCAUGCUUCUGGGAAGCCAUGUUUCAAUCACUUCAAGGUUUAUAUUCUUCUCAAUUUAUUCAACUUUACAUAUACACAUAUGUGUUUGUGUCUACGCCUCUCCGGUUAUUAUGGAUUUCUUCUUGUUUUUCUUUUAAUUUUUAUUAUUUGUGUUGCUUGAAUUUUAGGCUUUCGAUACUCAAUCUCUAUUUCAAUGUGAAAUGAUUUCUUUAGUAAUUAAACAUGGGUGAUUUGUAAUAUAAAAGACACUUCAUUGCCGCUAAACUUUUCCUUCUUAGCUUGAUUGGUUUUUUUAGCCAUUUAUCGUCAUGCUAAUUUGGUCAUGUAUAAUUUUAUGUGCAUGGUACAGGCAUCAACUGUAAGUUCAUUUCCAGUUGGAUUAUUCCAAGUUAGAGUUGGCUCGAAUCUAUUGCCAAAGAGGGCACCUUUACUUCCUUGUAUAAAGUGUGAGAAGGAUGAUGAGUCCUCCAAAGAGGUCUCUAUUGAGCGUCCACCCUAUGAUAGUUAUAUGGACUCAACAUCUGGGCAGCUUGAACCUGCAUCUGGUGCUCGUGCCAGCAUUCCAGGGCAGGAUUAUUGGCCUGAAGGCACAGCUAGUCGAGUUAGGGCUGCCAGGGCUCCUGAGCCGACUGGUAAGUCAGUUGGGUCACCGUCUUAUGGUAAAGAUCCUGGAAGUAGGAGGAGGAAGAAUAAAACAUCAGUUGCUGCCGGUGAAUCUACUGAACAAAGUGUAGAGUCAAGUGAUACAGUGGCAGUGGAACUGCUGGAACCAGAAACUUCAGAGGACGCACUAGAGGAUCCUAAAGAUACCCCAUCUGAAUAUGUUGUCUAUCAGACAGAACCUGAAAAAGAAGAAGAAACAGGAUUUGACCUGGACAAGAAACUCGGACGUCCUCAUCCCUUUAUUGACCCAGAAACAAAGAAGCCAUUAGGUGAGCCACUCACAAGUGAUGAACUAUGGUGGAACUGGAGAAAACCAGAGAAAGAAAAUUGGUCCAGAUGGCAAAGGAGACGGCCCGAUUCUGAAACGGUUAGUGCUUUCGUAUAUAUAAUGGAGAAAUAUGAUAAUAUUGUAUUUAAUUUGAAAAUUAUGAUUUAAGGCUCACGGGCCAUAUUCAAGGGAUUUGUAAGCCAAAUUUUUUAUGUAUAGGUGAUUUGAACCAUGCAUAUCAUUUUGGAUUUCAACAUUUGGAUCUUGUUUACAUGAGGUUGUCACAAAAAGCAAUGCUGCUUGUAUUAUAUAUAUGGAUGAUAUCAAUAUACGCUCAUUUUUUGUUAAAGCGCCCAUGUAAUCAAUUCAUAAACGAACUGGGGAACUGGAAUAUCAGAAGGAAAGUGGUCUUUGACUUUCACGUUGAUAUUGUCUUUCAACUUCUUCAGGUUUUCCUCAAAGCAAUGGCAGAGACUGGGCAGGUAAAGCUUUAUGGUGAAAAUCCAACAUUGACUGAAACUUCACUUUACAGAGCAAGACGACAUCUUUUCAAGGAAGAAAGGUAUAAUUGAUGAAUAAUAUAGUAAUCUUCUGUAUAUGCAAAUAUAAUAUUAUAUGAGCAGACAUAUAUAUGUAGUAUAGGAUUAUGUAUGUAACUGAAGCAAAAGAAAACUAGGAUCUGGUGAAUAUUGAUUAUUGGUUUUGUCAUCUUUUGGACAGUAUUGUAUUAACUAUAAAGGAGAGUGAUAACGAUCGAGAAACAUUAAUCAAACUAAAGAGAGGAAAGGAUGGUUCCAGUGCUCAGCUCUUGGUUUUCGAAUCCUUUGCUUAUGGAAGUCUCUCUUGGGACUUUUGCAUUGUCAACUUAGAGUGGUUUGUGUCUUAGUUUAGGAUUUAUUUAGGUUAGGCUUUUCCUUGCACCUGCUUCUCUGUCUUAGUUUGUUUACAUGUAGCGAUUGCCUUGUGACCUUAUAAUAUUCACUUAAAAGUUCUAUGGAGUAUUUUUUUCCUUAAUAUGGAAUUUUCAAGUAACUGCUGAAUUUGUAGGCUUCAAGCGGAACAAGAGAGACUGGAUAGAACAGGUCCACUUGCAUACUAUUCGGAAUGGGUAAAAGCGUGGAAAAGGGACACUUCUCGAGAAGCUGUUCAGAAACAUUAUGAAGAGACUGGUGAAAAUGAAACAACCCAACUAAUUGAAAUGUUUUCUCAUCAAACAGAUCGAGAGUAUCGCAUAAUGAUGGGGACAGAUACCCGUAUACGUAGGGACCCCUUAGCAAUGCGUAUGCGAGAGGAUCAAAUAAAGCAAAGUACUCACUCUAAAGCUGAUAAUUUUGUGCAUUAUUAUCAUGAAAUACGUUCUUUAUAUCACCAUUAAUCAUUUCGACCCCUGAGAUAGUUCAGUUCAUUUAAAAAAGGUUUCUAAUUCAUUUUAUCGUAAAUGGAUAAGUGAUGCAUUCUUGUACAUUUUUAAUUCAGUACUUUAGUUUGUCAUCUGUUAUUCACCAGUUACACUGUAGUUUCAUUAAACAUGUUUAAUGAUGCGGUUUAGUUUGUUGACUAAUUUAUUUGGCCUUGCAGUAUGGGGCGGAGAUCCUGUUUACCCAACUGUGAACUAUAUUCAAGAUCCAGAUGAAGUGAUUGAUUACAGAGGCGCGGAUUUUCAUGAACCGACACCAGAUAUGCUGUCUUUUCUGAAGGAGGUCAGCACUUUUCACAUUCCCCCUUUUUUUUUUUCUUUUUAUUAUUUGGCUUACUGGAUUUCUACAGCAUCUGCUGUAUCAUUAUUUUUUUACUUACGUUCUUACUUUCCUGCUCUGUAAUCAGCACAAAAAAAUCAUAUCAAGGGAGGAGCUUGAGAAAAUUCUGUCAAAAGAGAAGACUCAAGAGCUUGAGGUAAUCAAUUGACUGUGUAAAGUUUAGUUAGUCUGAUGAACUAUCUGUCUAGAAACUCGAAUAACAGAGAAUGUGCACACAGUGAACUAUUUCUUGUUAUCAUAUGAAAAUACUCUCUCGAUUCCACUCCAUUGUUCAACGAAGCUUUAUUAGUCUUUCUCCAAGUUAUCAAUUUUCCAGCUUGCUCUUCUCCUUGUGAGCUUUGGGUCAGCUCCUUGAGUGAUACUAUGGAUUUUAAAUGCGUCAUUUUUUGUCCAUUUGGACUAAAAAUCAACACAACAGAUAGGUUCACUGCAUAAUGCCUGGGUGGUAAACUCCCAGUAAAGGGCUGUCUAAGGUGGCAAAUCAACCCAUUGGGGUGAAAUCAAAUUGAAUGGGUCUUAAUGAUUACCCAUUAAGCAUUAGCAACCCGAUGGGUUGAUUUGCCACCUCUCCGCUGUGCAACGAUUCCACAUGUGGAGUGUACUGACAAACAAAGGCUCAUGCAUGCAUUCAUAAAAAGUUCAGCAUCGAUACGAUAUACCUAUCCUGAGUUCGGGCAAUGCCUUUCCUAAUUAGUGACAACCAUUAUCGUAUUCAACCCCUAUAGUGCAAAGAGCAUCUUAUAUAUGAGAUCCUGCCCUUGUUCGUUAAAGACCUGCUGCAUAUUCUGGUUAUAAUCCUAAAGUAAAUGUACAAAACUUUAGGGAAACUAGCUACAGUAAACAUAUUGUGACAUUUGGUUUGCAGAAAUGAUCGGUUUUUAGUAACAACAACAGUUUGAUGAUAUCCCGAUGACACAUCAUGACUGACAUAACAACAACACAACGAUGAUAUAAUGACGACAUAAUAAACACUGAUCAUGUCUGCAACCAAAUGUCAAAUUAUGUCUAUUGUAGCUUAUUGCCAAAAACUUUAUUGGAUUGGAAGAUUUGAAUCGUAAUAGAAUGUGUGGAAGCAAAACAUCUAAUCCAGCUGUUCUUUGUUUAACUCUUAUAUGGCAGGCGCCUGAUAUAGAAGAAGCAAUGGCACAAGCAGUUGACAUCGGUGAAGAUGUAAGUUUAAUUGCUUCAGAUACAUCAGUUCCAUAUUGCAUGUUCUUACACCGACACUGAUGCUGGUUAAAUGUAGCUAUCCAGCAUACUUGUAAUCCAGUUAUGGUUGUUAUGUAUGAAACUGAAAUCUUAUUUGACACUGUUUAUAAUAGGAUGAAGGAGAAGAUAGUGAAACCGAGGUUGAUGAACAAGGAGAGAAAAUCACACGCAACUGGAGUGUUUUGAAAACUACUCCUGAGCUUACCAAGUCAAAGGUGAUUCUCAUUUCUCAGUUUUGCGGCAUGUUUUCGUAUUAAAACUUUUGGUGGUUUUGACAUAUCCAAAUGUCAUUAUCUAAAUGUCUGGUUGCCAUAUGAUAUUAUUUCAAUAUCGGGUUUUAUGACGUACUUGUAUUGUAGUGGAUGGUCUGGGAUCUCUGUGCACAGCAACCAAAGAUUAUCGAACGCUAGCUGGUUAAACUUGCAUUUGCAUGCUUACCAUUUCUUAUGCGUUUCAAGCAAAUGUAUUUCCCAAGUAAUUUUUUCUCUCAAUCCUGCAGGAUAAACCGAAAAAGAACGACGGCAUGUCUUUGGAAGAAGCUGUAGACGAUUCAGAGAACUUAACUGAUUUUCUGAUGGACUUUGAGGAAGACGUGUAAAAUUACGUUCUUUGGAAGAUUUUGGCUUUUUGAGAUUCACAGAGAAGUAGGCGAUGAAGAUGUAGGUGCGUGCAAUAUGUAGUCCAGCAGUAAAACUAAGUUAAAUAUAAAUUAGACAAAAGUUACACAAUUUUCUAUAUGAAUGAAAGUUACUGAUGAUCAAAGGGAAUUGUGAUUGGAACUCUAAGAAACUCCUCGUGCAUUUCUUGUAGGGAAACUUCUCUCACACAAUUUUAUAAGCGCACACGCCUUUUUUUCUCUCAGCAUAACACUGUUUAUUUUUGGUCUUUAGAUGGAAUAAAUCAAAGAAGAAUCAAUGGAAAAAUAUAGAUAAGAGGUUUGUAAAAAGAGAAAAACACAAAGGACAACAAAGCUUUAUUCUAUUAAGUAUGAUCGGUCGUAUAACUAGAGGUUUGUAAAAAGAGAAAAAUAAUAUACAAAAAUAAUUUUCCAUUUAUGGAGUUGUCACACCCCCGGACCCGAGGUCAAUAGGAAAAAUCUCGAAUCCGAAUCCGGCGCGCAAGCUAAAAGUAAAAUUAAAUAAAAGGAAAGUGAAGCUAGGUGGAAAAAUAUGAAAUUCCUCUUAUAAAAAUAAUUCAGGAUUCUCUACAAGACUAAAAUAAAUAAAUACUAAAUUAUAUCCUCACACUUAAUCCGAUCUCAUCCCGUCUACCCUUUUUUACUGUUUAGUUCUUAAACCUGCAUAGCUCGGUAGGGACAUAACUUUAUCACAGUAAAUUGACAAUAUUAAAUUAAGUGUCAUGAAAUCACAUAGCCAAAUAUCAAAUCAUAAAUGAUAACAAUGCAUGAAUGCAAUGCAACCCCUUCGGUAAUCCCCGUUAAUUUAUAUAAUAAAACACGCAGACCUGCAUGUCUCAUACCAUACAUUUUACCCCUGCAGAGGUGGUUCAAAUGUUCUAUUAUAGAAACUAACCCCCAUAUGAUAUCCCAAGUUCAUAAACCCCUUUUGCUAGUCAUCUUAUAUAAUUCAUUGAUCUCCAGCCCAAAUCACCCACGUUGACAAUUCCCGUCGAUCCUAUUCUAAUGUGCACACCGGGCUCGCCUAGAACUGGUUUCACAAUGAAUAGAUUCAACUACACAAAAGAUCCUUUCCAACUACCCUCAUUUCCAUACUUCCAAUCUAAAUACUGAAAUUCCAGCCACAUCAACAUGAAUUAUGCACAAAUAAUGUCAUUUCAUCUUUCACAUAUAUCACAGUAUAUUCUCAACGAAUAGCAUUCCAGCAAUAAUUUCAUAACCAAUAACAAGUAAACACGCAAGAGCAGUAUUUGUCCAAUUAGUAAACCAGAUACAAGAUCGAUAAUAAUAAUAUAAUACUUCAUGAAAUUUAAUAAAGCCAAUCUCCGUAAAGGUCUGCCAUAUUUCCCCUACCUGGAUUCCAAGAUAAAACAAAGAUCCAUGGAACUACCAUAAUAGCUAAGCUCCACUUACUUAUCCACGUCACUAUAAAAUAGUUAAGUUCCACAUACUUGAGCAAGCUCCUUGAUCACUUUCUAAUGCCAUGUAUUACUUUAUUUUAUUUUCUAAUCUCUCUCUCUAACAUAUAUAAUGUAUACACACACACUUGUGUGUGUGUAUAUGUACACGCACACAUACACGGACAUACAUGCAUGGCUUCAUAGCAGCCAACAUAUGUUUCCUAAAAAAUGGUGAAUAAAAGAAUGAAAUGCAACCUCUAUUUAUAAUAGAAAGGGUCGGCUCCCUACAGUGUAAAAUAUAUUAUAUCUAGGGAUCGAAAUGUAACUGACGAAUGGCCAGUUGACAAGUGGGUUUCAAGGUGUCGUUGUGCAUGGGGUAGAUGACUUGGAAUUAACACACGUGGCUUUGCCAACAAUGGUGGAAGCUGGUGGUGUCAAUGGAAUCUCUCAAAACCUCACACCUCGUUGUAAAUAUAACAGCUGUUAAGAAAAUGAAGUGCUGCGUGUUGGACUAUGAAGGAUGCCAUCUCAGUGUUGGACACCUCCAGGAAAAAUGGGAUAGACUUCAAUUGCAAGACUACACCUUGCUAAUUGUAAGAAACUAUCGACUAGAAGUUGACAGCAAAAUGAAAAAACUAAUAUCAUAGUAGUUUUAAAAUACUAUUUGUUCUAUAUUUUAAAAAUACAGGUUCUCACAGGAGUUUAGGAUGAAUUCUACAUCGUGGAAAGGAGGGACUUACAUGUACUUAUAAGUAGUUAGACUCUUCCAUAUUGCAAAUUAGUUUUAUGGUGGAGCCUCGAUUUCUUCAUGUUAUCAAAGCUGGUCACACGUGCUCCACGCCACCCAAUCUAUGUUGUCCACAUGCUAGACUUAAAAAUUUGUCACACAUGAAAGUACGUGUUGAGAGUGAAUCCCACAUCGAAAAAAGUAGAAACUCUAUAUGUGCUUAUAAGUAGUUGAACUCUUCCUAUAUUACCAAUUGUUUUACAGUGAAGCCUUAACUUCUUCAAUGAGAGGUAUUAGAUUCGAUUAUCGCCAAAUGCGAAUUCAAUCCACGUUAUUGCUAGCCCAUUAUGAGGCUAAGCCCACCCCUCCCUCUUAGUGUAAAUAGUGUAGAUAAUAUCGUUUAUUAAAAACAAAAACAAAAAAAACUAAAACUUCUUUAGUGAGACAUGGUUCGAUUCUCGCCAAAUGUGAAUUCGAUCCACGUUAUUGCUAGUCUAUAAUGAAGUUAACCCCACCCCUCCUCCUUAGUGUAGAUAAUAUCGUUUAUUAAAAAAAAUAAAAACUUCUUCAGUGAGACAUGCAUCAUUUUUUUUCAUUUUUAGAAGGAAAAAAAAAUUGUCACCUCGUUAUUGAGAGGUUAUAUCCCAUUUGCAUGGGUUGAUGUGGUAUGAUGGGAUGAAUUUUUAGGGUUUUCUAUGUACUAAUAUACGUGUUAUAAUAUUAAGGGAUUGAAAACACUUCUAUUGUAUUAAAAGUUUCCAUAAUAAUUUUUCCAAACCAGAAAUACUGUUUGACAAACUAGUUUAUGUCCAUGACUUCAGGGGCAAUGCAAGUGUGAGCCUUAAAAGAUACACCGGCCCACAUAUAAAUGGAUCGUCCAACGUUGUAUAGAAAAAGCCAGGCCAAUCGAAAAGAAUCGGUUCAUAAUUUUCAGUAACAAAAACCAAAAAGUCUUCAACGAUUCCGUGCAAGAAAACAUAUAUUAAAAUAUUCAGCAAAAAAGAACACAGAUAAACAACGAGGAGAAACUUUUGACUAUUAGCUUCUUAACGUCGCAGAUACUAAUUCAUGCAUGAAUAAAUAAUAUAACAAAGUAUAUGUUAUGAUAUAUAAUAUUGCGUAAAAUGUGAUGAUUAAAGUAAAAUAUUUCUGGAUCACGAGAGCAAAAGCUCUUCUAGGUUUUGGCAUCAGGUUAGAUUCUCUUACGUCAGCAAAUUGCCCACUUAGUGACUUCCAGAACAAAUUAAGUAUUUGCUAAUCAAGAUGCUCAGGUGCUUAGCUAAUUGAAAUUCACCUUAAUAAAUUAAUGAAUUUCCCUCUGGCCUACACUAUCUAUCUGAUGCCUCUGCAAGAUCUUAAAAGUGCUUUUAAUUAUAUUAACCUCUUCUUUGCUUCACAUUAACACUCAAUUAAAUAUAAUAAUCAUUUGGAUCCCACUUAUUCUGUUUAGGUUCAGCCAUCAAUAUACAAAAACCAAAACUUAAAGCUUUGGAACAAGUUAAUUAAAAACAUUUCAUGCUUUCAGGGGUCAAAGUUGAUGGGUUUAUGAAGUGGACCCAUUAGGUAUGAGCACAGAUUCUUAGUUGGACCCCAAAUUAUCAAAUAUGUUAAUAAAUCAUUAAAAAUAUAUAUGCACGGAUUCUUAAUGAGAACGUUUAACGUAUAAUAUUUGUGUUUAAUUUGAUUUUUAACUGUAACUAACUCGUAUUGUGGUCUAGUCUAAUUCCUGAUUUUCGUUAAAGUAGAGUAUUAUUUAUAUAAAAGAGAAAUACAUCAUUUAUUAUUUAUUUGUUGAUCAUUGAGUAUAAACCCUAAGCAGGUUUAUGCAGACACUAAUACCUAAACGAAGACACAUUAUUAUUAGGGUUCUGCUUAUGUCCCCAAUUAGAUUUUGACUAAUCGGGACACAAACCUUGAUUACUGUAUAGUCUGUAUAUACAUACAUACAUACAUACAUACAUACAUAUAUAUAAAUAUUUGACUUGAAAGCAAGAGAUGAUGGAGAAAUGAUUAGGGAUGCUGCUGGCAGCAAAACAUCAGAACUAAUCAAAGCAGAUUUUACUAAUGACGACAGUUUCUGUCACCCAAAACAUGGUCAAGAACAAAUCUAAGUAAUGCUUGCUUUCUUGCCUUGCCCCCCUCCCUUCCCACCAUUUUUAUUUCUAUUUGGUCAACUAUGUUUGAUUCUGUGUUUUUGUGUCUUUCCAGCAUUGUAUGCUGUUUGGAUGCGAUCAUAUUUUUGAGAAGGGACACUCCCUCCACAGUCCUCACUAGUGGUUCUAAUCCUUUUUAAUUAUGCUAAUCGUCAUCAUUAACUAAGUGCCCUUUCGGCCUUUCGACCUUUCGUUUUCGUUAAUUAGUGUAUGUUCUUGGUUACAGCCCACACUUAAUCAUGAUUAACACAUGGGCUCCAUGCUAAUCAUCUGUUUGUUAGUCUUUGCCUGCCCAUUUGCAUGUCAUGUUAUAUACUUUUUCCAUAUUCCUCAUUUGCUUAGUGUAAACUCUAAUCGUCCAAUUAGGAUCAUAUGCUUCAAAGUUUAAUUGUGUCGUCUUGUCGUUUUUCUAUCAUGUCUAAUUAAAGGUGUACUCGAACUCAACACAAAUACAUCAGCUCGAAGUUGACUAACACUUGACAUGAAGUUGUAACACAACUUUUUUUAACUAAACAAUAAACAAAAUAGGUCAAUAUCAUAUGGGUGAAUGCUUCUUAUUAGUGAAGAAAUUAGGGGUUUUGGUCAUACCAAAUUGACAUUGUGCUUUUUCACUAUUCCCCUAUGCACUUGUACAAGCAAGACAAAUGUUUGGGCUUGAUCAGUUGAUUUGUAUCAAUUCUAAUAAAGCUUUUUGAGCAUGGGCUAUGGUUCUUUCCAUCAUCACCAUCACCAAUAGGAAAUAAGAGUUGCAUGCACACAAAAGCCUUGGCUAAUUUAGUUUAGAAUUAGAAUUGUGUAAGAAAUUUGAGAUGAAAUUUUACCUUAAUUAUCAAGAAACAAAUUAUAGUAGCCUGCUUAGGUCCGUCUCACUAUGUGGUCCACCGAUUAUCCUUGUUCCAACUACUAACACUUUGUAAAGAUCAUCACGAAAAAAAUGAAUCAAAACUAAAGUUAUUUAGUCAAUCCAUUGUAGCAUAUACAUAGAAAGUUCGUAGUACCUUUAUCAAUUCCAUUUAUCUGUAUUGAUACAAUUUAAUGACUAAACAACCUUAGUUUUAAUUGAUUUUUUGCAAAUGCGAUUUUUACAGAAUGAUUUAUAAUAUAAACGGUUUCAAUUAUAAACACGAAAUUUUAUAAAUCAACAACCAACAAGUUUGAGUAGCCAAGUAUUCUUCUAUUGAAAACUCUUGAAAUAUACACUUUUUUUUGUUUGGAAUAUUAGGUAAAGUUCAUGUCGAGUCAACCUUCAUGAGUUGUGAGAAUAUCCACAUAUUUUGGAGGGAGGCAGAUUGUCUGCCCUCAUUUUACCAUGCUCUUUCCAUUAUCUCCUACAUUGUGCGGUCAUGGUACAUUGUGCGGUCAUGGUUAAGCCACAUUAACAUGUCUUAUUAUCUCUAUAAAAAAAUCAAUAUAAAAUGUUAACGUGGCUUAACCGUGACCGCACAAUGUAAGAGGGAAUGGGAAGGGCAUGGUAAUGGAAGGGCAGACAAUCUGCCUCCAUUUUGGAGAAUUUAUUAAGAAAGGGGAAGGGAAGGGGAGAUCACAUCUUCUGUAUUUAAAAUGAACGUGGCAUCUUUGUGGUCUUAAUUAUGUUUGACAUAUAUUAAAUUUAUGAUAAUACAGUUAAGAAAAUUGAAUUUUAUAAGUACAUGUGAGUCAAUAAUUAUGAUACAAUUUUAGGUGCAGAAGAUUUGAUCUCGGAGAUAGAAUAAUGCAUAACGCAAAAAGGUAUGUAGUAGAGGAGAGAGCAAUGGAUUACCCUGGAUGGUGAUGAAUGAUGAGCGUCUGGGGCCACGCGCGUGUGGAGACGAGCGUGGGGGGAGCCCAUAUUCCAAUCACGUCGCGUCAAAAAGGUAAACGAGGAAAUCUAGAGAGGGGAAUUGAUCGGGACCCACAAAUCUAGGAGGUGAGCUGUCGCUUUUUCUCUUGACGCCUCACCUAUCGCUUGUCCUCCUUCCCCCCAGAGGAAGAAUAUCGAUAUCAAAAGCCCUACAAGCUUAACGCUGGCACGCUCCUCUUUCACUCAAUUAAUUUUUAUUUUAUUUUUUAUUUUUAAAUACUAAAUGUUUUUAUUUUUAAAUAAACGAUAUUAUUUAUAUUAAGAGAUGGUGAGCUUGGUUUCACAAUGGGUUAGCAAUAAAGUGGUUCAAAUUUUCUUUUGGCGAGAAUCGAUCUUAAAAUCUUUCACUUACAGGUAAAGAAGAAUGCCACUAGACCGUAGUAUUAAGUAUUUAUUCACUUAAAAAUUAUGGUUGGUGUUAAUUAUUAAGGAAAACUAACGAAAAAUUCAAAAAAAAACUUUUGUUUUAAUAAAAAAUGACAAAUAAGGUGUAAGUAAAUGGUAUCAGGAAAAGGUAAAAAUGUAAAAUUUUCGUUAAAAAUGAACAGUACCUAGAGUGUUUUAUUAAAACUCUCUAAUUAUUAUUGUGAAUGGAAAAUGAAGUUAAAAAUCAUAACAAACUUUUUAGAUAUUCUGCUAUGAAAAUUGAAUACAUCAAUGUAUAGCGCAUAUAAUUGAAUUUAACAGUUAAAUGUAUUUUGAAGAAUUAAAAAAUUAAACGAGUUUAUCUUAAGCUACUUAAAAAGAUUGUACAACGUACAAGAUGGACUAGUUAUGACACACCCCGUCCCGAAGGAGGGCAUGCUGGCCGUCACGUGAGAGUGACGUAACCAUUUGCACAGUACGGAAGCUUUAAGAUACAAUUUAAAUUGAUACACCCGAAGGUGAGUCCUAAUUUUGUCCAAUCUGUCAGAACACCGUCGAAUUCCUCGUAGUCACCACACCUUUGUGAUUCCUGAACCUGGAGGGGCGCAAAACCAAAAUUGAGUGGGUCAGUAAAACAAUUCUUUUCCAAAUCCAAACAUUUCUCAAAACGUUGUAACCCCUCUCCGUAAAACCUGUAUACUUUCCCAGAAAUGUAAAAUAUAAAUAUACAUAUAUAUUCUCAAAACUUCAUUUUUACUAUCUCAACAUUAUCUCUUUAUCAAUCAUGCCAUGCCACAUCAUCUCAACAGUAAUAAGGUAUGAAUGCAUCAACAUAAUCAUAUCAGGUGCAAGAAAGUAAUCAACCGUAGGCCCUCUAAUAGCCCUAUACGGUUGAACCUAGAGCUCAAAAUCUAUCAUUAUCACUCUACCGGAGUCACCUCUGUGACCCGUCCGGCCUUCUGCACACAAGUUACGCUCUAGUGCUUCUCAUAAAUCAUCUGUGCACAUAAUCUAAGGUCACCCACCAGUCGGAAUCUCACUAACACUCUCGCGACUGGUCUGUCGUACCCACUCCGCGUGGACUGUACGACUAGCAUCUACUUGGAUCCAAGGCGAGCGUGCGAUGCGGUGAAUACUAUAAGCACUAAACCAUGGUGCAGGAUUUGAGCUCAAUAUAUAUCAUCGUCAUCAUAAUAGUAAUUAAAUACUCAUUUGUGCGUCCACCGCACCAUUUCAUACAUAUGCAUCAUAAAUCAAUUCUUACCUGUGCGUCCACCGCACCAAUUCAUACAUAUGCAUCAUAUAUUAAUUCAUGCAUGGCAUUUCAACUCACAUUUCUAUAUACUUUUCAUAUCAAUUCUAUGCAUGGUAUUUCACUUCCCGUUUUUCCACAUAACUCAUAUGCAUUUCAUUUUAAACAUAUUUUCAUGCAUUUUCAAUUUCUGGGAAAACGUUAAGUAUAUAUAUAUAUAUACGGAAAACAAAACUGCCCACUCACCUGGAGUUCGCCCUACAACUCCCUAGCACAAUACGCCAAGGCGUCAUGACGAUCGGCGCCUAAAACAAUAAUCAAUUCCAACCUCAGAAUUCAUAUCGAUAAAAUAUAUAACUUAUAUAAAAUACGUCACUACGUAGAUUGAUCCGGAAGAUCCACCCCUCAGAUUUUAAAUCCAUAACUUCCAGAGGUCCACAUUAUACCUCUAGGACAACAUCCUAAAAUUUCAUUACCAUCCAACGGUCGGAUCUCCGUCAAUUUCCAAAACUAAGUGACGGUUAACAUUUUAUAUUAUGGACUUACAAUUCCAAUUCCGGAAGAUCCGCAAAUCGGAUUCCCAAUCUGUAAGUUCCAAUAAUCCUCAAAUAUUACGUAUUAUAACGUAUCAAAGUUUGGUGAUGAUCCAACGGUCGGAUCGUCAAUUCACAUUUUCACCUAAAUGUGAAAAUUAUAAAACGUUAUUUGAACACCUAACCAACAAUCCUCAAUAACUUUCUCAUACGGUGUUCAAUUUAGGUAUAUGAAUAUACCACAGUGAUCUACUCGACGUCACGGACGUCGAUAUAUUUUUAAAAUAAUUUUAUUUUUAUUUUUUAUUUUUACUGUAGCACCUUCUUCUUCCUUGGGUCGCCGGACUGGUUUUUCCGGCGGCCGUUUUCCGGGCAGUUUUUUCAAAUUGCCAUAACUUUGUCAUUUUCUCAACGAAAUCAAGUGAUUCAAAAACGAAAGUUGUAGCCCUUGAAAAGACAAAGAGAAUGGUACCUUGCAAAACACCUAGUUAGCCGUAUUUUUUCCGGAAAAUGCCUCGAAAGCCUCGGAGGUCGCCGGAAACUGGGUAUUUUUCAAAUAAGUAUAACUUCUUCAAUACUCAACGAAAUUGAGUGAAACAAAAAGGAAAGUUGUAGUACUUGACGAGACGAAGAGAUUG
This 100205-nucleotide long non-coding RNA is filed under the name Malus domestica (apple). Lineage: Eukaryota; Viridiplantae; Streptophyta; Magnoliopsida; Rosales; Rosaceae. The record is from RNAcentral.